This 113048-nucleotide long non-coding RNA is filed under the name Triticum aestivum (bread wheat). RNAcentral describes it as "long non-coding RNA (TAES_LNC012425)". The stretch from base 4477 to 4563 matches the Rfam family "MIR1120/MIR1122 microRNA precursor family". Lineage: Eukaryota; Viridiplantae; Streptophyta; Magnoliopsida; Poales; Poaceae. The record is from RNAcentral.
UGUGAUAUUGGGGAGAGUCUUUUGGAUAGUAAUGGCCACGACAGCUAUGUCGCUUUGAGAUAUGUGUGUUCUAUUUGGAGGUCAGCCAUCUCAUCUUAUCAAAGGCUUUUUGUUCGAGCGCAUCGAUGGAUUGUUCUUGAGGAGAUCAAUGAAUUCAGUGAUUGCACUGUACAUCGGGUAUUGGUUAAUGUUUCAACUGGACGGAUGGUCAAGCGUCGCAUUCCUCUUUUGAAUGACCAUAUUUAUGUUGGAUCUUCGGAUGGACUACUGAUUCUCGUAGAAAAAAUGAACCUUACUUCGUCAAACUAUGGGAGCCAUUCACGGGCUAUCUUGUGCAAUUUGCAGCCGGGAUCAUCCAUCAUCAGCCUUCUCAUUUUGCCGUCGAGACUCGCGGUGUCCCUAGACUGUUUCAUGCCCCUGGAGGUUUACGCAACCCUCGAGUCAUGUGUUAUGAUGUUAAUAAUGGCAAUUUGGAGGUUCGAUUUGGUGAUAUGCCAGUUGAGCGUGUAGCAAGUAUGACUGCAUAUAAGAGUGAUGUGUUUGUACUUUUCCAUAAUCGUAAGUUGUUCAAGAUAACCGGGGCUGGUCAUGAGAUGCAUGGAGAAUUCAUUCUGAUCCACGAGACUCCAACACUUGCACCUAGUGCGAUGACACACUACUUGGUAGUAUCUGGAGGAGGCAAUCUUCUUAUAGUGGUCAUUGGUAUUGCAGAGAUUCUGAUUUUUUGUGUUGAUGUUGAGUUGAGGACCGCUGUCCGUAUCUAUAACAUCGGUAACCAGGCACUUUUCCUUAGUAACACAAGGUGUAUCGCUGUUAAUGCCGAAAAUUUCCCAACUGUCAGAGAAAACUGUGUAUAUCAAGCAUGCAUCUUAGGAUAUAGUGGGCCAUGUGGAAUUUAUGAAUUCAGUUUGACGAGGCCUCGGAAGCGUAUCAUCAAUCAUUCGUCAAUGAAGUAACCUAUGCUCUUGGGGGAAGGCCCUUAAGCAUGUGGCAGGUCCUUAUACACUACUGUUUAUUCAGAAACAAGUGUAGGAGGCCACUAUCCUAGGUGUAAGGAUUAAGUUGGGUAAAAUAAAUCAAGGUUGUGGCAGUACUGGGCAACUUUCUUUUUACUUAUCUAUGAGGAGUGAAGUGAACAUGUAUUGUUGUCAUUAUACUGAAUGUUGCUACUUAGUUAUUUGUUUUAGUUAUUGACCAUUCCUAAGUUUAAUUUAUAUGCAUGCUUUUGAUGUUUGUAGAACUCAUGAUUUUGGUACAUAGAUGGACCAUUUAAUGAUGAAUGUACGGCUAGACUUCACAAGAUAAGUUGACAGUACAUACCUCAUAACAACCAUUCUAGACCUUACUAUUAACUAUAUGUGAAUGAAAUAAAUUACAAGGCAUACUACCUCCGUUCGGGUUUAAAAGGCCCGUCAGCCUCGAUGCCCCGUCCGUAAUUUUAAGGCCCAUUGUAAUUAUGGCGCAACUUUUCUACUAGAAUCGUUAGCCAUCAAGGAAGUCGAUUGGCGAAGCGUGAGAAGUCGUACUGCAUGCAGGCCUGGGAGACGAAGCUGCAUGUAAAGCGGGGGUGUUGGGCUGCAUGCAAGCGCUUAAUUAUCGCUGCAGCCAGUGCAUGCACGAUUCAUUCACGGCGCUUUCUCUCUUUCAUUGGCCUACACGAUUACCGGUGCAUAUAGAGUUAAUUUUUCUCAUAACUGAUGUGGAGUAAUUUUUGCCUUGGUCCUAAUGCUUUGGUCGGGGGGGCCUUUUAAACCCGGGCGGAGGUAGUACAUUUCAAAUGUUACAAGAUUGUUUCUGAUAUAUAUAUAUGUACACACACACUUUAAUUAUCAAAUAUAUGGUUUCUAUUUGGCAAAGGCGGUGGGGAAACUAUUUUUCGUACUCUUUCCAGAGGAACAGACGGUAACAUAACCAAGAAAAUAAGAGAUAGUGUUUUGGCGAAAAGUUUGUACUAUGAAGUUCUAAUAUUAGUGAUGUAACGUGUACAAUUCUUAUUUAUCCUGAAAUGAAAGUGAAUUGUCAUUUUAAUAUGACAAAAGUCAACAAUUCAACCCCCGAACUAACCACAUGAUUUAAUUUACAACCCUGAACCCCGAAACUGGUCAAAACACAACCCGAACUACCCUCGAGAUUCAAAACUCAACCCUAGUCUUGGUUUUGGGCUGGUUAACGGUUUUUACCGUAGUCAAUGUUGACUGGGUAGUGCCACAUCAGCAAUUAAUCUCAACAAAGCACAACUAAAAAAAUAUGCCAAAAGGUGAAAUUUAUUAUCUUUAUGCCAAUACAAAUCAAAUGGAACUCAUACCAUGACGCUAGCUCACUAAGCUCCCUUGGGUAAAACUCCUUGGAGCGAUCCAUGCUAUCAAUUUGGCUUCACAUGCCAGUUUUGACCUAGUCGUCUGGCUGUCUGAGCUGGCCUGUUCCGUGGGCCGUUUUUGUUAGCGGUUUAGAGCCAUGGGCCAUGGUUGUCAGUCAUUGAUUCAUCUUGUUGGCAUUCGAAGGGGAUUAGGGAUCGACGGCUCACUGCGAGAUGCCAACCUAGCGCAGCAUGGUGGUGGAUUGGACACGCGGGCGGUGUUCGACGGUAGCCGCUCACCAGCACAGACGUGUAGCACAGGCGCGCGGUGAUACGUCUCCAACGUAUCUAUAAUUUUUGAUUGUUCCAUGCUAUUAUAUUACCUGUUUCGGAUUCUUAUUGACUUUAUUUUAUACAUUAUUAUCAUUUUUGGGACUAACCUACUAACCGGAGGCCCAGCUCAUAUUGCUGUUUUUUUUGCCUAUUUCAGUAUUUCAAAGAAAAGGAAUAUCAAACGGAGUCCAAACGGAAUGAAACCUUCGGGAGCGUUAUUUUUGGAAUAAAUCUGAUCCGGAGAGCCUGGAGUGCAAGUCAAGAAAGCUCCGAGGGCCCCACGAGAUAGGAGGGCGCCCCCCCCCCCUGUAGGGCGUGCCCCCAUGUCUCAUGGGUCCCUCGGGCGUCCACCGACGUCCCUCUUCCUCCUAUAUAUACCUACAGACCCCAAAAACAUCCAGGGGCACCACAAAACUUAAUUUCCACCAUCGUAACCUUCUGUAUCCGCGAGAUCCCAUCUUGGAGCCUUCGCCGGCACUCUGCCGGAGGGGGAAUCGACCAUGGAGGGCCUCUACAUCAACAUCCUUGCCCCUCCUAUGAGUUGUGAGUAUUUUACCUCAGACCUACGGGUCCAUAGUUAUUAGCUAGAUGGCUUCUUCUCUCUUUUUGGAUCUCAAUACAAUGUUCUCCCCCUCUCUGUGGAGAUCUAUUCGAUGUAAUCUCUUUUUCGGUGUGUUUGUCAAGAUCCGAUGAAUUGUGAGUUUAUGAUCAGAUUUAUCUAUGGUUAUUAAUUGAAUCUUCUCUGAAUUCUUUUAUGUAUGAUUGAGUUAUCUUUGCAAGUCUCUUUGAAUUAUCGGUUUGGUUUGGCCUACUAGAUUGAUCUUUCUUGCCAUCGGAGAAGUGCUUAGCUUUGGGUUCAAUCUUGCGCUGUCCUUACCCAGUGACAGAAAGGGUUGCAAGAUACGUAUUGUAUUGUUUCCAUCGAGGAUAACAAGAUGGGGUUUAUAUCAUAUUGCAUGUGUUUAUCCCUCUACAUCAUACCAUCUUGCUUAAUGCGUUACUCCGUUCUUAUGAACUUAAUACUCUAGAUGCAUGCUAGAUAGCGGUCGAUGUGUGGAGUAAUAGCAGUAGAUGCAGGCAGGAGUUGGUCUACUUGUUAUGGAUCUUAUGCCUAUAUACAUGAUCAUGCCUAGAUAACGUCAUAAUUAUUUGCUUUUCUAUCAAUUGCUCGAUAGUAAUUUGUUCACCCACCGUAAUACUUAUGCUCUCGAGAGAAGCCUCUAGUGAAACCUAUGGCCCCCGGGUCUAUCUCUUAUCAUAUUUACUUUCAAUCUACUUUUAUUUGCAUCUUUACUUUCUUACAUCUAUAUCACAAAAUACCAAAAAUAUUAUUAUCUCUCUAUCAGAUCUCACUUUCGCAAGUGGCCGUGAAGGGAUUGACAACCCCUUUAUUGUGUUGGUUGCGAGUUCUCAAUUUGUUUGUGUAGGUGCGUGGGACUUUUGAGGAGCCUCCUACUGGAUUGAUACCUUGGUUCUCAAAACUGAGGGAAAUACUUACGCUACACUUUGCUGCAUCACCCUCUCCUCUUCGGGGAAAACCACCGCUAGCUCAAGACGUAGCACGCUGCACUACUCUAGCCACAACCCACAUCCCUGCACCAUCCCAAUGCCCCUUCUCCUGCAUGGCGCCGCAAGCGGAGCAGCGUGGCACCGACAGAGUUAGAUGUCGUAGUUCGUCUUUCUAGAAGAUGCACCAACAGGGGGAAGACAGGGCCACAAGAGGCAGGAAAGGUGAACCUUAUUAUUUUCUUGUUGAUUCAUAUGCUUGCUUUUUUGAGCUUGCCAAAACAUGCUGGUGAAUUAGUAAAAAUAAAGGACAGAGAAGAAGGCUCAAUCAUGUUUACUAUCUACCCCCUCCAUCCCAUAAUAUAAGAACAUUUUUCAAGCUAUGUUAGCUUGAAAAAUGAUCUUAUAUUGUGGGACGGAGGGAGUACUUCAAGGAUCAUAUGCAUGUGAACGGAUUUGUUAACACAUCACAUCUAGCAAGUAGUAGUUGUUACGUGCAAAUGCAUCUGCAGCUAAAAGGAGCACGAAUGAUAAACCACCACAUAGGAAAGCAGGGGGUCAGUGUAGGGUUGAGGAGACUUUGGAUGCCGAGCUUUCGACGCAGUGCGAUUCAGUUAAUAGGGGAAAGGAAUGUCAAGUGUUGGCCGCCGCUGGAUCAGUGCAUAUCUAUGCCGGAAAAUGGUUGUCUCCUGGGUGUCUGCAGAGUGGUGUGCAACUGAGAAGAAACAGUAUAGGGGGAAUUUAUAGGGAGGAGAUGUUGUUCAAUUUUCAAUUUUUCAUACCAUGGUGGAGCUGGCAGACGGGGAAGAGAGGGUUGUUGAUGCGCCGUGGAAGGGCGCAAUGAAGGUAGUGAGGACGGAGUGCGAGGAGGACAUGUCCCUUUGAUCUAGAGUUGCUGCAUGACGAAGGUCAUAACGGCCUUGGUGGCACCACACACCACCGUGAAUACCACCAACCUUGACACGAUCGUCGUGUUUGCUGCGAGCAUCUUGGUCACCGCCGCCGUCGUCGUGCUCAUCAGUAACGUAUUUACCCGCCUCGAUUAAGAGUGUGCAUGCAUAGUUAUACCUAUUCUUGCCCUUUUACCUCAAAAAAGCUAUCAUGUUGGCCUCAUCGUCUACGUUGAUAAUGGAAGCUCCAAACUAUAACAACUAGGAGCAGCAUUGUUUUUUCCCCUCUUUGUUUGUAAUGAGAUAUCUUAUAUAUUGCUUACAUAGACUACAUAUCAUGUUGUCAAUUCUUAAUUUCUAGCUCCAAGGAAAUCAUGUUGGUGUGCACCUCUGAGUUCAUCUUCAUCACUAGUGAGUAAGCGGCUCUUUUGCCACGGAAUGCUAUCAUAAAGGCUAACAAUGCUUGUGUCUUCAUGUGUGAAUCUUCGAUGGUGAUGCCAAGUUUGCUCCUCGACAAUUUUUAGACUACAAGUUAAUAGAUACUCAAUCAUGUUCUUAUUUGUAAUACGAGUUGGUCUUCAACAUGUUCAACCCAAAUGAGUAAAAUGACCCAAGAAUAGUCUACUGUUGUUUAUUUACAGUCUGAGAAUUGUAAUCCCGCAUAGAAGUAGAAAUAAUAUCACAAGGAAAGCUCAACAACACUCCAAGAGCCGAUUCUGCAGUUUAAUGUCUGCUUCCUUUUUCUCUCCUCAGUAGAUGCUACGUCUUGAGCUUGUGUUGGUUUUCCUUGAAGAGGAAAGGGUGAUGCAGCACAGUAGCGUAAGUAUUUCCCUCAGUUUUUGAGAACCAAGGUAUCAAUCCAGUAGGAGGCUCCUCAAAAGUCCCACGCACCUACACAAACAAACAAAAACCUCGCAACCAACGCGAUAAAGGGGUUUUCAAUCCCUUCAUGGAAACAUGCAAAAGUGAGAUCUGAUAGAGAUAAUAUGAUAAGAUAAAUAUUUUUGGUAUUUUUAUGAUAUAGAUUGGAAAAUAAAAAUGCAAAUAAAAGUAGAUGAAAAACUUAUAUGAUAAAAGAUAGACCCAGGGGCCAUAGGUUUCACUAGUGGCUUCUCUCAGGAUAGCAUAAUUAUUACGGUGGGUGAACAAAUUACUGUCGAGCAAUUGAUAGAAAAGUGCAUAGUUAUGAGAUUAUCUAGGCAUGAUCAUGUAUAUAGGCAUCACGUCCGCAACAAGUAGACCGACUUCUACCCGCAUCUACUACUAUUACUCCACACAUCGACCGACUCCUGCCUGCAUCUAGAGUAUUAAGUUCAUGAAGAACAGAGUACCACAUUAAGAAAGAUGACAUGAUGUAGAGGGAUAGACUCAUGCAAUAUGAUAUAAACCCCAUCUUUUUAUCCUCGAUGGCAACAAUACAAUACAUGUCGUUUCCCCUACUGUCACUGGGAUCGAGCACCGCAAGAUUGAACCCAAAGCUAAGCACUUCUCCCAUGGAAAGAAAGAUCAAUCUAGUAGGCCAAACCAAAUUGAUAAUUCGAAGAGACUUGCAAAGAUAACCAAUCAUACAUAAAAGAAUUCAGAGGGGAUUCAAAUAUUUCUCAUAGAUAAACUUGAUCAUAAACCCACAAUUCACCGGAUCUCGACAAACACACCGCAAAAAGAGUUACAUCGAAUAGAUCUCCAAGAAGAGGAAGGAUAACUUUGUAUUGAGAAUCAAAGAGAGAGAAGAAGCCAUCUAGCUAAUAACUAUGCACCCCGAAGGUCUGUGGUAAACUACUCACAACUCAUCGGAGAGGCCUUGGUGGUGAUGGAGAGGCCCUCCAUGGUCGAUUCCCCCUCCGGCGGAGCGCCGACGAAGGCUCCAAGAUGGGAUCUCGUGGAUACAGAAGGUUGCGGUGGUGGAAUUAGGUUUUCGUGGUGCUCCUGGAUGGUUUCGGGGUACGUAGAUAUAUAUAUAGGAGGAAGAAAUAGGUCGGUGGAGCCACGAGGGGCCCACGAGGGUGGUGGCGUGCCCACCCUUACAGUGCACGUCGGGCACCCUCGUGGCCACCUCAUCUGCUUCUUGACGUCCACUCCAAGUCUCCUGGUUUGCAUUUGUUCCAGAAAGAUCGUUCCUGAAGGUUUCAUCGCGUUUGGACUCCGUUUGAUAUUCCUUUUAUUCAAUAUACUGAAAUAGGCAAAAAAAAAUAGCAAUUCGGGCCGGGCCUCCGGUUAGUAGGUUAGUCCCAAAAAUGAUAUAAAAGUGUAAAGUAAAGCCCAUAAACAUUCAAAACAGGUAAUAUAAUAGCAUGAAACAAUAAAAAGUUAUAGAUAAGUUGGAGACGUAUCAAGCAUCCCCAAGCUUAAUUCAUCCUCGUCCUCGAGUAGGUAAAUGAUAAAAACAUAAUUUUUGAUGUGGAAUGCUACCUAGCAUAAUUCUCAAUGUAAUUUUCUUUAUUGUGGCAUGAAUGUUCAGAUCCAAAUGAUUCAAAAUAAAAGUUCAUAUUGACAUGAUAAACAAUAAUACUUCAAGCAUACUAAUAAAAGUAAUCAUGUCUUCUCAAAAUAUCAUGGCUAAAGAAAGUUAUCCCUACAAUAUCAUAUAGUCUGGCUAUGCUCUAUCUUCUUCACACAAAGUAAUUAAUCAUGCACAACCCCGAUGACAAGCCAAGCAAUUGUUUCAUACUUUAGUAUUCUCAAACUUUUUCAACGUUCACGCAAUACAUGAGCGUGAGCCAUGGACAUAGCACUAUAUGUGGAAUAGAAUGGUGGUUGUGGAGAAGACAAAAAAGGAAGAUAGUCUCACGUCGACUAGGCAUAUCAACAGGCUAUGGAGAUGCCCAUUAAUAGAUAUCAACGUGAGUGAGUACGGAUUGCCAUGCAACAGAUGGACUAGAGCUAUAAAUGUAUGAAAGCUCAACAAAAAAAACUAAGUGCGUGUGCAUCCAACUUGCUUGCUCACGAAGACCUAGGGCGUUUUGAGGAUGCCCAUCAUUGGAAUAUACAAGCCAAGUUCUAUAAUGAAAAACUCCCAAUAGUAUAUGAAAAUGACAACAUAGGAGACUCUCUAUUAUAAAGAUCAUGGUUCUACUUUGAAGCACAAGUGUGGUAAAAGCAUAGUAGCUUUGUUGCUUCUCUCUUUUUCUCUCAUUUUUUUAUUUCGCCUUUCUCUUUUUUUAUAUGGCCUUUCUCUUUUUUUUUUUUGUAAAGUCCGAAGUCUCAUCCCGACUUGUGGGGGAAUCAUAGUAUCCAUCAUUCUUUCCUCACUUGGGAUAAUGCUCUAAUAAUGAAGAUCAUCACACUUUUAUUUACUUACAACUCAAGAUUACAACUCGAUACUUAGAACAAAAUAUGACUCUAUAUGAAUGCCUCUAGCGGUAUACCGGGAUAUGCAAUGAACCAAGAGUGACAUGUAUGAAAAUCAUGAGGGUGGCCUUGCCAUAAAUACAAUGUCAACUACAUGAUUAUGCAAGAGCAAUAUUACAAUGAUGAUGCGUGUCAUAAUAAACGGAACGGUGGAAAGUUGCAUGGUAAUAUAUCUCGGAAUGGCUAUGGAAAUGCCAUAAUAGGUAGGUAUGGUGGCUGUUCUGAGGAAGGUAUAUGGUGGGUGUAUGGUACCGGCAAAAUUCGCACGGCACAAGAGAGGCUAGCAAUGGUGGAAGGGAGAGAGUGCGUAUAAUCCAUGGACUCAACAUUAGUCAUAAAGAACUCAUAUACUUAUUGCAAAAAUCUACAAGUAAUCAAAAACCAAGCACUAUGUGCAUGCUCCUAGGGGGAUAGAUUGGUAGGAAAAGACUAUCGCUUGUCCCCGACUGCCACUCAUAAGGAAGACAAUCAACAAAUAAAUCAUGCUCCAACUUCAUCACAAAGCGGUUCACCAUACGUGCAUGCUACGGGAAUCACAAACUUCAACACAAGUAUUCCUUAAAUUCAUAAUUACCCAACCAGCAUGACUCUAAUAUCACCAUCCUCAUAUCUCAAAACAAUUAUCAAGCAUCAAAUUGAUCAUAGCAUCCAAUUCACUUUCUAUGAUAGUUUUUAUUAUACCCAACUUGAAUGCUCAUCAUUCUAGAACCAAUUUUAUAACCAUAGAAAAUACCAUGCUGUUCUAAAAGACUCUCAAAAUAAUAUAAGUGAAGCAUGAGAGAUCAACAAUUUCUUCAAAAUAAAGCCACCGCCGUGCUCUAAGAGAUAUAAGUGAAGCACUAGAGCAAAAACCAUCUAGCUCAAAAGAUAUAAGUGAAGCACAUACAGUAUUCUAAUAAAUUCCAAAUCAUGUGGGUUUCUCCCAAAAGGUUUGUACAGCAAGGAAGAUUGUGGUAAUCUAAAAACCAAAGACUCAUAUCAUACAAGACGCUCAAAGCAAAACACAUAUCAUGUGGUAAAUAAAAAUAUAGCUCCAAGUAAAGUUACCGAUAGACGAAGACGAAAGAGGGGAUGCCUUCUAGGGCAUCCCCAAGCUUAGGCUUUUGGUUGUCCUUGAAUAUCUUGGGGUGCCAUGGGCAUCCCCAAGUUUAGGCUUUUGCCACUCCUUAUUCCAUAGUCCAUCAAAUCUUUAUCCAAAACUUGAAAACUUCACAACACAAAACUCAACAGGAAAUCUCAUAAGCUCUGUUAGUGUAAGAAAGAAAAACCACCACAUAAGGUACUGUAAUGAACUCAUUCUUUAUUUAUAUUGGUGUUAAAUCUACUGUAUUCCAACUUCUNNNNNNNNNNNNNNNNNNNNNNNNNNNNNNNNNNNNNNNNNNNNNNNNNNNNNNNNNNNNNNNNNNNNNNNNNNNNNNNNNNNNNNNNNNNNNNNNNNNNNNNNNNNNNNNNNNNNNNNNNNNNNNNNNNNNNNNNNNNNNNNNNNNNNNNNNNNNNNNNNNNNNNNNNNNNNNNNNNNNNNNNNNNNNNNNNNNNNNNNNNNNNNNNNNNNNNNNNNNNNNNNNNNNNNNNNNNNNNNNNNNNNNNNNNNNNAUCUGUCAAAAACAGAACAGUCUGUAGAAAUCUGUAACUUUUGAAUACUUCUGGAACCUUUAAAAUCCUACCAAAAUAGGACGUUCUAGGAAAUUUGUAUAUUGAUCUACAUAAAAAAGAAUCAAUGCAAAAGCACGUUUCUGUGAUUUAUUGAAUUUUUUCUCGUGCAUGCAAAGUUUCUGUUUUUCAGCAGAAUCAAAUUAACUUUCACCCAAGGUUAUCCUAUAGGUUCUACUUGGCACAAACACUAAUUAAAACAUAAAAACAUGUCUAACCAGAGACUAAAUAAAUUAUUUAUUACUAAACAGGAACAAAAAGCGAGGAACAAAAAUAAAAUUGGGUUGCCUCCCAACAAGCGCUAUCGUUUAACGCCCCUAGCUAGGCAUAAAAGCGAGGAUAUAUCUAAGUAUUGCCAUAAUAAGAUAGAUCACGGAAACUCAUUUCAUAUUCCCUACAUUCAGCAAAAAGUUUUCUUUGAGGCAAGCAAAAGUAAUCAAAAGGGCUAAAUUUAAUGGGACAGAAUUCUCCAAGAUCAAUCUCGAGAGGUAUGGGAUCCUCCCUAGGCCCUUCAUAUUGCACAACCAAUUCAUCAUUAUAAGCAUUCUUUUGGCAAAACUUCAUAAGCCUAUACUCAAGAGAAUAUCCUAACUCAUUAUUUCGAAUAGCAAAAUCAUUUUUAAGUUCGGGAAUUCUAUCAACUAGACCAUUGGUAGGAACCUUCUUCCUAAUGUUUUCAUUAAAAGCAAUAUAGUCUAAAGAUUGAAAACGCAUAAUUUCCUCUUGAUCAAAAAGGAUUGCCUCUAUGAGAGGACGGCCAGCAUCCACCCUAUAGUGCGCAAAAUUUUCUUUGGCCUCUUUUAUUAUAAAUACGAACUCAUAUGCCAAAAAGAUAGUAGCGGCACGCUUAACAGAAGAAUGCUCAAUAUUGGAAAAUUCUAAGAAAAUCUUUUGUAUGCAAGGGUGCAUGUGCAUAAACUGCCUUUCAAGUUCAACUAUAAGCAUGGAGAUAGCAUCCGCAAGACUACUAGUUCUAUGAAGAAUAGAACCACCCAUAGAAGGUAAAGCACCGGCACAAGUAAAGAAAUCUUGAAUAACCCCUUUUCCAAUAAUAUUGCCACUACCGAUGCAAAAUGUUUUACUAUGUAAGGUAGUGGGUUCUUCAACAGGAGUAUCCCUUUUAUUAUUAUCCAUAUCAACGAUAAUCUCCCUAGAUUCAGACAUAGUGGCAACAAGCAAACGAGGAAGAGGCAAACGGAAAAGAGAGGGCGAAUAAAAUGGCAAGGGUGAAGUGGAGGAGAGGAAAACGAGAGGCAAAUGACAAAUAAUGUAAAUGCGAUGGAGAUGAGUUUGUGAUGGGUACUUGGUAUGUCUUGACUUGAGUGAAGACAUCCCUGGCAACGGCGCCAGAAAUCCUUCUUGCUACGUCUUGAGCUUGCGUUGGUUUUCCUUCAAGAGGAAAGGAUGAUGCAGCACAGUAGCGUAAGUAUUUCCCUCAGUUUUUGAGAACCAAGGUAUCAAUCCAGUAGGAGGCUCCUCAAAAGUCCCACACACCUACACAAACAAACAAGAACCUCGCAACCAACACGAUAAAGGGGUUGUCAAUCCCUUCACGGAAUCUUGCAAAAGUGAGAUCUGAUAGAGAUAAUAUUAUAAGAUAAAUAUUUUUGGUAUUUUUAUGAUAUAGAUUGGAAAAUUAAAGAUGCAAAUAAAAGUAGAUGGAAAACUCAUAUGAUAAAAGAUAGACUCGGGGGCCAUAGGUUUCACUGGUGGCUUCUCUCAAGAUAGCAUAAUUAUGAAGGCGGGUGAACAAAUUACUGUGGAGCAAUUGAUAGAAAAGUGCAUAGUUAUGAGAUUGUCUAGGCAUGAUCAUGUAUAUAGGCAUCAUAUCCGCAACAAGUAGACCGACUCCUGCCUGCAUCUACUACUAUUACUCCACACAUCGACCGACUGUUGCCUGCAUCGAGUAUUAAGUUCAUGAAGAACAGAGUAAUGCAUUAAGAAAGAUGACAUGAUGUAGAGGGAUAAACUCAUGCAAUAUGAUAUAAACCCCAUCUUUUUAUCCUCGAUGGCAACAAUACAAUAUGUGUCGUUUCCCCUACUGUCACUGGGAUCGAGCACCGCAAGAUUGAACCUAAAGCUAAGCACUUCUGCCAUGACAAGAAUGAUCAAUCUAGUAGGCCAAACCAAACUGAUAAUUCGAAGAGACUUGCAAAGAUAACCAAUCAUACAUAAAAUAAUUCAGAGGAGAUUCAAAUAUUUCUCAUAGAUAAACUUGAUCAUAAACCCACAAUUCAUCGGAUCUCGACAAACACACCGCAAAAAUAGUUACAUCGAAUAGAUCUCCAAGAAGAGGAAGGAGAACUUUGUAUUGAGAAUCAAAGAGAGAGAAGAAGCCACCUAGCUAAUAACUAUGGACCCGAAGGUCUGUGGUAAACUACUCACAACUCAUCGGAGAGGCCUUGGUGGUGAUGGAGAGGCCCUCCGUGGUCGAUUCCCCCUCCGGCGAAGCACCGGCGAAGGCUCCAAGAUGGGAUCUCGUGGAUACAGAAGGUUGCGGUGGUGAAAUUAGGUUUUCGUGGUGCUCCUGAAUGGUUUCGGGGUACGUAGAUAUAUAUAGAAGGAAGAAGUAGGUCGGUGGAGCCACGAGGGGCCCACGAGGGUGGGGGGCGCGCCCACCCUUACAGGGCGUGCCGGGCACCCUCGUGGCCGCCUCGUCCUCUUCUUGAUGUCCACUCCAAGUCUCCUGGUUUGCAUUUGUUCCAGAAAGAUCGUUCCUGAAGGUUUCAUCUCGUUUGGACUCCGUUUGAUAUUCCUUUUCUUCGUUAUACUGAAAUAGGCAAAAAAACAGCAAUUCGGGCUGGGCCUCCAGUUAGUAGGUUAGUUCCAAAAAUAUAAAAGUGUAAAGUAAAGCUCAUAAACAUCCAAAACAGGUAAUAUAAUAGCAUGAAACAAUCAAAAAUUAUAGAUACGGUUGAGACGUAUUAGUAGAACACAAGUUAAUUAAUCUUCUCAUAAUUUGGGAAUCUUCAAGUGAUUAUUAUUGACUCGAGGAUCUUAGGGGCAUUAGGGAUUUAGUACUGUAUAAGUGAAAGGGGAUCGUCUCCUUUAACUAGCAAUCGGAGAGAUCCUACAAGUCAUUGUCUUGGGUAUGAACGUAGAUGUUAGUUGCUACUAGAUAGAUUUACAAUUAAUCUCAUCCUUUUGUUUUCUCUAACAACCAAGACGAGUGUUGUGCACUUACAACUCAUGCUAACUGAACCGGUGAUGUUUCUUUCUCCAUUCCCUCACCUUGAUUGCUGCCACCUAUUUCCUGUUGGUGACUGCGUCUUGACACCAUGUUUAUCUAGAUAAAAUCACCCUCUGGUUAGUUGAUUCCAUUUGAUUUAUUGCACUAUUUUGUUGGACUGUUUUUUGUUUUUUGGACACUUUUUAGUUAUUUUUCAGAAUAACUGUUAGAGUUGAGUUCAUGUAUAUGGUAACUUGGCAAUAUUAGCUUUCAAGCAUGUUCUUAUGUCCAUCUCUUAGACAACAUCUUUUGUUCAACUCAAUUUAUGUGGACAACAAGUGCAAUUUCUUAAAGCAAUUUAAAAAUGACUUAGAAGCAAAUAGUGUUGUAAGUUCUCUUUAAUAUUUGGAAAUUGCAAAUUUAGUUCUGGCCCUCCUUGAUUUUUCAUACAGAGAAGGUAAUUGAAUGCAGUCUACCACACUCUGCAAAACAUUGAACUCCUCCACCUUGGUCAAGCUAGAGAACUAUAUGAUAGAUCUUUAGAAAUUAAUAUUUGUUCCAGCAAUAAUGUUAUCUACUAGCAACUAUGAUUUUUUUGUAGUAAGAGUCCACAGUGCAUUGGCAGCAUAGGUGCAUAUGAACCGCGGAGCUUGGGAUGAUAAUAGUGAACUGGUCAGUCACCAAAGAAGUCAAUUUGCAAUAGCUAUUAGUUACACAUUUUAUGUACUCUUGCAAUCUUUGAUGAUGUUUUCUGCUCAUGUACACAUAUGUCGCUGAUGAAAUGAACUCACCAUUUGUAUAUGCAUUAAGGUGCACACAAGAUUUUUAAGUGGAGCAAAGUACUACACAAGCCCAAAUCAAGAUGUUUAAGUCCUUGGCUUUGUUGUUUGUGGCCUCUCGUAUGCCGUGCUAAGAUGCAUCUCGAUGUCUCUGUAGUGAAUGGUGCCACAAUCUGAUGUCUAAAAUGUAAUGUGAACAUUUCCUUUUCAUGGAAGAGAGCAAAAUAAGAUUAAUUUCAUCAUCAUUCUUUGUGUGGCUGAGAUGCUUUUCGUAUUUCAUUUGGCUCCAGAAGUUGAUCUGGGAGAGCUGGUCGCCUGACAAUAUGGACCAAGAAACCUAGAUUGAGUUGCAGAAAUGUUUGGCUGUAAAAAUUUCAAUCGAGAAGUUGCUUCAUGUUUGUUUACGAAAACUGUUAUCAAGAAAAAGAAUCGGCAAGAAAGAAAAGCCGUGCGGCAAGGCGCGCCUUUGCUUCUAGUAAGAGUCAUGUGCAGUAAUAGUAAAACAGUUACUACAUGAAUUCAACUGCACUGAAGGUGUUCGCAAGCGAUAAAGGUAAAUACAUGUGUUCCUACCAUGACGUUCCUACCUUGAUCCAUCUUACAUCUCUCUUUCGCGUUCCGAUCUUUGCCCAACCGCGAAGGCCUCUUAGUGUGUGAAUGGUGCAUGAUACAUCUCCAACAUAUAUACAAUUUUUGAUUGUUUCAUGCUAUUAUAUUAUCAAUCUUGUAUGCUUUCUAUACAAUUUUAUAUCACUAUUGGGAACUAAGCUAUUAACUCAGUGCCAAGUGUCAGUUCAUGUUUUUUCCUAUUUUCUUGUUUCACAGAAAAACCAUAUCAAACAAAAUCCAAACACGAUGAAACUUUACGGUGAUUUUAGACUAGUUUUAGCCUAGUCGGUUAUAGUUUUGUUAAAAUGUGUCCUAAAUGUAAAUCUUUUCAUCCAGUUUGUAUGAAAACCAUUCGGGUUGCAUGUAAUUCAUUUGGUUAGUUGAAACUAAACAUGUGCAUGGAAAGCCCAGCCAGAGGCCCAAUCCUGAAAGCUUGGCAUUCGAGCCGGGCUCGGGCUCCAUUUUAUGGCCCGAAGCCGACCCGAAAGCCCAAAAAAGUCUGAAAUGGCAAGCAAAUGUAUAUUUUAUUUGAAAUAUAGGUAUUUAUAUUAUUUUAAUACCCCGAAUCUAAUUAAUAUAAUUUGAAAAUGACAUUAUUCACGUGUUUUGGGCCGGCCCAGUUCGGGCUCAGGCUUGUGAUUUUUUGGGGCUUUUGCAAGCCCGGCCCGAGGUACGAUCAGUUACUUCAAACCCGACUUGAAACGUAUGCGGCUAGUUUUGGAUGGCUCACUCUUGCAUCUGUGUCCACGGACUGAUCCCCCUUUCCGUCCGUGAACUGAGGUGGUGUCCAGUUUGCGGUUCAGCAUUGGAGAUCCCACGUCUUCUCGUGGUGACGUGUGGCAUAAUAGAUGUGCGACACUUGUCACAACUUGAAAGUUUUUUAAUUCGGUUUUUUAAACAGUUUAUGUCUAAAAUCAUGCGUCCGAAUCACGAUUCACUGUUCCGUUUCUCACAUUGAGAUCUUUGAAACUGGAUCUCAUGUUAAUAGGUUUGAACAAACUUUUAAAAAUAAGAGAAUGAUAAAAAAGAAAAACUUAAAAAGGAUAAAGAUGGAAAUAAAAGAUAACCUGUAAACCAAAAAUUGAAGAAAAAAAUGGAAACACAAUUGUGGUUCGCACGGAAACACAUUUUGUGCCUUUUUCACUUUUGGAGGAGCACAACUGUAUUUGACCAUAAAGUACAAGCGUGUUUUUCACUCUCAGCAAGCAUAGCGGUGUUGUGCUUCACCGUGAAACAUAAUUAUACUUUUCACUUUUGAAAGCACAACUAUACUUUUCACAUUGUUUGUUUCACAUGAAGAAAACAAAAAUAAACUGCUUUUUCGGCUUGAAAAACAUAGGAAAAAAAAUCUGAAAUCCAGAAUUAAGACAAAAACACGUGAAAAAAACUAUGUUCCCAUUGGUACGUCAAACACGUAAUUUUUUACGGUGGCUGGGCACACCACACGACGAGUCCGGUGCGCCCUAGUUACCCCCUAGCUCUGACGGCUCAACUAAGAGCAACUCUAGCAGACCCCGAAAAAAUUCGACCCGCAAAACGCGUUUGCGGUUUCACGAAGACAGCGUUUGCGCCGCCGAUCAGAUACCGCAUCUAAACCUUCAUAAUUUAAAAAAAACAAUUUCCCAGGAGAAAUUGCACAAACCUAGUUCAUCACAUCACAUACUACACAGUUCUUACAUACUACAUGAUCAACAAACAAAGGAUAGAUCAUACUACAUGCUACGUUAACUAGUAGUAGAGGGGGUCGGAUCUGACGACGGCGAGGUCGCGGCAAAAUGGACGACGCAGUGGAGGCCGAGCGACGCUCAAUCCUCCUCGCCAGAGCGGCACAUGUCGAUGUACUUCGCCGCCUACUCCGCGCGGAUGCGGCGCCACUCCUCAGCCUUGUUGUUGGCAGCGACAUUAGCGGCGACCACCUGCUGCCACUGGAGGGCUUCGAGCUCCUCGGCGUGGUGUCGGUGCUCCGCCUCCUCGCGCACGCUCUGCUCGGCGAUGGCGGCGGCGAUGGCGUCGAAGUCCGCAACGUAGUCCUCGGGCCCGACGACUUUGCGGCGGCUGAGCGGAGCGGGCUCCUCGGGCUCCUCCUUCAUCGGGACGAAGGCGAACGGCGCCGGCGGUGUCGUGGUACUAAGACUGACAGUAAGAGUAGGGGGCACGUAUGAGGAGGCAAGGUCCUAGCUACGGUUAGGUUGUAUGCAAGUGUUUACGAGUUCAAGCCCCUCUCGGAGGAGGUAAAAGCCCUACGUCUCGGUGCCCGAAGGCGGUCAACUGGAUUUCAGUAUAUGUGUGUGUGUUACAGGGGGUGCGAACCCUUGUCCCAAAGGAGAGGGGUGGCUUAUAUAGAGUGCGCCAGGACCCCAGCCAUCCCUUAUUACAGAGAGUUCAAUGUACAUAAAGAGAGGGUGUUACUGAUAACGCCAGCUAUAAAGUGUUAUUAAUGCCUUUGAAGACUACGGAGUGAAUGCUUGACCGUUGUUGUUCUGUGCGACUCCUGGUCUCCAUUGGUCGAGUGGUUUCUUGUAUGGUCGAGUGGUCUCAGGAAGGUGGGGUAACCGAGUGGUAUGAUUGGUCGAGUGGAUUGCACUCGACGUCUUCAUUGGGCUCUCCCAGUUGUCUCUUGAGCUUCUUUGCUUCUAGGGUAGUGACCUUGGGCAGGGUAUACAGGUCAGGCCUAUGACCCUACCCUAGGUCUAUAUCAUCAUCAUUAGCCCCCGAACGGAUCGUGGUCUGAGUGGAAAGAAGGUUGAAGUUGAUCUUGCUUCGACCCUUGUGCUUCAAAAGUACUUGCGUUGAACGGGAGGCUCAUGUUGGAUCUUUGGCUUCGUUUUAGUCGCUUUGAUUGAUUCAGAAAUUGCCGAGUGAAUUUAUAACAUCAUCCGUCGAGUGUUGUUUCUUGACACGAAAUCUUUGGCACGAUUGGUUACGUCGUAUCUCGGAUUUGUCGGGAUUCAAAAUUUCAGGGAAGCACGCGGGGUGGAGCGUGCUGUGGUAAGCGGGGCGGAUAGACAGGAGCGCCUCUAUCCCAGUGCCGCCUUUUUCGCCAUGUACCCAGCGCGCGACUGUUGCGGGAUUUGACAGGAUCGCCUGGGCCCGCGCGUCAGCCACUCGGAAGUGGGCCUUUAAAAGGCGACGGGGCGGAGGCGCCUGCAGUGUGCGCGUCUGAAAGUGCAAUUAUCCCUAUGUGGUUUUGGUAAUUCCUAACAACAUAAAGCUCAUUGAGCUAAUACUAUUCCAAGAUAAAUAUUUCAGGAAAGCUCAAUGAUUGGCAUGGCAUGGAUGAGAAAAGUGGACCCCUCAAAAUGCUAAGGACAAAAGGAUUGGCUCAAGCUCAAAGCUCAAGACUCUACAUUUUCUAUUUUAGUGAUCCAAGAUCACAUUGAGUCUAUAGGAAAAGUCAAUACUAUCAAGAAGGGAUGAGGUGUUGCUUAAUGAGGUUCUUACUCAAAAUGCUUAGUGAUAUGCUCCAAAACCCUCAACUACUUUCUCACUUCCACAUAUGACCUAAACCAAAAGUCAAACUCUGCCCCACCGAUUCUUUCUAUCCGGCGCCACCGAGUUCAGAUGUUAUAGCCACUUCCACAAACCCUAGGAAAAUCGGUCUCACCGAUAGGGAUCUCGGUCUCACCGAUAUGGGAUUGUAAUCUCUCUGUUUCCCUUCGUAACGUUUCGGUCUCACCGAGAUGAGCGAUCGGUCCCACCGAAAUUGCAAUGUAAACUCUCUGUUUUCCUUUCGUAACAUUUCGGUCCAACCGAGAUGAGCGAAUCGGUCCCACCGAGUUUACCUGACCAACUCUCUGGUUAGCUUAUUACCAAAAUUGGUCUCACCGAGUUUGUGCAAUCGGUCUCAUCGAGAUUACGUUAUGCGCUAACCCUAACCAUAUCGGUCCUACCGAGUUGCAUGUCGGUCCUACCGAAAAUCCUAACGGUCACUAGAUUUACUAAAUCGGUCUAACCGAGUUUCUCAAUUUGGUCCCACCGAGAUUGGUAAGUUGUGUGUAAUGGUUAGAUUUUGCGUGGAGGCUAUAUAUACCCCUCCACCCCCUCUUCAUUCAUGGAGAGAGCCAUCAGAACAUGCCUACACUUCCAACUUACAUUUUCUGAGAGAGAACCACCUACACUUGUGUUGAGGUCAAGAUAUUCCAAUCCUAUCAUAUGAAUCUUGAUCUCUAGCCUUCCCCAAGUUGGUUUCCACUCAAAUCUUUUUUCCACCAAAUCCAUAUCCUGUGAGAGAGAGUUGAGUGUUGGGGAGACUAUCAUUGGAAGCACAAGAGCAAGGAGUUCAUCAUCAACACACCAUUUGUUACUUCUUGGAGAGUGGUGUCUCCUAGAUUGGCUAGGUGUCACUUGGGAGCCUCCGACAAGAUUGUGGAGUUGAACCAAGGAGUUUGUACAGGCAAGGAGAUCGCCUACUUCGUGAAGAUCUACCCCUAGUGAGGCAAGUCCUUCGUGGGCGACAGCCAUGGUGGGAUAGACAAGGUUGCUUCUUCGUGGACCCUUCGUGGGUGGAGCCCUCCGUGGACUCGCGCAACUGUUACCCUUCGUGGGUUGAAGUCUCCAUCAACGUGGAUGUAUUAUAGCACCACCUAUUGGAACCACGGCUCAAAAAUCUCCGUGUCUCCAAUUGUGUUUGCCUCCUCAAACUCCUCCCCUUUACCUUCAUAUGCAAUUGUGUUAAAUUCCGCUACUAUACUCUAGAAUUGCAUGUGUAGGUUGAUUGCAUGACUUGUGCUAAGUUGCUAAAACCUGCCAAGAAUGAAAAUUGGGAAAAGGCUAAGUUUUUAUUUUGUCAAGUAGUCUAAUCACCCCCCUCUAGACAUACUUUCGACCCUAUAGCGUCCAUUCUCCCCCGUCUUCCCUGCUUCCCCACCGCAUCCAGCUCCUCCGCUCUCGAUGCCGUCGCUCCGCCACCAAGGUGAAGGACAAGCGGCGACGCUAGAACACGCGAAGAAGGCGACGAGAGCGGCGAAAGGCAAGAAGAAGAAUUGGAGGUCGUCGUCGCGGUCGGCAUUGCCGCCGGGUUGGAUCCAGGGCGAUUGGAUCCGGUCCUCGCUCCGGCAGGAAGAUUUGGAUGAGCUGGCUGAGUCCGGACUGAUCGCCAAUGGUGCUCGGGGUUGCCGGAGGGGGAGACGGAGCCGCAGCCGUGACCGGGUGAGUGCGUUCUGCUCGCCACCCACAUUGACCGUGGUUUCUUGCUUCCUCCGCACCCUUUUUCCGGGUUUUUUUGAACUUCUUUGGGCCCAACUCCAUCACUUUUCUCCCAACACCAUCACAUACCUCGUGACGUUCGUGUCCAUGUGCGAGAAUUUUCUUGGUUGUCGACCGCACUGGGGCCUUUUCAAGCACAUCUUCACUAUCCGCUCUCAGUCGGUGAAGAAAGCAAACACGAGUGACGAGAAAACACACGUUAUCCAGAUGUGUGGGGGUUUGGGUAUCCAGAAGAGGAGAAGGAGCUCUUUUCCUUCCAUGACCUUUCCUAAGUUGGUUAGGGUCUGGCAGUCGACCUGGUUCUACUGCCAGGAUGUCGCCACACAAGGCCAGUCGACUGAACUUCCCGCUUUCACCUUCGAUCGUGUUCAUACCCCUUCCCAGCUAAAAGUGACUGCUGCGGAGAGGGUGGAAACAGACAUGCUGGUCGAGAGAGUGGUUCAGCUGAUCAAUCAGGGCGUGACUGGAAUGGACUUGUUGGAGGUGUUUCUCAGUCGACGCAUCCAGCCGCUUUAGGCUUGGGACCACUCGAUGUGGAUGUACUCUUGUGCCAACGACACCGCUAGGGUCCAUCCGAAGGAAGUACCGGCCAAAACGGUGGCCAUGUGGUUGAAAAGUAUUAUAGGAAACAAGGACAACCCCAGGGGAGCCAGGAGGGUCGUCCCAUUCAGCGAUAGCAAUCAACCAGACAAGGUUUGAAUUUUGCUACCUACUGUUUUCUUGUGCAUCUCGCAUCUGUCUCUGAAUCCGACUGAAAUUCGCUCGACUCUUUGUUUUGUAGAUUUAUACUGAGAUGUACUCCAUGCCCAACAGCGAGCAAAAUCUGGAGCAGGACCAUGAGGGGGAGGAUAGUGCGGACGAGAGCGGCGACUGGCAGUCUCCAUAGGAUGACGACGAGGAGGAGAGCGACGAGGUGGACGACGAUGAGGGGGUCGACUCGCCACCAUGCUUGAAGAGUCAAUCCAAACAUCUUCACGAUCCAGCGGGCGAGCGCGACAAGACCGCGGCUCCCAGUACCCAGGCGCAGAAACGCACUCGGACGUUGACUUCGGAGCCGAAGGAGAAGGUCGCCAAGCAGCCCAAGGUUGUGCCCUCAAAGGCUCAGAAAACCUUGGCGAAGAUCAAGAUGGACGUUCCCGUCGCCUCUGGGUGAGUGUUCUAUCUUUCUGUGUUUCCUUCUUCCGACUGAUACUUUUGUUGUUACCAAGUGGACUAUUGAAGGAAAUAUGCCCUAGAGGAAAUAAUAAAGUUAUUAUUUAUUUCCUUAUAUCAUGAUAAAUGUUUAUUAUUCAUGCUAGAAUUGUAUUAACCGGAAACAUAAUACAUGUGUGAAUACAUAGACAAACAGAGUGUCACUAGUAUGCCUCUACUUGACUAGCUUGUUGAUCAAAGAUGGUUAUGUUUCCUAACCAUAUACAUGUGUUGUCAUUUGAUUAAUGGGAUCACAUCAUUAGGAGAAUGAUGUGAUUCACAUGACCCAUUCCGUUAGCUUAGCACUCGAUCGUUUAGUAUAUUGCUAUUGCUUUCUUCAUGACUUAUCCAUGUUACUAUGACUAUGAGAUUAUGCAACUCCUGUUUACCGGAGGAACACUUUGUGUGCUACCAAACAUCACAACGUAACUGGGUGAUUAUAAAGGAGCUCUACAGGUGUCUCCAAAGGUACAUGUUGGGUUGUCGUAUUUCGAGAUUAGGAUUUGUCACUCCGAUUGUCGGAGAGGUAUCUCUGGGCCCUCUCGGUAAUGCACAUCACUUAAGCCUUGCAAGCAUUGCAACUAAUGAGUUAGUUGUGAGAUGAUGUAUUAUGAAACAAGUAAAGAGACUUGCCGGUAACGAGAUUAAACUAGGUAUUGAGAUACCGACGAUCGAAUCUCGGGCAAGUAACAUACCGAUGACAAAGGGAACAACGUAUGUUGUUAUGCGGUCUGACCGAUAAAGAUCUUCGUAGAAUAUGUGGGAGCCAAUAUGAGCAUCCAGGUUCCGCUAUUGGUUAUUGACCGGAGACAUGUCUCGGUCAUGUCUACAUUGUUCUCGAACCCGUAGGGUCCGCACGCUUAAAGUUACGAUGACAGUUUCAUUAUGAGUUUAUAUGUUUUGAUGUACCGAAGGUUGUUCGGAGUCCCGGAUGUGAUCACGGACAUGACGAGGAGUCUCGAAAUGGUCGAGAUAUGAAGAUUGAUAUAUUGGAAGCGUAUGUUUGGACAUCGGAAGUGUUCCGGGUGAAAUUGGCAUUUUCCCGGAGUACCGGGAGGUUACCGGAACCCCCCGGUAACUUAAUGGGCCUUAAUGGGCCUAGUGGAGGAAGAGGAGAGGAGGCCAAAGGGCAACCGCGCGCCCCUCCCCCCCAAGUCCGAAUUGGACAAGGAGGGGGGCGGUGCCCCCCCUUCCUUUCCCCUCUCUCUCUCCUUCCCCCCAAGUCCUAGUCCAACAUGAAAAUGGGGGGAGUCCUACUCCCGGUGGGAGUAGGACUCCUCCUGGCGUGCCCUCCUCCUGGCCGGCCGCACCCCCCUUGCUCCUUUAUAUACGGGGGCGGGGGGCACCCCAGAGACACAACAAUUGAUCCUUGAGAUCUCUUAGCCGUGUGCGGUGCCCCCCUCCACCAUAGUCCUCGAUAAUAUUGUAGCGGUGCUUAGGAGAAGCCCUGCGACGGUAGAACAUCAAGAUCGUCACCACGCCGUCGUGCUGACGGAACUCUUCCCCGACACUUUGCUGGAUCGGAGUCCGGGUAUCGUCAUCGAGAUGAACGUGUGCUAGAACUCGGAGGUGUCGUUGUUUCGGUGCUUGAUCGGUCAGGCCGUGAAGACGUACGACUACAUCAACCGCGUUGUUAUAACGCUUCCGCUUUCGGUCUACGAGGGUACGUGGACAUACUCUCCCCUCUCGUUGCUAUGCAUCACCGUGAUCUUGCGUGUGCGUAGGAAUUUUUUUGAAAUUACUACGUUCCCCAAAAGUGGCAUCAAAGCCAGGUUUUAUGCAUAGAUGUCAUAUGCAUGAGUAGAACACAAGUGAGUUGUGGGCGAUAUAAGUCAUACUGCUUACCAGCAUGUCAUACUUUGGUUCAGCGGUAUUGUGAGAUGAAGCGGCCCGGACCGACAUUACGCGUACGCUUACGCGAGACUGGUUUCACCGCCACGAGCACUAGUUGCUUAAAGGUGACCGGCAGGUGUCUGUCUCUCUCACUUUAGUUGAACCGAGUGUGGCUACGCCCAGUCCUUGCGAAGGAUAAAACAUCACCAACUUGAGAAACUAUCGUUGUGGUUUUGAUGCGUAGGUAAGAACGAUUCUUGCUCAGCCCGUAGCAGUCACGUAAAAUUUGCAACAACAAAGUAGAGGACGUCUAACUUGUUUUUGCAGGGCAUGUUGUGAUGUGAUAUGGUCAAGACAUGAUGCUAAAUUUUAUUGUAUGAGAUGAUCAUGUUUUGUAACCGAGUUAUCGGCAACUGGCAGGAGCCAUAUGGUUGUCGCUUUAUUGUAUGUAUUGCAAUCGCCCUGUAAUGCUUUACUUUAUCACUAAGCGGUAGCGAUAGUCGUAGAAGCAUAAGAUUGGCAAGACGACAACAAUGCUAUGAUGGAGAUCAAGCUGUCGCGCCGGUGACAAUGGUGAUCAUGACGGUGCUUCGAAGAUGGAGAUCGCAAGCACAAGAUGAUGAUUCCCAUAUCAUAUCACUUAUAUUGAUUGCAUGUGAUGUUUAUCUUUUAUGCAUCUUAUCUUGCUUUGAUUGACGGUAGCAUUAUAGGAUGAUCCCUCACUAAAUUAUCAUAGUAAAAGUGUUCUCCCUGAGUAUGCACCAUUGCGAAAGUUCUUCGUGCUGAGACACCACGUGAUGAUCGGGUGUGAUAGGCUCUACGUUCAAAUACAACGGGUGCAAAACAGUUGCACACGCGGAAUACUCAGGUUAAACUUGACGAGCCUAGCAUAUAAAAGAUAUGGCCUCAGAACACGGAGACCGAAAGGUCGAGCGUGAAUCAUAUAGUAGAUAUGAUCAACAUAUUGAUGUUCACCGUUGAAACUACUCCAUCUCACGUGAUGAUCGGACAUGGUGUAGUUGAUAUGGAUCACGUAAUCACUUAGAGGAUUAGAGGGAUGUCUAUCUAAGUGGGAGUUCUUUAGUAAUAUGAUUAAUUGAACUUAAAUUUAUCAUGAACUUAGUACCUGAUAGUAUCUUGCUUGUCUAUGUUGAUUGUAGAUAGAUGCCCCGUGUUGUUGUUCUGUUGAAUUUUAAUGCGUUCCUUGAGAAAGCAAAGUUGAAAGAUGAUGGUAGCAAUUACACGGACUGGGUCCGUAAGUUGAGGAUUAUCAUCAUUGCUGCAGAGAAGAAUUACAUCCUGGAAGCACCGCUGGGUGCCAGGCCUGCUGCUGGAGCAACACCAGAUGUUAUGAACGUCUGGCAGAGCAAAGCUGAUGACUACUCUAUAGUUCAGUGUGCCAUGCUUUACGACUUCGAACUGGGUCUUCAACGAUGUUUUGAACGUCAUGGAGCAUAUGAGAUGUUCCAGGAAUUGAAGUUAAUAUUUCAAGCAAAUGCCCGAAUUGAGAGGUAUGAAGUCUCCAAUAAAUUCUACAACUGCAAGAUGGAGGAGAACAGUUCUGUCAGUGAGCAUAUACUCAAAAUGUCUGGGUAUAAUAAUCACUUGAUUCAACUGGGAGUUAAUAUUCCGGAUGAUAGCGACAUUGACAGAAUUCUCCAAUCACUGCCACCAAGCUAUAAGAGCUUUGUGAUGAACUAUAAUAUGCAAGGGAUGGAAAAGACUAUUCCCGAGCUCUUCGCGAUGCUAAAAGCUGCGGAGGUAGAAAUCAAGUAGGAGCAUCAAGUGUUGAUGGUUAACAAGACCACUAGUUUCAAGAAAAAGGGCAAAGGGAACAAGAAGGGAAACUUCAAGAAGAACAUCAAACAAGUUGCUGCUCAGGAGAAGAAACCCAAGUCUGGACCUAAGCCUGAAACUGAGUGCUUCUACUGCAAGCAGACUGGUCACUGGAAGCGGAACUGCCCCAAGUAUUUGGCGGAUAAGAAGGAUGGCAAGGUGAACAAAGGUAUAUGUGAUAUACAUGUUAUUGAUGUGUACCUUACUAAUGCUCACAGUAGCACCUGGGUAUUUGAUACUGGUUCUGUUGCUAAUAUUUGUAACUCGAAACAGGGACUACGGAUUAAGCAAAGAUUAGCUAAGGACGAGGUGACGAUGCGCGUGGGAAAUGGUUCCAAAGUCGAUGUGAUCGCGGUCGGCACGCUACCUCUACAUUUACUUUCGGGAUUAGUUUUAGACCUAAAUAAUUGUUAUUUGGUGCCAGCGUUGAGCAUGAACAUUAUAUCUGGAUCUUGUUUGAUGCGAGGCGGUUAUUCAUUUAAAUCAAAGAAUAAUGGUUGUUCUAUUUAUAUGAGUAAUAUCUUUUAUGGUCAUGCACCCUUGAAGAGUGGUCUAUUUUUAUUGAAUCUUGAUAGUAGUGAUACACAUAUUCAUAAUGUUGAAGCCAAAAGAUGCAGUGUUGAUAAUGAUAGUGCAACUUAUUUGUGGCACUGCCGUUUAGGUCAUAUCGGUGUAAAGCGCAUGAAGAAACUCCAUACUGAUGGACUUUUGGAAUGACUUGAUUAUGAAUCACUUGGUACUUGCGAACCGUGCCUCAUGGGCAAGAUGACUAAAACACCGUUCUCCGGUACUAUGGAGGGAGCAACUGAUUUAUUAAAGAUCAUACAUACAGAUGUAUGUGGUCCAAUGAAUGUUGAGGCUCGUGGCGGAUAUCGUUAUUUUCUCACCUUCACAGAUGAUUUGAGCAGAUAUGGGUAUAUCUACUUAAUGAAGCAUAAGUCUGAAACAUUUGAAAAGUUUAAAGAAUUUCAGAGUGAAGUUGAAAAUCAUCGUAACAAGAAAAUAAAGUUUGUACAAUCUGAUCAUGGAGGAGAAUAUUUGAGUUACGAGUUUGGUCUACAUUUGAAACAAUGCGGAAUAGUUUCGCAACUAACGCCACCUGGAACACCAUAGCGUAAUGGUGUGUCCGAACGUCGUAAUCGUACUUUAUUAGAUAUGGUGUGAUCUAUGAUGUCUCUUACAGAUUUACCGCUGUCAUUUUGGGGUUAUGCUUUAGAGACGGCCGCAUUCACGUUAAAUAGGGCACCAUCAAAAUCCGUUGAGACGACGCCUUAUGAACUGUGGUUUGGCAACAAACCAAAGUUGUCGUUUCUGAAAGUUUGGGGCUGCGAUGCUUAUGUGAAAAAGCUUCAACCUGAUAAGCUCGAACCCAAAUCGGAGAAAUGUGUCUUCAUAGGAUACCCAAAGGAGACUGUUGGGUACACCUUCUGUCACAGAUCCGAAGGCAAGACGUUUGUCGCUAAAUUCAGAUACUCUCUGGAGAAGGAGUUUCUCUCGAAAGAAGUGAGUGGGAGGAAAGUAGAACUUGAUGAGGUAACUAUACCUGCUCCCUUAUUGGAAAGUAGUAUAUCGCAGAAACAGGUUUCUAUGACACCUACACCAAUUAGUGAGGAAGAUAAUGAUGAUGAUCAUGAAACUUCAGAUCAAGUUGUUACUGAACCUCGUAGAUCAACCAGAGUAAGAUACGCACUAGAGUGGUACGGUAAUCCUAUUCUGGAAGUCAUGUUACUAGACCAUGAUGAACCUACGAACUAUGAAGAAGCGAUGGUGAGCCCAGAUUCUGCAAAAUGGCUUGAGGCCAUGAAAUCUGAGAUGGGAUCCAUGUAUGAGAACAAAGUGUGGACUUUGGUUGACUUGCCCGAUGAUCGGCAAGCAAUUGAAAAUAAAUGGAUCUUCAAGAAGAAGACUGACGCUGACGGUAAUGUUACUGUCUACAAAGCUCGACUUGUCGUGAAAGGUUUUCGACAAGUUCAAGGGGUUGACUACGAUGAGACCUUCGCACCCGUAGCGAUGCUUAAGUCUGUCCGAAUCAUGUUAGCAAUUGCCGCAUUUUAUGAUUAUGAAAUAUGGCAGAUGGAUGUCAAAACUGCAUUCCUGAAUGGUUUUCUGGAAGAAGAGUUGUAUAUGAUGCAACCGGAAGGUUUUGUCGAUCCAAAGGGAGCUAACAAAGUGUGCAAGCUCCAACGAUCCAUUUAUGGACUGGUGCAAGCCUCUCGGAGUUGGAAUAAACGCUUUGAUAGUGUGAUCAAAGCAUUUGGUUUUAUACAGACUUUUGGAGAAGCCUGUAUUUACAAGAAAGUGAGUGGGAGCUCCGUAGCCUUUCUGAUACUAUAUGUAGAUGACAUAUUGCUGAUCGGAAAUGAUAUAGAAUUUCUGGAUAGCACAAAAGGAUACUUGAAUAAGAGUUUUUCAAUGAAAGACCUCGGUGAAGCUGCUUACAUAUUGGGCAUUAAGAUCUAUAGAGAUAGAUCAAGACGCUUAAUUGGACUUUCACAAAGCACAUACCUUAACAAAGUUUUGAAGAAGUUCAAAAUGGAUCAAGCAAAGAAAGGGUUCUUGCAUGUGUUACAAGGUGUGAAGUUUAGUAAGACUCAAUGCCCGACCACUGCAGAAGAUAGAGAAAAGAUGAAAGAAGUUCCCUAUGCUUCAGCCAUAGGAUCUAUCAUGUAUGCAAUGUUGUGUACCAGACCUGAUGUGUGCCUUGCUAUAAGUUUAGCAGGGAGGUACCAAAGUAAUCCAGGAGUGGAUCACUGGACAGCGGUCAAGAACAUCCUGAAAUACCUGAAAAGGACUAAGGAUAUGUUUCUCGUUUAUGGAGGUGACAAAGAGCUCAUCGUAAAUGGUUACGUUGAUGCAAGCUUUGACACUGAUCCGGACGAUUCUAAAUCGCAAACCGGAUACGUGUUUACAUUGAACGGUGGAGCUGUCAGUUGGUGCAGUUCUAAACAAAGCGUUGUGGCGGGAUCUACAUGUGAAGCGGAGUACAUAGCUGCUUCAGAAGCAGCAAAUAAAGGAGUCUGGAUGAAGGAGUUCAUAUCCGAUCUAGUUGUCAUACCUAGUGCAUCGGGUCCAAUGAAAAUCUUUUGUGACAAUACUGGUGCAAUUGCUUUGGCGAAGGAAUCCAGAUUUCACAAAAGAACCAAGCACAUCAAGAAACGCUUCAAUUCCAUUCUAGAUUUAGUCCAAGUGGGAGACAUAGAAAUUUGCAAGAUACAUACGGAUCUAAAUGUAGCAGACCCGUUGACUAAGCCUCUUCCACGAGCAAAACAUGAUCAGCACCAAGGCUCCGUGGGUGUUAGAAUCAUUACAGUGUAAUCUAGAUUAUUGACUCUAGUGCAAGUGGGAGACUGAAGGAAAUAUACCCUAGAGGCAAUACUAAAGUUAUUAUUUAUUUCCUUAUAUCAUGAUAAAUGUUUAUUAUUCAUGCUAGAAUUGUAUUAACCGGAAACAUAAUACAUGUGUGAAUACAUAGACAAACAACGUGUCACUAGUAUGCCUCUACUUGACUAGCUUGUUGAUCAAAGAUGGUUAUGUUUCCUAACCAUAGACAUGUGUUGUCAUUUGAUUAAUGGGAUCACAUCAUUAGCAGAAUGAUGUGAUUGAAAUGACCCAUUCCGUUAGCUUAGCACACGAUCGUUUAGUAUAUUGCUAUUGCUUUCUUCAUGACUUAUACAUGUUCCUAUGACUAUGAGAUUAUACAACUCCCAUUUACCGGAGGAACACUUUGUGUGCUACCAAAUGUCACAACGUAACUGGGUGAUUAUAAAGGAGCUCUACAGGUGUCUCCAAAGGUACAUGUUGGGUUGGCGUAUUUCGAGAUUAGGAGUUGUCACUCCGAUUGUCGGAGAGGUAUCUCUGGGCCCUCUCAGUAAUGCACAUCACUUAAGCCUUGCAAGCAUUGCAACUAAUGAGUUAGUUGUGAGAUGAUGUAUUACGGAACGAGUAAAGAGACUUGCCGGUAACGAGAUUGAACUAGGUAUUGAGAUACCGACGAUCGAAUCUCGGGCAAGUAAUAUACCGAUGACAAAGGGAACAACGUAUGUUGUUAUGCGGUCUGACCGAUAAAGAUCUUCGUAGAAUAUGUGGGAGCCAAUAUGAGCAAUCCAGGUUCCGCUAUUGGUUAUUGACUAGAGACGUGUCUCGGUCAUGUCUACAUUGUUCUCGAACCCGUAGGGUCCGCACGCUUAAAGUUACGAUGACAGUUUCAUUAUGAGUUUAUAUGUUUUGAUGUACCGAAGAUUGUUCGGAGUCUCGAAUGUGAUCACGGACAUGACGAGGAGUCUCGAAAUGGUCGAGACAUGAAGAUUGAUAUAUUGGAAGCCUAUGUUUGGACAUCGAAAGUGUUCCGGGUGAAAUCGGCAUUUUACCGGAGUACCGGGAGGUUACCGGAACCCCCCGGUAACUAAAUGGGCCUUAAUGGACCUAGUGGAGGAAGAGGAGAGGAGGCCAAGGGGCAGCCGCGCGCCCCUCCCCCCAAGUCCAAAUUGGACAAGGAGGGGGGGGGGGCGCCCCCCUUUCCUUUCCCCUCUCUCUCUCCUUCCCCCCAAGUCCUAGUCCAACAUGGAAAAGGGGGGAGUCCUACUCCCGGUGGGAGUAGGACUCCUCCUGGCACGCCCUCCUCCUGGCCGGCCGCACCCCCCUUGCUCCUUUAUAUACGGGGGCGGGGGGGGGCACCCUAGAGACACAACAAUUGAUCCUUGAGAUCUCUUAGCCGUGUGCGGUGCCCCCCUCCACCAUAGUCCUCGAUAAUAUUGUAGCGGUGCUUAGGCGAAGCCCUGCGACGGUAGAACAUCAAGAUCGUCACCACGCCAUCAUGCUGACGGAACUCUUCCCCGACACUUUGCUGGAUCGGAGUCCGGGGAUCGUCAUCGAGCUGAACGUGUGCUAGAACUCGGAGGUGUCGUAGUUUCGGUGCUUGAUCGGUCGGGCCGUGAAGACGUACGACUACAUCAACCGCGUUGUUAUAACACUUCCGCUUUCGGUCUACGAGGGUACGUGGACAUACUCUCCCCUCUUGUUGCUAUGCAUCACCAUGAUCUUGGGUGUGCAUAUGAAUUUUUUUGAAAUUACUACGUUCCCCAACAACUAUGAACUUUUUCAGCGCUGCAACUUCUAUGACUGACAUGGAUGUCGACAAGGCCCCUGGGGACGAGGAAGUUGAUGACGCGGCCUCUUCUAGAGCAGGUAGGCCUUUCUCAAGUUGAAUUUAUGCCGCCGAUUGAUUUGUUGGUCGAUUCAACUCUUGGCAUUGUUUUUGUCAUAGUUCCGCGGGACGUCAUUACUCUUCCGGACGACGAUGAUGAGGAGGUGCCUCUGAGGGAGAGGAGAAUGAAGGGCAAGGCCUCGAGCGGGAAGGCGACUGAGGGACAGGUGCUUGAGUCAGUGGUCGAGCGAACCAGAGAUCUGGCUCGGACCAGCGUCACUUUCGCCAAUCCGCUGUUGACUGACCGUCCAUCAGGGUCGGCUGCUCAGGCCCCUGCCGCUCCGAUACAACUCCAUGUAUCCAAUCCUGUGGGUGCUCCAACUGCGUUGCUAUCAUCCCUCUUUGCUAUAUACCAGACUCCGAACCAUCUGCCGAGUGCUGCCCGAGAAGCUCUUCUCCAAGUGAACCUCGUGAUGGCGCAAAUGAAAGUGGUGCAUGAGGCUAGCCAGGUCGCGUACAACGCCACUACUGCUCUGCAGGCAAAUGUCAAGGUUAGUUGAUUUCCGACUGAUCUUUUGAGUAGUGAUAGUUGCCACCACCGCUUCGCUGCCCAUAUGAUGUCCUUGGAUGAUCGCUUUUGGAACCUUUUAUGUGCAUCUAUGAAUCUACAUUUCUCAUCCAACCACCCACUGUGGUGUUCCUGUAAUCAGCGGAAUAGCUUUUCUGGUUGAGUCGACUAGGUUGAGUCGAGUAUUUUUCUGAACCAGUGGGGGCGCGCAUAGUGCACCCACUGGGUGUAGUCCCUGAGAUCACGGUCGACUGCUGGCAGUUGACUGGGGUCUGAGAAUCACGUAUAUUUUUUUUACCCGUGCUGGACAGACCAUGCCGAGUUUAACAACCGGACCAGUGGGGGCACGCCAAGUGCACCCACUGGGUGUAGUACCCGAGUACCAUUGAAUGUUUGAUUCGGAGGUAGUCUUAGAACAACUUUUACUGAAACUGACUUGUGCUUCUGUCGACUGACGUAUCCCUUUUGCUGAUUAUAGAAUUCUUGUGAUCUUGGGGCUCAACUUUUUGAGCUGGACAAGAAGCAGAUCAGCAUCAAUCUUGACUUGGAGUUGGCCAAGAAGAACCUCAAGAAGGCCUAGGACAAAACAACUAUCAUGGGAGGUAACCACUCGGAACCUUUUACGUUAUGAUUCUUCCUUUCUUCUUUCCAGUCUCUUUGAACCGAGUGAUCCCACUCGAACAGAUGUGUGUAGUGAAAACCGUCAACUUCAGGCUCGUCUAAAGAAUGCUAUUUCUUUAGACAAAAUGAAGCAGGCUCUGGAGAAGGACUUGGACCUUGCUGCAGCCCAAAAGGAGGCGCGAGAGAGAACAUCGCUUGCGGACAACAAGCUGGCUUUAGUCGGCAAAUUAGAAGAUGAGAUCGCGUAGCUGAAGAAGGACAAGGAGAGCUUGACUGAUGAAGUAGGGAACCUCAAAACCAAACAGGGUGAGUUGGAGUCGUAUCUGGGGCAGCUUGCUGCGAAGUUGGUCUUGAAACUUGAAGGUAUUUCCUCUGAUUCGACUGAUUUGAGACGUCGACUGACAUAUCUUGUUGAACUGUCGACUCAUUGUUUUUCUGACUACACAGAGCUCUACCAGGACUUUGAAGCAGAAACCGGGCGGGUUGAGACAGGUCUCGAUCCCAUAAACUUCCCCGUCAAAGACGAUGUUGCGAUGAACGUGUUGCGGCUGGAGUCUCGUUUGGACAACGCCGUGGACUACCUCGCUCGACUGAAGGUCGCGAUGACGCGGGUUGAUGAUGAACUCUGGCCUCAGGCGGAACUCUCGCAGGAUCUCGAGUCUCUGAUGGCUUGGCUGAAUCAAAUCCCCGGUCGAGUGCAGGAAUGGAAGAAGUCGUCAGCUCGGUGUGGUGCUGACGUUGCUCUGUCACUGGUCCGAGUGCAUUGCAAGGACGUCAGAGAAGACAAGCUGGCGGCCCUCAAGGUUGCCAACACAAAGAAGCUCAACUUCCAGUCCUUCAUGGACACCUUCCUUGACGCCGCCACACGCAUCGCAGAAAGCACCGACCUUGACAGCUUCGUCGAGCCAGCAAGUCCUCCUCCUGCCGAGUGAACAAACAUUAUGCCAUACCCUUUAUUUGCCUCGGGAUGCCGAGUGAUUAUGUAACCGUUAAACUCCAUCGGGCUUGAUGCCCGAGCACUUCUGUCCGUCGUGGUUCUGAACUUUUGAGGGAUUUAUCUGAGCUUUGUUUUCCUUGAAUAUCUUGGCUCUUGCUCUUGUUGCUUUCGAGUGUUUUUUGAUUCUGAACCGAUUUGUCCUUGAGGACGAUGGAGUGCACAUUGUACUUGUGGUGUAGCUCAGACACGGUGUUCAGUCGACACCUCAUCGUCCUUGCGGAUCGGGAUGGAGCGCACAAUGUACUUGUGGUGCAGCUCAAACGCUGUGUUCAAUCGACACCUCGUCGUCCUUGCAGAUCGGGAUGGAGCACACAUUGUACUUGUGGCGUAGCUCAGGGGAUCUUUCGUGACUUAGGCGAUCACGGGGUCGCAGCUAAGCCCCCGAGUGGGAGGAUUGCUCUCCACUCAGAAUAUUUUUAACUUAGGCGAUUACGGGGUUGCAGCUAAGCCCCCGAGUGGGAGGAUUGCUCUCCACUCGGAAAUGUUUUUUAACUUAGGCGAUUACGGGGUCGCAGCUAAGCCCCGAGUGGGAGGAUUGCUCUCCACUCGGAAAUGUUUUUUAACUUAGGCGAUUACGGGGUCGCAGCUAAGCCCCCGCGUGGGAGGAUUUCUCUCCANNNNNNNNNNNNNNNNNNNNNNNNNNNNNNNNNNNNNNNNNNNNNNNNNNNNNNNNNNNNNNNNNNNNNNNNNNNNNNNNNNNNNNNNNNNNNNNNNNNNNNNNNNNNNNNNNNNNNNNNNNNNNNNNNNNNNNNNNNNNNNNNNNNNNNNNNNNNNNNNNNNNNNNNNNNNNNNNNNNNNNNNNNNNNNNNNNNNNNNNNNNNNNNNNNNNNNNNNNNNNNNNNNNNNNNNNNNNNNNNNNNNNNNNNNNNNNNNNNNNNNNNNNNNNNNNNNNNNNNNNNNNNNNNNUGCUCUCCACUCGGAAUGUUUUUAACUUAGGCGAUUACGGUGUCGCAGCUAUGCCCCCGAGUGGGAGGAUUUCUCUCCACUCAGAAUGUUUUUAACUUAGGCGAUUAUGGGGUCGCAGCUAAGCCCCCGAGUGGGAGGAUUGCUCUCCACUUGGAAUGUUUUUUAACUUAGGUGAAUCGGAUUCGCAGCUAAGCCACCCACUGGCGGAUUUUAGACACAUAUGCUUAUGGGAAACUGAUCAUUAUGAUACUGAAAAAAUCUUGUCUUUGAGAAGCAAAUUGAAACACUUUUAUUACAACUCGUCAGGUCGAGUGAUCUAUGUGUAGAAGUGGUGGAGCAGCUCUGCAUUCCACGCACGUGGCUCGUCUAUCUUCUUGGCUAUGUUGUAGAUGUGGUAGGCUCCAUUGUGAAGCACCUUGGUGAUGGUGACGGGGCCUUCCCAGGCCGGAGCAAGCUUGUGAGGCCGUUUCUGAUCCACUCGGAGAACCAGGUCUCCUUCUUGGAACGCUCGUCCUCUGACAUUUCGGGCAUGGAGUCGACGCAGAUCUUGCUGGUAGAUGGUCGACCGGAUCAAAGCCAUUUCACGUUCUUCUUCCAGGAGAUCUACAACGUCUUCUCGUGCUUGCUCUGCUUCGGCUUCUGUGAAUAGUUCCACUCGGGGGGCAUUGUGCAGCAAAUCACUCAGAAGAACAGCCUUGACACCGUACACCAAGAAGAAAGGAGUCCGUCCAGUCGACCGAUUUGGCGUUGUUCUCAGCCCCCACAAGACGGACGGCAACUCGGUUACCCAGGCUCCAGCAGCAUGCUUGAGGUCAUGCAUUAGGCGGGGUUUUAAUCCUUGGAGGAUCAAACCAUUCGCCCUUUCUGCUUGUCCGUUUGAUUGCGGGUGUGCGACUGAUGCGUAAUUUACCCGAGUGCCUUGGGUUGUGCAGAAUGCCUUAAACUCGUCAGAAUCAAAGUUGGAGCCAUUAUCUAUGAUAAUGUUGUGAGGAACUCCAUAUCUGAAUAUCAACUCCUUGAUGAAACUGACAGCAGUGCUUGCACCGAGGUUCUUGAUGGGCCUAGCUUCGAUCCAUUUAGCGAACUUGUCGACUGCUACAAGCAAAUGGGUGAAACCACUCGCACCGGUCUUGAAGGGGCCAACCAUAUCCAACCCCCAGACUGCAAAUGGCCAGACGAGUGGAAUAAUCUUCAAGGCAGACGCAAGUUUGUGGGACAUGUUGGAAUAGAAUUGACAGCCUGCACACUUGUUGACUAUAUCCUUUGCCAUUUUGUUUGCUCGAGGCCAAUAGAAUCCUGCUCGGUAUGCUUUGGCCACGAUGGUCCGAGAGGACGCAUGGUAGCCACAGGUCCCCGAGUGGAUGUCAUUUAAGAUCACUCGACCUUCUUCUGGGGUGAUGCAGCACUGAGCCACUCAUGUGGCACUUUCUCUGUAAAGAUGUCCUUUCAUCACUGUAAAAGCUUUGGAUCGACGGACUAUCUGACAGGCUUCAUCCUCAUCCUCUAGGAGUUCCUUUCUGAGAAUGUACGCAAUGUACGGUACUGUCCAGUCGGGUGUGAUCACCAAGACUUCCAUGAUGAAGUCGACCACAGCUAGAAUCUCAAUCUUAGUCGGGUUGGUUAAACUUAUCGGUUGCGGGGGCUCUUCCUUGAAGGGAUCCUCUUGUACUGACGGGGUGUGGAGAUGCUCCAAGAACACAUUGCUAGGGACAGGCUUCCGAGUGGAACCUAUCUUCGCCAGAUCAUCAGCCGCUUGAUUCUUGAGUCGAGGUAUGUGGUGGAGCUCUAACCCCUCAAACUUCUUCUCUAGCUUUCUUACCGCGUUGUAGUAACCAGUCAUUGCGGGACUCCUGACAUCCCAUUCCUUCAUUACCUAAUUAACCACUAAAUCUGACUCGCUAUAGACCAUCAAGCGCCGGACUCCGAGUGAGAUGGCCAUACGCAACCCAUACAAUAGUGCCUCAUAUUCAGCUUCAUUAUUAGAAGAAUCAAAGUGAAUCUGGAGGACAUAACUGAGCUUGUCUCCUCCUGGGGACACUAAGACCACUCCUGCGCUAGAGCCGUUCAACAUCUUGGACCCAUCAAAGAACAUGGUCCAAUGUUCCGACUGGAUUUGAGUCGGUUGUUGUUGUUUUGUCCACUCUGCGAGGAAAUCUGCAAUUGCUUGAGACUUGAUGGACUUCUUUGCCUCAAACUUGAUAUCCAAUGGAAGAAGUUCAAUCGCCCACUUUGCCACUCGACCAGUUGCAUCUCUAUUGUUCAGGAUCUCUGAUAAUGGAGCGUCGCUGACGACUGAAACUGAAUGAUUAGAGAAAUAAUGUGCAACUUUCUUCAUGGUCAAGUAGAUCCCAUAAACAAGCUUCUGAUAAUGAGGGUAUCUCUGCUUGGACGGGGUCAGGACCUCUGAAAUGUAAUAGACUGGGCGCUGAACUUUGAAGGCUUUGCCUUCCUCUUCCCGCUCGACUGUGAGCACUGUGCUGACAACUCGUCCUGUGGCUGCGAUGUAAAGCAAAAGAGGCUCUUUACUGAUUGGAGUAGCAAGCAUCGGCUGGGUGGAAAGCAGGGCUUUGAGCUCUUCAAACGCUGCUUUGGCUUUGUCAUUCCAAUCGAACUUGUCAGACUUCUUCAUCAGUCGGUAAAGAGGCAAUGCCUUUUCACCGAGGCGUGAGAUGAAUCGACUCAAUGCAGCCAAACAACUAGUAAGCUUCUGAACAUCUUGCACUCGCACUAGGCGCUUCAUUCGAAGGAUUGUGCCAAUCUUUUCUGGAUUUGCGUCGAUUCCUCGUUCGGAAACGAGAAAACCGAGUAAUUUUCCGCCUGGGACUCCGAAUGUGUAUUUUGAUGGAUUGAACUUGACAUCAUACCAUCUUAGGUUGGCAAAGGUUUCAGCAAGGUCAGUCAGCAGGUCGGAACCUUAGCAUGCCUUAACCACUAUGUCGUCCAUGUAUGCUUUCACAUUCCGACUUAUCUGAGUGAGCAGGCACUUCCAGAUCAUGCGCAUGAACGUGGCACCAGCAUUGUUGAGGCCGAAGGGCAUGGUGACAUAACAAAAGCACCUGAACGGGGUGAUGAAAGCAUUCUUGAUCUCAUCGGGUCCAAACAGUCGGAUCUGUUGGUACCCGGAAUAAGCAUCCAGAAAGGACAGUUGUUUGCAUCCCGUAGUUGAAUCGACUAUCUGGUCGAUGCGGGGCAGAUGAAAAUGAUCUUUUGGGCAAGCCCGAUUGAUGUGCUUGAAGUCAAUACACAUUCGAAAUGAUUUGUCUUUCUUGGGAACCAUAACGACAUUGGCGAGCCACUCGGAGUGGUAUAUCUGGCGGAUGAACUCAGCCGCCAGAAGCCGAGCCACUUCCUCGCCAAUUGCCUUCCUCUUCUCCAUGGUGGACCGACGGAGAUGCUCUUUGACCUGUUUUGCUUUUGAGUCAACUCACAAACGGUGCUCAGCCAGUUCCCUGGGUAUACCCAACAUGUUAGAUGGCUUCCAUGCGAAGAUGUCCUAGUUCUCACGGAGGAACUGGAUGAGUGCGGCUUCCUAUUUGCUCUCGAGUGUCGUUGAGAUGUGGGUUGGAGCGGCAUUGGGAUCGGUCGGGUGGAUGUGAACUGGCUUGGUCUCCCCGGCCGACUGGAAUGCAUACUCUAAGGCAGGUCUCUCGGCAUGCAACAAAUCACUCGGAUCUGCUGUCUUCUGGUACUCUUGGAACUCCACAGCUGUCAUCUGCUCGUCUUCUAUCUUUGCGCCAUCCUGAAGACAAUCUUCUGCUUUUUCCGGUUACCAGAGACUGUUAUCACGCCUUUGGGGCCAGGCAUCUUCAUUUGAGGUAUACAUAACAUGGUCGAGCCAUGAAGCUGGCAUAGGCAGGUCUGUCCAGAAUGGCGUGAUAAGCACUCUCAAAAUCCACAACCUCAAACGUUAACUUCUCCUUGCGAUAAUUCUUUUCGUCGCCGAAAACCACAUCAAGAGCAAUCUGGCCAAGUGAAUCGGCUUUCUUUCUUGGGAUGACUCUGUGGAACCUCAUGUUGCUCUCGCUGAGUUUGGACAUCGGAAUGCCCAUCCCCUUAAGAGCUUCGGCGUACAGGAUAUUGAGGCCACUACCACCAUCCAUCAGAACUUUGGUCAGUAGAGUGCCCCCAACAACUGGGUCGACCACCAGCACCUGCCACCCAGGGGUAGCUACUCGCGGCGGGUGGUCUGACUGGUCGAAUGUCAUUGGGGUUUUUGACCACUUCAGAAAUUUCGGUGUUGCCGGAGCAACCAUGUUCACCUCUUUGUUAAUGACUUUCAAUAGACUUUUGCUCUCGACAUCAGCAAAAAUCACCAGGGUGGCAUUAACAUGGGGAUAUCCUUCUUCCUCUUCCUCCUUGUCUUCCUCCUUCUCAGAAUCUUUAUCCUUUUCGUUGGGCUGACCCUUCUUUUGGAAGCUCCGGAUCAGGAGUCGACACUGUCGAGUGGUACGCUUGGGGAGAAUCGGAUUCCCCUCUUCAUCUUUCUUAGUGUGGAAAUGACACGAAAAAUCCAUCACAUCAUUUCCAACUUGAUCUUUUACUUUCUUGGGAUUCGAGGGCCCUUUGGGCUUCCCUUUGAACUUUCCUUGAUUCAACACUGUUGCCUCGGCGGGUCCUGCUGCCUCAGCCUUUCGCUUCUGCUUCCGACUGGAAUUUCUCCUCCGAUGUCUUGGGCGACUGUUUUGUGCUUACCACUCCGGAGUCGGUCUUCCUCUUUGACGUUAGCGUACUUGGUGGCAAUCUCCAUCAUCCGAGUCAGAGUCAUAUCUCCUGUCCGACCGAACUUCAGAUUGAGCUCUCUGUAGCGAACGCCCUCUUUGAAGGCACAAACUGCUUGGUGAUCUGACACAUUCUCCACUGUGUGGUGCAGAGUGAUCCAUCUCUGGAUAUAAUAUCUCAAGGUUUCAUUCGGUUUUUGCACACAAUGCUGCAACUUUGGUAGACCGGCAGGUCUCUUGCAGGUGUCCUCGAAUGUUCUGGUAAAUACACGGGCCAACUCAUCCCAACUCAAGAUGCUCCCCGGGGCCAACUGAUUGAGCCAAGCUCGGGCAGAACCUUCAAGCAUCAGAGGGAGGUGCUUCAUGUCCACCUCAUUGCUGCCACCGCCGAUGUGCACAGCCACUCGGUAAUCUUCAAGCCAAGUAUCUGGCUUCGACUCUCCCGUGAACUUGCUGACACCAGUUGCCAUCUGAAGUUGUGGGGGAUCUCGGUGGCUCUGAUGGCUCUCUCGAUGCACUCGCGGCCAGAUACGUGGACCCUGCUCCCGCUGGGUCUGUCUCUGUCUAGCCCUUCUUUGUAUGCUUUGUUCUGGUCGACCAAGCCCUGAACAAGGGCUGGCCUCGCAUCGAACCCAGGCUCUCUUGGGUCGACUGGAACUCUACGGUCAUUACCGUAUGGACGCGUGUCGUCAUACCACCGGGGCACGUAUGACCCGCCCCUCAGAAGGGGCGAAGGCACUCGAUGGUAGUUGUCGCGGGUGAACUCACGAUCAUCAUCUCCAUGAACUCUUCCCAAAUGCCGAUCCUGAUGAUGCUCACGAUCCCUUUGCCUCAGCGGUGACCUAGGACUGUGUGCCAACUGGAUGGUAUCUGCCAUUACCAAUCGACUGUGAAUUCUGUUCCACGAUUGGUACACGGCUGAGUUCUGAUCUCCUGCCGCUCGGAGCAGCGCUCUGAUCUGUUCCAAGCCCCUUCCCGCCUCCGAGCGAGAUGGCUGAAUGGACUCCGUAAUACGUACAGCAGCUGCGAGAUUCUGAAUCAGCGUGUGGAAUACCUGAGUUUCCGGUGGAAACAGUUGCCGUGUAUGCCCACUGGAUCCGAGGAUCAAUCGAUGGGCACGCUCGUCGAGAGAAUGUUGGAGAUUCUCCAAACGAGUGUGCUCGGCCAGCAUGGCCAGGUGCACGUCCUCCAAAGCCCGAGCUUCAGCGGUUUCCCCUAUGAUGGGGGUAUGGAGAGCCUCCUCGUUGCGGCGACGCAGCUCCUCCCUCCGCUACAAACUGAAAGGUUGGGGCUAGUACUCCUCAUGGCCGAGCGACGUACCGUCGCCGUCCAUGUCCUCACUGCUGCGACGGAAACCGGGCGGGCCGCGAUGAGAGUCGACCAUGAGGACUUCCACCGCGGGGUCACAACUCCCGCUCUCGGAAAGUGUGUCUGCAAAGUCAGUCGACGGGUCGACUGGACCGCAGUGAUAUACGUCGGCCUCGAUCGCCGCAACCUGUGGGGUGAACGCAUGCCGAGCCACCGUGUGCUUCACCCACCGCUGGAGCCGUGACCGGCCCGAUCGCUUGCGGCGACGUCCAGCGGAGCGAGAGGUCGACAUCGGCGUCGACUGGUACGGGGUCGACGGCUGUCGAAGGAGGACGCCACGGGCACUCGCGCAGAAGUGCGACGAACCUCGGAUCGGCAGUGCCUCGACGUCGAGGGGGGCCUCCUGGAGCCAGGCCGAGUCGCCGGCGACAAAAGUGAGCGCGCCAAGUUGGAACUCGCGGCCCAUAACCAAACCGCCACCAAAAACUAUGUUGAUGAAGACUGAAGAAAAUGCAACCUCGCCGGAAGUCGCUAAGACGCUUUGCGCCACGGUGGGCGCCAACUGUCGUGGUACUAAGACUGACAGUAAGAGUAGGGGGUACGUAUGAGGAGGCAAGGUCCUAACUACGGUGAGGUUGUACGCAAGUGUUUACGAGUUCAGGCCCCUCUCGGAGGAGGUAAAAGCCCUACGUCUCGGUGCCCGGAGGCGGUCGACUAGAUUUCAGUAUAUGUGUGUGUGUGUGUGUGUUACAGGGGGUGCGAACCCUUGUUCCAAAGGAAGGGGUGGCUUACAUAGAGUGCGCCAGGAUCCCAGCCAUCCCCCGUUACAGAGAGUUCAAUGUACAUAAAGAGAGGGGGUUACUGAUAACGCUAGCUAUAAAGUGUUAUUAAUGUCUUUGAAGACUACGGAGUGAAUGCUUGACCGUUGCUGUUCCGUGCGACUCCUGGUCUUCAUUGGUUGAGUGGUUUCUUGUAUGGUCGAGUGGUCUCAGGAAGGAGGGGUAACCGAGUGAUAUGACUGGUCGAGUGGAUUGCACUCGACGUCUUCAUUCGGCACUCCCAGUUGUCUCUUGAGUUUCUUUGCUUCUAGGGUAGUGACCUUGGGUAGGGUAUACAGGUCAGGUCUAUGACCCUACCUUAGGUCUAUAUCAUCAUCAGGCGGCUCCGGCUCCUCCUCAUUGUCCGACCACUCCCUCUUCUUGGGAAGGAAGCCCGCGCCGGAGGACGAGGAGGAUCCGGCGUAGGAAGAUCUCGCGGAGGAGAAUGACGCGCUACAACGGUCGUACUCCUCCGUCUCGCGGCGGUUGAAGCUCGGCGGCGGCGACAUCCCACGGUUGGUCCACCUCCGUGCGCCACGCUUCCUCGUGCCGUCCGCCCGGACGCGCCGCUCGUGCUCCGGGUCGCGCUCAUGGCCGGAUCUGCUGCCGGAGCCAUGCCCGGAGCUCCACGUUCGCCCCCACAUGGCGGCUGGAGGCGGGGCGGGUGGUCGCCGGGUGGCUCGUGGCGGCGGGGGGGACAGGGUUUGAAUCUGCAAAAGGAUCGCCGAACCGCAGUUAUACUGCUCGGUGCGUGCGGUUUGCGGGCCGCGGCAAAAAAUUUUGCGAACCGGACAAGUAUGCGGGCUCUGUUCUGGCCAGAAAAUUGACCGAACCCGCAUACUCGCCGAAAUUUUUGCGGGCAGGACGUUUUGCGGGGUCUGCUAGAAUUGCUCUAAGCAAUCCAAAUCGUUGAACACCAACCUGCAAAAAAAGGAAAUCGUUAAACACAAGCCGGCCUCAAAGCCACAUCCGCUGGAAUCCAAAAACCCACUUUUGAAAGGCGGAUGGGCCAACCUGACCGGCCGGCGUUGACACACCCGCAACGUGCGAGGAUGGGCCAACCUGACCGGCCGGCGUUGACAUUUGUGAAGGAAUUUAUUCCUCUAUGGGUUCUCUUUUCACACCGGGGUGACGGUGGGAGCUCUCACUUUCUAAAGCGUCAUUUGUGAAGUUGGUCAAAGCUUGGUCAAAGUCUCACAGCUCCACUUUGUCACUGCUCGCUCCCACAGAGAGCGCGAGGUCAUACAGCUUUGCCACACGCUAUGUUGAUUUCUUCUAGCUAACUUGGUGAAAGUCGUUUUUUUUCUUUGCAAAACAUAGUGCAGAUUAUCAAUGAGCAUCCUGAAAUCUUAGACCAUUGUCAUGUUAUCUUAGAGCUACGCUGAGUUUUGUUGAAAAGGAAAGAGGAAUUUGGUGGAAUAGUUGUUGUAUUGCUUGAGCCUCGUGGGCAUAUAUAUAGGAGUACAAUGAUCAACUUGGAGUAGAAGACAAGCCAGAACUAAUCCUAGUCUAUCUAGUCUUUCCUAAUAAUCAAUAUACUCAACAUCCCCCCNNNNNNNNNNNNNNNNNNNNNNNNNNNNNNNNNNNNNNNNNNNNNNNNNNNNNNNNNNNNNNNNNNNNNNNNNNNNNNNNNNNNNNNNNNNNNNNNNNNNNNNNNNNNNNNNNNNNNNNNNNNNNNNNNNNNNNNNNNNNNNNNNNNNNNNNNNNNNNNNNNNNNNNNNNNNNNNNNNNNNNNNNNNNNNNNNNNNNNNNNNNNNNNNNNNNNNNNNNNNNNNNNNNNNNNNNNNNNNNNNNNNNNNNNNNNNNNNNNNNNNNNNNNNNNNNNNNNNNNNNNNNNNNNNNNNNNNNNNNNNNNNNNNNNNNNNNNNNNNNNNGGUCGAUGCAUCGCAGAGUUGUGGCUGGAGUGAAAACCAAUGAGGUUGCUCAAGAAGGCGGUAGCCCUUUGUGCCGUUUGUCGAUGUAGCCGAGAGCGUGGGUGGUGGAUCCGUGGUCGAGGUAGCCGUGCGAAGAAUGCCAUGGUCGAUGUCGACUCGGGGUAGCCGGUGUCGAGGAAGUCGUUGUGGAGCCGCGGGCGCAAGGAGGCGCCGAGUUAGUCGUGGGCGCAGUGGUGUCGAAGUAGUGGUGCGCCAAGAAGGAGAUGAUGUUGACGACGUGUCGCGUCGGGGUUGCCAACCCCGGGAACACAUCGUAGACGAAGGCACACGUCGGUGUUGCCAGCACCGGGCAUGCGUAGACGGACGAAGACGAAGUUGACGAAGCACCGCACCAGGCUUGCCAGGCCCGGGGAUACGUCGUGGACGAAGGCACGCGGCGGUGUUGCCAGCACCGGGCAUGCGUAGACUGGGACCUGCACGAGAUGUACGCCAUGUCGAGGAAGUUUGAGAGGCGAACAGAGAAGGACUCGACGACGGUUGCGGCGCCAAUCGACGCGGGGCCAAUGUCGCCCGCGGUUGUCGGAGUAGAUGAAGCGGUCGGGGUAGAUGAGGGCGACGCUGGUGACGGGCUGGUGCUGGACGAAGAUGAAGGGGGUGUACGGGCGGCUGUGGCGGCGGCGGCCAAAGAAGAGCGGCGGCGGCAACCUGACGGCGGCGACGGCGGCUAGGUUAGGAGCGCAGCGGCGGUGCUCGAAGUAGUCGAAGAACCCGACAGCGUGACGAAGACCGGCGCGGACGGUGGCGUUCCCGCGCCAAGGGAGACGGCGCAGCGCAUACCACGGGAGGUCGACGCGCGGUGACUGCGGAGUGGACCGCGGGCCGCGGCGCUACGGCCCGUAGGGGCGACGCAGCAGCGGCAGGCAGGUCCGGACGACAGCAGGAAGACCUCAGGGCAGCGGCGGGGACCGCGGGCCGCGGCGCGACGGCGGAGCGCGGGUCGGUGCAACCGCGGGGACGGCCUCAGGAUGGUGGCGUGGACCGCGUCCACGCUCGCUACGGCCCGACGGGGCGACGCAGCGGCGGCGCGAGGGUCGGUGCAGCCAUGGGGAUGGCCUGGAGCGGACGGCCCCGGGGCGGCUGUGGACCGCGGGCCGCGGCACUACGGCCCGAAGGGGCGACGCAGCGGUGACACGGGUCGGUGCAGCUGGGAGGAGAACCACGGGGCGGCGGCGCUGCGGCCCGACUGGGCGACGCAGCAGCAGCCCGUUGCUCGACCGGUGGAGGGGCGCGCUGAACUCGGGACAAUCUUCACGGGACCUGCGGAGGCGCGCGCAACCAACGGGCCAGGUUGGUCGCGUGGCGUAGAUGAGGCGGAUCGCGGCGGUAAGCGGGUGAUCAAACCGAUCGCGCGCGAGGACGGGGACGCCGCUCGAUGGAGGCGUGGUGGCGGCGGAGUCCUGGAUGAGGCCGGAAACGACGGACGGCGUGGGACGUCAGCACCGGCACCCGGGCUGCCAAAGCAGCACCGGCGCCCGGGCAGCGAGGCCCGAGCGACCAACGGAGCAACGGCGCCCGAGUUUGAGGCAGCCGACGAGCCUGACAGCUGAGGACGAGGCCGACGAGGUAGACCGCCGAGCCGCCGUGCAGACGCGGCGGAGGCGGGUGACGUGGAUCGAUCGGCAGGCCGCUGCGCGAGCGACGGCUAUGAUUGGCCAUCGCAUGGCACGAAGCCGCCGGGUCGGGGCGAUGAAGGUUUCCCGGUCGGAGCAGGGCGGUGACGGCUGGCGCAGGGCAACGGGCGGACCGACGCGCAGACGGUGGCUGGCCCUAAUAGGCCGCCUCGGCGCGGCCGGCUGGUCGCGCUGGGGUCGGAGUAGAGGCGCUCGGGGUCGACGGCGGUGGUGGGUGACGCAAACCGAUCAAGAAUAGAUCGGAAAAUCAAAAAGUAGACGCCGAUCAAAGCGACCGACGAAAGAGAGAAAAACCCGGAUCAAAGGAUCGGGAAAAGGACUCUUUAGGGCAGCCGGCCAACACGGCCGGCGGACGAACCCUAGGUACGGGCGGCGCGGCCCCCGGAGGCGGUCAUGGAGACCGACCGCCCCGGGGGCGACGCGCGAGUGCGGAAGCGGCGACGGCUAGGGUUUAGAAUCCGGAAACUGAUACCAUGUUGGAAGGGAGAGAGAGGAUUUGGUGGAAUAGUUGUUGUAUUGCUUGAGCCUCGUGGGCAUAUAUAUAGGAGUACAAUGAUCAACUUGGAAUACAAGACAAGCCAGAACUAAUCCUAGUCUAUUUAGUCUUUCCUAAUAAUCAAUAUACUCAACAAGUUUAACCUCUUUUAGUUUUUGCAGUCAUGUCAUGUUUCAAAAUUAAAGGAAAAUUGAUUCUUAUUGAUCGAUUUUGGACGGAUAGCCAUCGCUAAGUCAAGAUGAUUUCACUGUCUUCCUAAGCAAGGCUUAUAUCAUUGUUAUUCGCUGCUAAAGUGCACGACACAAAACGUUGCAAUAAGGAAUAUAGACUGAUUUAUUGGAGCCUUUUAAAAUAAGAAAUAAAUAGAUCUUCACACCACAAUGUACUGACUAGAUUUGAAGUACAAAACAAAGCAAAAAUAUCAACAACUCGCAAACAUGUCAUUGUAGCUCUUCGUGGAUGAGCACAAAUUAUUUAAUCCAACAAGAACCUAGUGAUGCGGGCAAACCUUUCUAUGGGCAUAUUCUUCAUCAAAUACAGAAAGCUUUAAAUAGAUUUUUUUUCAUGACAGAUUAUGGUAGACGCAGGAUACGGGUCUAUAGCCCAUCUUACAAGUUGGGGCCACCCUUCCACCGACUGGUUCACCACUUUUAGGAUGCUUCUCCCAUACCGAACAUUGUCAUGUUAUCCACUUGGCCAUUUGUGAGAGAAGGAGGAGGAAGAGAGAUGUAUUUGAAAGGGAGCUUGAGGGAGUACUUGUUGCAACCUGAAGUAUGAGGUUCGCUUGAAUUCUACCCAACUAUGUUCUAAAAUCUGAUAAAAUCAAGGGUCUCAUGUUGCGAAGAUUGUCAUAUAAAUCACAACCGAAUAAUUGAUUCAUGAUUUCCCGUAAGAGCAUAAAAUUUACUAUUAAAAGAUUAAUUGCCUAAAUAUACUUGGAGUGGUUGAGAUCACCACAUAUCGUCAAACAUAUUUUGCUAAGCCAAAGUUUUGUGAUUUUCCCCCUAGGUAUUGUAUUUUUCUCGAUUUAAUUUUGUGAUUUUUCGGAUACACACUUCAUAAACUCAGGAUACAAAUUCCUUACAUAUAAUCAAUUAUAAGAUUUGGUGACUAUUACAAGUUGGGGUCCGUUGUAAGCUGGUUCGCAUUUUCUAUGACGCAACAUCGUUGUGCAUUGCACAUUUUGAACUUCGCCUCCUUAUUUCCUCCCAAACUGAGUAUUUUCAAUAAAAGAGUGUCCUCCCUCUCCGAUUUCUACCAAAGAAACCAUUUGGUUCACUUUAGAAACUACCCCUAAAAAGCACUAGCAUCCUAGCAACAUUCAUCAACAACAUUGCCAAAAGAACAAGACCUGAGAGCGGACAACUCAACAUGCGGAUAGAGAUAGACUCCUGCACACAACAUUUUACAAACCUUAAAAGAUAACUAAGAACCAAACUUCAGAAGGCGACCAAACUAGACUAAACUCAGACAUGGAACAAGAAACGCUAGUGAAAUGAUGCAUCCAGGAAAAGUAGUCAGAGAGAACAAGUUACACCACUAGGUGAAGUCACAGUCGAAGAUCAGCUUUAGCCACUAAUCCUGAGCACUCCUAGACGACACCCUUAUGAUCUUGAUACACCUCACUUGCCACAUGUUCUAUGAUUCUUGCCCCCAACAUCAGCACCCUUCUGUUUUCCUCCCUUAUCUGCAAAAUUGCUUAACUGGUAAUACAAUGACAUAUCUGUGUGAGGAGGACUACUGGAUUAAUAAACAUUUUCUAUCAAAAACAAUAUCAUUGCUGCAUAUCCAAAUGGUCCAGAAGAUGGCGGAGACACCAACUAUAACCAAAUGUUUGCUAUCUUUUGUAGAAACAAAUAUCAAAACACCAAAUCAUACAUUUAAGUUGUCGGUAAUAGUUCUUAAAUCAAAGACACAUUAAAAAUAACUCCACACUAAUCUAGCAGGAGAGCAUUGGAAAAAUAAGUGAUCAGUGCUUUCGUCUUGUCCAUAAAACACCCAACAGUUGCUACCCUUCCAAGGAGGGGAACUUUUGGUCUAUGGGUGUAUAUACACCCUAUAUGGAAAAUAUAUUUAGUUAUUAGAAAAAGUCAAAAAAGCCCGGAAAUUUUUGAAAUAAAGUUGAUCUUCCAUUGUACUUGUAAGAAAAAUUCCACAAAAAGAAAAACAUGCAUUGACUCCUUUUUAAAAAAUCAGCCAAAAUAGUGUGAAUAGUGACCUAUAAUAGCACAUAAUUUGUGUGUGUUUUUUCCUAAAGACAACAUUGGGUUUUUAUCCGCGAAAUUUAUAUAGUAGUGCAAAACAAAGUCAAGUUUAUUGCAAAAAAACCUUCUAAACUUUUUCGACUUUCUUGUAAUUAUUAAUACUUUUUUUCUCAUAUAUAGUGUAUAUACACCCAGGAACAAAAUGGUAUUUCCCCCCUUUCCAAGCCCUUCUCAGCAAAUUAUCUCUGGUUAAAGUGAUUUUUGUGACAAUUAAUCGUAGAAAUAUUUUGAUUUUACAUAAGAACUGUGAAAAUCCACAAUCAUAGUUGUCUGCAUAGUGAUUUGAUAGUGAAGAUACCAUCAGAAUAUUUGUGUCCACAUGUGACAUGACAAAGAGUAAGAGAUAUUUAUUAGGAAGGAAAGCUGAAGGGCACAUUUUUUUUUCUAACCGGACCAAACCACACUAAUAGAAAUACAUCAUCCACAGAGAUACGAAGGAGGCAUGCGUAAAGCAGGGAGAAAAAAUUGAGCACUAGCAGCAAACCCGCUGGAGGUGCCCUCACUCGAAACACCUUCUAUGGGACGAAAACCUACUAAUAUUGGUUAAAAAAUCAACGGAAGUGCUACAAAUCCACCAACAAAACGACAGACAGCCACCGCCAUUGUUUAAGGGCACACUAAUUGUCCAUAUCAGUCUGAAAAAUAAACAUAGCCCAUUGCAUUUUCACCCAGUAAUUUGGAAAUCUAACGAAAUUGAGGAUCGUUGGACGUAAAUCUAGUAAAAUGCACCUCCAAAGUUAAAUCCACCAGAUAAAAUGGUGAUUAAAAAUUGUACCAAAAGUACACAUUUUUUUUCUGCGGGUAAAAUAGCACUUUCUCUGUUGCAUAAUGUAGUGCAUAUAGAUUUUUUUUUGAGAAGUCAGACCUCAUAAAAUUUGACCAAGUUUAUGGAGAAAAAUAUUUACAUCUAAAAUGCUAAACAUAUAUAAUUAGGUUCAUCAUAAGAUGUAGGUUCAUAUUUUCUAUAUUUGAUAUUGUAGAUAUAAAUAGUUUUCUCUAUAACUUUGGUCAGAGUUUGCAAAGUCGACUUUUAAAAAAAUCUAUACGCACUAUAUUAUGAAACGGAAAGAGUAUACAAUUGGAUUUCAGGAGAUUUACAAAAAGAUGGAUAUAUGUACUAAUAGUAUACAAUUUGGGUGAACCAACCUGUGGUUUGAUGGUUAGAGGGACUGUGUGGUAUUCCCAGCCCACCAGGGUCUGAUGCUCGCAUUUAUUUCUGGAUUUAUUUCAGGAUUUUCGGUGGUGUGCAUUCUGUGUGAGGAGACAUUCCCGUCGACGACGGGGUCCCUAUGAUGACUUCGUAAAUUUCAAGAUGAUAUGUGAGCUCAGUCUUUUGGAGGUGCUCAGUCUUUUGGAGAUGCUCAUAGGGGUAAAGUGUGCGUGUGUGCGUUCAUAAAGGUAAGCGUAUGCGAGUGUAUAUGAGUGUUUGCGUCUGUGUUCAUAAAGAAAAAUAGUAUACAGUUUGGCUUUAUAAGAUUCGGCGAAACUCCGAUAGUACCAGUAGUAUAUAUACAAUUUGAUACUACGUAGGUAAAAUCUAUCUAUUCUAAAACAUGAUUGUGUGAACAGCUCAAAUAUCGUCGCAACCAGCCGUCAGCAGUGCCUAAUCAACCCAUGCAAGGCAUUUGCUCACUCACUCGCUCGUUCCCACGAUAAGAACGUGAUCGCCGUUUCAAAUGCGCGUGGACAUGCGUCUCCUAUAAAAGGUACCGCACCAAACAACAUCCAACAUCGGAGCACGAGAACUUAACUCACACAGCGCCCUCAUCUCCGUCGUUCUCUGAGGAGACGCAAAACUUUCUCGCGACACCCGUCAUGGCGCCGAGGCUGGAGCGCGGCGGCAGCGGCUUCCAUCUCCCGAACUCCAGGCAGGAGGACUCCCUCUUCCUCCGCGCCCUCAUCUCCGUUGUAAACGGAGACGCCGUCGUCCCCACGCUGCACCUCGAGCCGUCGUCGCCGCACUUUGCCGCUGCAGUUCCUGCGUGCGCCAGCUGCGGCGUGGACGGGUGCAUCGGCUACAUGUUCGCUGCUGCGGCGGCGCCGGCCGGCUCGAGCAGCGAGGGCGAAGGAUGCUCCGCCGCGAGCUUUGUGAAGGGCGGCGGCGUGGGGAAGAUCACGCGGAGGAGGAGCCGGAGCAAGUUCAGGGGCGUGAGGCAGCGGUCGUGGGGGAAGUGGGCCGCGGAGAUCCGCGACCCGCACCGCGCCGUGCGCAAGUGGCUCGGCACCUUCGACACCGCCGUGGAUGCCGCCCGCGCAUACGAUCUCGCGGCGCUCGAGUUCCGUGGCCACGGCGCCAGACUCAACUUCCCGGCCGCGGCCGCGUCGUCGUCGUCGUCGGCUUCUGUUUCUGAUUCGUCUUGGGCGGCUGCGCAGUCGUAGAACUUGCCGGGCAGUUCUCGCGAGAACUGGGGGUCAAAAUGUGUCGUCGCGAGAACUUGCCGGUGUAGGUAGGACAACUGGAGGCGAGGGAGCAGAAGAUCAUGACGCUGGAUAAUGACAACUUUGUGAUCCAUGUUUGGAUGAUUAAUUCAUUCGCAUAUUUGAAAGGAUGCUGUUUAAUCCGAAUCAAUAUUCGUCGGUAAGCAUGGCGACCUGUAGUCGGCGUAGCCGCUGCCAAAGCCAGAGCACGUGCUUCAGAAUUUGCCUAUCUCCCCGUGACGCCACUCCCUCUUCUUCAGCUUAUUAAUUUUCGCGGGUAAUGUUCUUUUGCGACAAUUUUCCUCAGUAUAACAUAUAUGAGCGGACUCGUUUGGUCAUUCAACAAGUCAGAUGAUAUCGGAACAUUGGUGAUACACAAUUCUAAACUCGGCUCUAGAAUCUUUUUCCUUGGCAUCUCUCGUUCCAAUGUUCAGACACGGCUGCGAAACAUUUCGAAGCACAGCAAACCACAACUCAGAGCGGUUGGCAUACUAUUUAUUUUCAAACCACACAAAAACUUUUCAGGGCAGAUGAUGUAAAAUAAUGACCAUGCUAAAAAACCCUAUUGCUAGGGGCAUUUGGACGAAAAAUACUGCUCAAGCAAAUGAUGUAUCUCUAUUUCAUUCCUAAAGAAAUUGCAACAGACCAAAAUUUUAGUUUUAUCAAAUUUUGAAUAAGAUCCAUUUUGAAUAGUUUUAACGAAUUUUAAAUAAUUUUUUAGUUUCAACACUUCAAACUUAGUACGGCCAGCCGAUAAAAUCAUGAUUUUUGUGCCUACAACCGAUAAAGAUAUUUCUUAAAAUUUUAUCUAUGAAACUUGGUAAGAGCCGAGCGAGAAAAUCACGAGUUUUAGAUGAAAAGUCAUAAGUUUCAAUGAUUGAAACUUAAAACAUACCAUGCUUUCAAGCAGGAUCCAACUACUUCGCAAAUCACGAGGCAAUUGAGUGGCCAGACCAGAAUUGACGGGUGCGUGCUCCCACACCUGCACGCCCCUACCAAUUUCCGCAACUCAAACUUGUCUUCUUAGGUCGACGCCCAACUGCCGCAUAUGCGAGAUGGAUCAAGAGACGUGCUUUUCGCGUCCCCGCUUUCAUGGUCACCGGCGAACCGCGAGACGUUCGAAAAGAGGUUUUCUGGAUCGGAACGGCUGUUGCUUUCAGGCCGGCUCGUGUUCGACCAUUUCUUGAUCUUUUACGACCAAGUAGUGGUAUUCGUCUAAAUCUGAGCAGGCAUUUGGCAAAUCAUACUAUAGGCAUGUGUGAAAGCUUUGCCUUUAGAUGCAUAUACAAAUGAACAAGCAGUUUCGCUUUCACACCCCAUGCCGCUGGGAGCUCCCUGUCAGCGUUCGGUUCGACAGACAGCGCGAGGUUCCAGGGUUCACUCCACUUGCAGCUACGCCGCUCUCUUUUGUUCUUUUAGCACCGUCACGUAUUAGCUUGUUUCUGAAAUAAAAUGCAAGACGUGUUUCUGUAUCAUGAAUGAUUGAGUGUUAUACUCAUGUGUGAAUUUUCAUGAGCGAAUAACAUCUGUGGUAUUUUAGGCAAGAAGAUAAAAUCGAUGCUAUAAAAAAGACCAUUGUUUCACGUAAUUUGGAGGUCCGAAAUUGUUUUCUUCGCUAAGAUAAUAUAGUGGUCAUUUCUUGAUGAAACUUCACAUGUGAGUAGAACAGUCGACUAGAGUUUGGUAACCUAAAAUUUUAGAAUUGUUGGAUUUUUUGGAUAUCUUUUUUUAUUUUUUUAUUUACUAAUUAUAUUGGGUGCUUGUGGAAGUUGAUCAUUGUAUUUUGGUCAAAACCCCCACCUAUUGUCAAACGGUCUUUCGCUAAAUAAGGAAAUUCUGACAGCAUAAUGUGUGUGAACAGUUGUAAACAGCCGUCAGCGGUGUGGAUAUGCUUAACCAUCCAUCGAGGCAUAUGCACACUCCCUCUCCUGUUUCCACACCUCCGUUCUCACGACAAGAACGUGUCCAGCAACUCGUCCUUUAAAAAUUGCGCGCGGCGAUUCACUUUCUAUAAAAGACACGGCAUCAGACUACCUUAAACACAUCACUGAGAAUAGCUCAACCAGACAGCACACGAAAGCAAAAGGGAAGUGUUUAGGAACGGCGCACCGGCCGAACCGUUCCGCCGGUCCCACGCAGGCCACUCGAUCGAAGCGACGCGCAGCGCAUCGUACGCUCGCGCUCCUCCCGAUCCCCUUCUUCCUCCUCCCGAUCCCCUUCUUCCUCNNNNNNNNNNNNNNNNNNNNNNNNNNNNNNNNNNNNNNNNNNNNNNNNNNNNNNNNNNNNNNNNNNNNNNNNNNNNNNNNNNNNNNNNNNNNNNNNNNNNNNNNNNNNNNNNNNNNNNNNNNNNNNNNNNNNNNNNNNNNNNNNNNNNNNNNNNNNNNNNNNNNNNNNNNNNNNNNNNNNNNNNNNNNNNNNNNNNNNNNNNNNNNNNNNNNNNNNNNNNNNNNNNNNNNNNNNNNNNNNNNNNNNNNNNNNNNNNNNNNNNNNNNNNNNNNNNNNNNNNNNNNNNNNNNNNNNNNNNNNNNNNNNNNNNNNNNNNNNNNNNNNNNNNNNNNNNNNNNNNNNNNNNNNNNNNNNNNNNNNNNNNNNNNNNNNNNNNNNNNNNNNNNNNNNNNNNNNNCGCCACGCGCUCCCGUCCCCGCUCGGAGCUCGCGGCGACAAUCCCAUCUCGCCGGCGACCGAGGGAGCUCGCAGCGCCCAGAUCUUCCCGCGUAUACAAGUGUUGCAACCGUCACCUAGAAAAGCUUCAACACCCGUUGAAAAAAGCUUCAACCAUAGACAUAGAAAGCUUCAACGGCACGCACAAAAAGGGAAAGCUGCAACCGUUGUUGGAUUUUGCUACUACCAGCAAAGCUUUUUGCUACAUCCAUCAGGCAGAGCUGCGACCUCGCGAGGACGACAAUGAUUUUUUUGCUGCAACCGUAGCACGAUUAUGCUACUACCGUUGGAAGUUUUUGCUACAUCCAUGUAAGGCGGAGCUGCGACCUCGCGAAGGUGGCGACGUCGUUUUUGCUGCACCCGUAGUUUGAUUUUGCUACUACCGGUGAAUUUUUUUGCUACAUCCAUUCAAAUGGUGUUGAUUGACUCACGGCCGCCGUCGACGUAUUUUUCCUGCAGCGAGCAUCAAUGGUGAGGGCGGCGGAGCUACAACCUUCAUCGUCAAGAGCUGCAAUCGUAGGUGGAGCUGGUGCAUUGGUCGAGGCGAGAACGAGGCCGGGAGGGUGGGGGACCGUUGACGAGGACGGCCGGCGAGGGCGGGGUCCGGUGGGCGACGAGGAUGACCGGCGAGGGUGGGGACUGACGAUGGGGACGACCACCGGAGGGGACAGGAGGCGCGGCGUCGUGCUCCCCGAGCGGGAGAUGCGGAUCCAGGCCGCCUGCGCGAGGAAGAAGAAGCUGGGGCCGAUCUAUUUUUUUUUUGCCUGGAUCCAACGGCCGCCUGGCUCACAUCCAACGGCUGGGGCUGGACCGGCCGAACGAUUCGGCCGGCGCACCGGCGCCUAUCGGUGUCCAAAGCAAAAACUUUCUGGCGACACCGACCUGACCACGUACGUACGGUACGUCACAGCUGAGCUGCACAAGUGCACGUCAUGGUGCCGAGGCUGGAGCACGGCGGCGGCGGGUUCCAGCUCCCGAACUCUGACCAGGAGAACUCCCUCUUCCACCGCGCACUCAUCUCCGACAUGUCUGCAAUCACGGACACCGUCGUCCCCAUGCUGCACCUCGAGCCUUAAACCGCCCUUUGCUGCCACACUGGCCGCGGGGAUGCGUGCUGCAGCUGCUGGGUGCGCCCGGUGCGGCGUUGGCGUGGACGGCUGCCUCGGCUGCGACUUCGCCGCCGAGGCGGUGGCUGGCUCAGCAGCGAGGGGGAAGGGUACUCCGCCGCGAGCUUCGUAAAGGAUGGCGGCAUGGGGAAGAUCACGCGAAGGAGGAGAGGGAGCAAGUUCAGGGGCGUGCGUCGGCGGCCGUGGGGUAUAUGGGUGGCGGAGCUCUGCGACCCACACCACGUCGUGCGCAAGUGGCUUAGGACCUUUGGCACCGCCGCCGAGGCUGCGCGCACCUACGACGUCGCGGCUCUCGAGUUCCGCGGCCUACGCGCCAGGCUCAACUUCCCGACCAUGGACGCACCAUCAUGGGCAUCGGCGUCGACAUCUGGCUCAUCCACUGUGCAGCCGCAUUAGCAGCACUUGCCCGAGAGCCUUCACGAGAACUGCAGGUCAAACGCGUCAUCGUCAGCGUACAUGCCGUAGCUACGGGAGCCUGGAAGGCCGGCGGCGAGGGAGGAGGAGAUCUGGGAUGGGUUACAGAGAUUAUGAUGAUGGAUGGUACCUACUUCUUGGUUACGAACCUCCAUGAAUAAUGCAUUCAGUGUUGCUAAAUGUCAGGAUACUGGAGAGAUCUUGCAAAUUAUUAUUUUCAGAUUUUUUUCUUUCUUACAUAUUAUCACUUGACUGAGACUUGAUUAAGUUUUAGUCGACGCAUUGCCCUAAUGCAUUAUAAUUGAUCAAUUCCAACAUUGAAUUGUAUAUAGAUACCUUGAAUCAUGACACUUAGGAGCAUCUACGUCCCGAUACAUCAAAUCCAGCCCUCAAACGCCCGCGGACAGGCACUCCGCAGUUUGUGACCGGUCACAUCUCAAAUUAUCAUUUCCAUAACUGGAUACAUAAAUUACAAAUACCCAAAUCCAUACAAUUACAUGCAACAUGAAUCCUAGUCUUGGGCGGAGUUCAUCCUGCUCCGCCCUGUCUAUGUCAGGCAGCCGACUGCGCCCCUUGGAGUGUAGGUGCGGUGGCCAGCGAAAUAGAGGAGGACAUAGGACACGCACCGGCUCACGACAUUCGAGGCGCCGCCGUAUCCCAUGCCCCACUCUUCCCCAUCGGAGCCCAUAGUCUGCACAUCACUGGUCGAUGUGAGUGUUGGGGAUCGUUGCAGAAAUUAAAAAAUUUCUACGCAUCACCAAGAUCAAUCUAUGGAGUAACUAGCAACGAGAGAGAGGGGAGUGCAUCUUCAUACCCUUGAAGAUCAUGAGUCGGAAGCGUUGCAAGAACGCGGUUGGAGGUGUCAUACACGUAGCGAUUCAGAUCGCGGCCGAAUCCGAUCUAUGCACCGAACAACGGUGCCUCCGCGCUCAACACACGUGCAGCCCGGUGACGUCUCCCGCGCCUUGAUCCAGCAAGGAGGAGGGAGAGGUUGAGGAAGAGGGCUCUAACAGCAGCACGACGGCGUGGUGAUGAUGGAGUGACAGUUCUCCGGCAGGGCUUCGCCAAGCUCUUGCGGAGGAGGAGAGGGGUUGGAGAGGUGAGGGGCUACGCCUUGAAUGUGGUGCUGCACCCCUCCCUCCACCCCUCUAUUUAUAGGGAGAAGGGGAAAGGGGGCCGGCCCCUCUAGAUGGGAUCUAGAGGGGUGGGCCAAGGGGGGUGCCCCCUUUAGGGUCCCCCCAACCCUAGGCGCAUGGGCCCUGGGGGGGUUGGCGCCCAGCCCACUUGGGGCUGGUUCCCUUCCACCUACAGCCCAUAAGGCCCUCCGGGGAAGGUGGACACUCGGAACCCAUCCGGUGGUCCCAGUACAAUACCGGUACACCCCCGAACAUUUCCGGCGACCGUAUGAUGACUUCCCAUAUAUAAAUCUUCACCUCCGGACCAUUCCGGAACUCCUCGUGAUGUCCGGGAUCUCAUCCGGGACUCCGAACAAAAUUCGGUAAUCACAUACAAAUCUUCCUUAUAACCCUAGCAUCAUCGAACCUUAAGUGUGUAGACCCUACGGGUUCAGGAAUCAUGCAGACAUGACCGAGACAGCUCUCCAUCCAAUAACCAACAUCGGGAUCUGGAUACCCAUGUUGACUCCCACAUGUUCCAUGAUGAUCUCAUCAGAUGAACCACGAUGUCGAGGAUUCAAGUAAUCUCGUAUACAAUUCCCUUUGUCAAUCAGUACGUUACUUGCCCGACAUUCGAUCGUCGGUAUCCCAAUAUCUCGUUCAAUCUCGUUACCGGCAAGUCACUUUACUCGUUCCAUAAUGCAUGAUCCCGUGACCAACUACUUAGUCACAUUGAGCUCUUUAAGAUGGUGCAUUACCGAGUGGGCCCAGAGAUACCUCUCCGUCAUACGGAGUGACAAAUCCCGGUCUCGAUUCGUGCCAGCCCAACAUACACUUUCGGAGAUACCUGUAGUGCACAUUUAUAGCCACCCAGUUACAUUGUGACGUUUGGUACACCCAAAGCAUUCCUACGGUAUCCGGGAGUUGCACGAUCUCAUGGUCUAAGGAAAUGAUACUUGACAUUAGAAAAGCUCUAGCAAACGAACUACACGAUGUUGUGCUAUGCUUAGGAUUGGGUCUUGUCCAUCACAUCAUUCUCCCAAUGAUGUGAUCUCGUUAUCAAUGACAUCCAAUGUCCAUAGUCAGGAAACCAUGACCAUCUGUUGAUCAACGAGCUAGUCAACAAGAGGCUUACUAGGGACUUGUUGUGGUCUAUGUAUUCACACAUGUACUACAGUUUCCGGUCAAUACAAUUGUAGCAUGAACAAUAGACAAUUAUCAUGAACAAGGAAAUAUAAUAAUAACCAUUUUAUUAUUGCCUCUAGGGCAUAUUUCCAACAGUCUCCCACUUGCACUAGAGUCAAUAAUCUAGUUACAUUAUGAUGAAUCGAACACCCAUAGAGUUCUGGUGUUGAUCAUGUUUUGCUCGUGGAAGAGGUUUAGUCAACGGAUCUGCGACAUUUAGGUCCGUAUGCACUUUACAAAUAUCUAUGUCUCCAUCUUGAACAUUUUCACGAUUGGAGUUGAAGCGACGCUUGAUGUGUUUGGUCUUCUUGUGAAGCCUGGGCUCCUUGGCAAGGGCAAUAGCUCCAGUAUUGUCACAGAAGAGAGUCAUCGGGCCUGGCGCAUUGGGAAUAACUCCUAGGUCGAUAAUGAACUCCUUCAUCCAGAUUGCUUCAUGCGCUGCCUCCGAGGCUGCCAUGUACUCCGCUUCACAUGUAGAUCCCGCCACGACGCUUUGCUUGCAACUGCACCAGCUUACUGCCCCACCAUUCAAAAUAUACACGUAUCCGGUUUGUGAAUUAGAGUCAUCCAGAUCUGUGUCGAAGCUAGCGUCGACGUAACCCUUUACGACGAGCUCUUCAUUACCUCCAUAAACGAGAAACAUAUCCUUAGUCCUUUUCAGGUACUUCAGGAUAUUCUUGACCGCUGUCCAGUGUUCCAUGCCGGGAUAAUUUGGUACCUUCCUACCAAACUUACGGCAAGGUUUACAUCAGGUCUGGUACACAGCAUGGCAUACAUAAUAGACCCUAUAGUCGAGGCAUAGGGGAUGACACUCAUGUUUUGUCUAUCUUCUGCCAUGGUCGGGCAUUGAGCCGAGCUCAAUUUCACACCUUGAAACACAGGCAAGAACCCCUUCUUGGACUGAUCCAUAUUGAACUUUUUCAAUAUCUUAUCAAGGUAUGUGCAUUGUGAAAGACCUAUGAGGCGUCUCGAUCUAUCUCUAUAGAUCUUGAUGCCUAAUAUGUAAGCAGCUUCUCCAAGGUCCUUCAUUGAAAAACACUUAUUCAAGUAGGCCUUAAUAUUGUCCAAAAGUUCUAUAUCAUUUCCCAUCAAAAGUAUGUCAUCUACAUAUAAUAUGAGAAAUGCUACAGAGCUCCCACUCACUUUCUUGUAAACGCAGGCUUCUCCAUAAGUCUGCAUAAACCCAAACGCUUUGAUCAUCUCAUCAAAGCGAAUGUUCCAACUCCGAGAUGCUUGCACCAGCCCAUAAAUGGAUCGCUGGAGCUUGCAUACCUUGUUAGCAUUCUUAGGAUCGACAAAACCUUCUGGCUGCAUCAUAUACAGUUCUUCCUUAAGAUAGCCGUUAAGGAAUUCCGUUUUGACGUCCAUUUGCCAUAUCUCAUAAUCAUAGUAUGCGGCAAUUGCUAACAUGAUUCAGACGGACUUCAGCUUCGCUACGGGAGAGAAAGUCUCAUCGUAGUAAACCCCUUGAAGUUGCCGAUAACCCUUAGCGACAAGUCAAGCUUUGUAGAUGGUAACAUUACCAUCCACGUCCGGCUUCUUCUUAAAGAUCCAUUUGUUUUCUAUUGCUCGCCGAUCAUCGGGCAAGUCUGUCAAAGUCCACACUUUGUUUUCAUACAUGGAUCCUAUCUCGGAUUGCAUGGCUUCAAGCCAUUUGUUGGAAUCUGGGCCCGCCAUCGCUUCUUCAUAGUUCGAAGGUUCACCGUUGUCUAACAACAUGAUUUCCAGGACAGGGUUGCCAUACCACUCUGGUGUGGAACGUGUCCUUGUGGACCUACGAAGUUCAGUAGUAACUUGGUCCGAAGUACCUUGAUCAUCAUCAUUAAUUUCCUCUCUAGUCGGUGCAGGCACCACAAAAACAUCUUCCUGAGUUGCGCUACUUACCAGUUCAAAAGGUAGUACUUCAUCAAGUUCCACUUUCCUCCCACUUACUUCUUUCGAGAGAAACUCUUUCUCCAGAAAGGACCCGUUCUUGGCAACAAAGAUCUUGCCUUCGGAUCUGAGGUACAAGGUAUACCCAAUGGUUUCCUUAGGUAUCCUAUGAAGACGCAUUUUUCUGACUUGGGUUCGAGCUUUUCAGGUUGAAGUUUCUUGACAUAAGCAUCGCAUCCCCAAACUUUUAGAAACGACAACUUAGGUUUCUUCCCAAACCAUAAUUCAUACGGUGUCGUCUCAACGGAUUUCGGCGGAGCCCUAUUUAAAGUGAAUGUAGUUGUCUCUAAAGCAUAACCCCAAAAUGAUAGCGGUAGAUCGGUAAGAGACAUCAUAGAUCGCACCAUAUCCAAUAGAGUGCGAUUACGAUGUUCGGACACACCAUUACGCUGAGGUGUUCCAGGCGGCAUGAGUUGUGAAAUGAUUCCACAUUUCCUUAAGUGUGUGACUCAAAUAUUCCCCUCCAUGAUCUGAUCGUAACAACUUUAUUUUCCUAUCACGUUGAUUUUCAACCUCACUCUGAAAUUCCUUCAACUUUUCAAAGGUCUCAUACUUGUGUUUCAUCGAGUAAACAUACCCAUAUCUACUUAAGUCAUCAGCGAGGGUGAGAACAUAACGAUAGCCACCGCGAGCCUCAAUGCUCAUUGGACCGCACACAUCAGUAUGUGUGAUUUCCAAUAAGUUGGUUGCUCGCUCCAUUGUUCCAGAGAACGGAGUCUUGGUCAUUUUGCCGAUGAGGCAUGGUUCGCACGUGUCAAAUGAUUCAUAAUCAAGAGACUCCAAAAGUCCAAAAGUAUGUGGGACUAUCGUUAUCAAACUUACAUCUUUUGGUAUUCACACUAUGAAUAUGUGUAACAUCAUGUUCGAGAUUCAUUAAGAAUAAACCAUUGACCAGCGGGGCAUGACCAUAAAACAUAUCUCUCAUAUAAAUAGAACAACCAUUAUUCUCGGAUUUAAAUGAGUAGCCAUCUCGUAUUAAACGAGAUCCAGAUACAAUGUUCAUGCUCAAAGCUGGCACUAAAUAACAAUUAUUGAGGUUUAAAACUAAUCCCGUAGGUAAAUGUAGAGGUUGUGUGCCGACGGCGAUCACAUCGACCUUGGAACCAUUCCCGACGCGCAUCGUCACCUCGUCCUUCGCCAGUCUCCGCUUAUUCCGCAUCUCCUGUUUUCAGUUACAAAUAUGAGCAACGGCACCGGUAUCAAAUACCGAGGAGCUACUACGAGUACUGGUAAGGUACACAUCAAUAACAUGUAUAUCACAUAUACCUUUGGUGUUUCCGACUUUCUUGUCUGCUAAGUACUUGGGGCAGUUCCGCUUCCAGUGACCAUUUCCCUUGCAAGAAAAACACUCAGUCUCAGGCUUGGGUCCAUUCUUUGGCUUCUUCCCAGCAGCUUGCUUACCGGGCAUGGCAACUCCCUUGUCGUCUUUCUUGAAGCCCUUUUUACCCUUGCAUUUCUUGAACUUAGUGGUUUUAUUCACCAUCAACACUUGAUGGUCCUUCUUGAUUUCCACCUCCGCCGAUUUCAGCAUUGAAUAUACCUCAGGAAUGGUUUUUUCCACCCCCUGCAUAUUGAAGUUCAUCACAAAGCUCUUGUAGCUCGGUGGAAGCGACUGAAGGAUUCUGUCAACGACCGCGUCAUCCGGGAGAUUAACUCCCAGCUGAGACAAGAGGUUGUGCAAUCCAGACAUUUUGAGUAUGUGCUCGCUGACGGAACUAUUCUCUUCCAUCUUACAACUAUAGAACUUGUCAGAGACUUCAUAUCUCUCGACCCGGGCAUGAGCUUGGAAAACCAUUUUCAGCUCUUGGAACAUCUCAUAUGCUCCGUGCUGCUCGAAACAGUUUUGGAGCCCCGGUUCUAAGCUGUAAAGCAUGCCGCACUGAACCAGGGAGUAAUCAUCAACACGCGACUGCCAAGCGUUCAUAACGUCUUGGUUUGCUGGGACAGGUGAUAAACCGCAAGUAUACGAUAUAGUUGUAGCCUCUUUUGAUAAGUAAAAGUGUCAAACCCAACGAGGAGCUAAAGGUAGAACAAAUACUCUCUCAAGUCCUAUCGGCCACUGAUACGACUCUACGCACGCUUGACGUUCGCUUUACCUAGAACAAGUAUGAAACUAGAAGUACUUUGUAGGUGUGAUAGGAUAGGUUUGCGAGAUAAUAAAGAACACGUAAAUAAAAAGUAGGGGCUGUUUAGAUAAAGAUGUAAGUAAAUAUAGCGAGUGUGGAAAAGUGGUGGUAGGAGUUGUGGAAUUGUCCCUAAGCAAUUGACUACUUUACUAGACCGAUAGCAAGUUUUAUGUGGGAGAGGCCACUGCUAGCAUGUCAUCCCUGACUUGGAAUUCUAUGCACUUAUGAUUGGAACUAUUAGCAAGAAGUCUGCAACUACUAAUGUUCAUUAAGGUAAAACCCAACCAUAGCAUUAAGAUAUAUUGGUCCCCCUUCAAUCCCGUAUGCAUCAAUUUAUAUGCUAGGUUGAAGCUUCUGUCACUCUAGCCCUCUAAUACAUAGUCCUAUCAACAUACAACUAACCCUAUGGUGUGAUCCACGCACGCGCUCAUAUGAUGGGCACCAUAGGACAGCAACAUAACCACAAGCAAAUUAAAUCAAUCAUAGCAAUUCAGCAACCACCAAUAGGACAAUGAAAAUCUACUCAGACAUCAUAGGAUGGCAACACAUCAUUGGAAAAUAAUAUGAAGCAUAAAGCACCAUGUUCAAGUAGAGGGUACAGCGGGUUGUGGGAGAGUGGACCGCUGAAUAUAGAAGGGGGAAGGUGAUGGAGAUGUUGUGAAGAUGACGGUGGUGUUGGUGAAGAUCGCGGUGAUGAUGAUGGCCCCCGGCAGCGCUCCGGCGCCACCGAAAGCAAGGGGGAGAGAGGCCCCCUUCUUCUUCUUCUUCCUUGACCUCCGCCCUAGAUGGGAGAAGGGUUUCCCCUCUGGUCCUUGGCUCCCAUGGCUUGGGAGGGGCGAGAGACCCUCCGAGAUUGGAUCUAUCUCUCUGUUUCUUCGUUCUGUAAUUCUGCCCUGGCACCGUUUCCUUUAUCAGGAGAUCCGUAACUCCAAUUGGAUUGAAACCUUCGCCCAGAUCGUUUUCCAAAAAUUAGCUUUCUUGCGGCCAAAGAAGGGCAUCAACCGCCUUACGGGUGACCCACGAGGGUGGGGAGCGCGCCCACUUUAAGUGGGCAUGGGCCCUUAUCUCUUGGCCACCUCGGGCAUCGUCUCGCGUUGAUUCUUGCUCCCCAAAAUCACAAAUAUUCCAAAAUAAUUCUCUGUCCGUUUUUGUCCCGUUUGGACUCUGUUUGAUAUGGGGUUUCUGCGAAACAUAAAACAUGCAACAGAUAGGAACUAGCACUAGGCACUAGAUCAAUAUGUUAGUCCCAAAAAAUAGUAUAAAAAGUUGCCAAAAGUAUAUGAAAGUUGAAUAAUAUUGGCAUGGAACAAUCAAAAAUUAUAGAUACGACGAACACGUAUCAACAUCCCCAAGCUUAAUUCCUGCUCGUCCUCGAGUAGGUAAAUGAUAAAAAAAUAUAAUUUUUUGAUGUGGAAUGCUACCUAGCAUAAUCUUGAUCAUAUGUCUAAUCAUGGCAUGAAUAUUAAGACAUGAAUGAUUCAAGGCAAUAGUCUAUCAUUUGACAUAAAAACAAUAAUACUUCAAGCAUACUAACCAAGCAAUUAUGUCUUAUCGAAAUAACAUAGCCAAAGAAAGCUCAUCCCUACAAAAUCAUAUAGUCUGGCUAUGCUCCAUCUUCAUCACACAAAGCAUUCAAAUCAUGCACAACCCCGAUAACGAUCCGAGCAAUUGGUUCAUACUUUUUAACGCACUUCAACUUUUUCAACUCUUACGCAAUACAUGAGCGCAAGCCAUGGACAUAGCACUAUGGUGGUAUAGAGUAUGAUGGUGGAGGUUUAUGUGGAGAAGACAAAAAGGGAGAAAGUCUCACAUCGACGCGGCUAAUCAACGGGCUAUGGAGAUGCCCAUCAAUUGAUGUCAAUGCGAGGAGUAGGGAUUGCCAUGCAACGGAUGCACUACGAGCUAUAAGUGUAUGAAAGCUCAAACUGGAAACUAAGUGGGUUGCAUCCAACUUGCUUGCUCAUGAAGACCUCGGGCGUUUGAGGAAGCCCAUCAUCGGAAUAUACAAGCCAAGUUCUAUAAUGAAAAUUCCCACUAGUAUAUGAAAGUGAAAGCAUAGGCGACUCUCUCUAUGAAGAACAUGGUGCUACUCUGAAGCACAAGUGUGGUAAAAGGAUAGUAACAUUGCCCCUUCUCUCUUUUUCUCUUUUUUUUUCUUUUUUUUCAUUUUUUCUUUCUUUUUGGUGGGCUUCUUUGGCCUCUUUUUUAUUUGGGCUUCUUUGGCCUCUUUUAUUUUUCAUAAAGUCCGGAGUCUCAUCCCGACUUGUGGGGGAAUCGUAGUCUCCGUCAUCCUUUCCUCACUGGGGCAAUGCUCUAAUAAUGAUGAUCAUCACACUUUUAUUUACUUACAACUCAAUAUUACAACUCGAUAUCUCGAGCAAAGAUAUGACUCUAUAUGAAUGCUUCCGGCAGUGUACCGGGAUGUGCAAUGAUCUAGCGUAGCAAUGACAUCAAAAUGGGCAAGCCAUGAAAACAUCAUGCUAGCUAUCUUAUAUCAUGCAAAGCAAUAUGACAAUAAAUGCUCAAGUCAUGUAUAUGAUGAUGAUGGAAGUUGCAUGGCAAUAUAUCUCGGAAUGUCUAUGGAAAUGCCAUAAUAGGUAGGUAUGGUGGCUGUUUUGAGGAAGAUAUAACGAGGCAUAUGUGUGAUAGAGCGUAUCAUUUCACGGGGUUUGGAUGCACCGACGAAGUUUGCACCGACUCUCGAGGUGAGAAAGGGCAAUGCACAGUACUGAAGAGGCUAGCAAUGAUGGAAAGGUAAAAGUGUGUAUAAUCCAUGGACUCACAUUAGUCAUAAAGAACUCAUAUACUUAUUGCAAAAGCCUACUUAGCCCUCGAAGCAAAGUACUACUAGGCAUGCCCCUAGAGGGAUAGAUUGGUAGGAAAAGACCAUUGCUCGUCCCCGACUGCCACUCAUAAGGAAAGCAAUCAAAGAGCACCUCAUGCUCCAACUUCGUUACAUAACGGUUCACCAUACGUGCAUGCUACGGGACUUGCAAACCUCAACACAAGUAUUUCUCAAUUUCACAAUUACUCAACUAGCACGACUCUAAUAUCACCACCUUUAUAUCGCAAAACUAUUGCAAGGAAUCAAACAUAUCAUAUUCAGUGAUCUACAAGUUUAUGUAGGAUUUUAUGACUAACCAUGUGAAUGACCAAUUCCUGUCAUCUCUUUAAAUAGAUAUAAGUGAAUCAAGAGAGUUUAAUUCUUUCUACAAAAGAUAUGCCCACGGUCUAACAAAUAUAAGUGAAGCAAAAGAGCAUUCUACAAAUCGCGGUUGUCUAUAUGAAGAGAAAUUGGCAAUCCAAACUUCAAAUGAUAUAAGUGAAGCACAUGAAGCAUUCUAUAAAGCCAUACUCAAAAGAUUAAGUGAAGUGAAAUGAGCAUUCUAUAAAUCAACCAAGUACUAUCUCAUACCAGCAUGGCACAUAGAAGAAAAAUGAAAACUAAAUGUAAAAGAUGCUCCAAGAUUUGCACAUAAUGCAUAAACGAAACGAAUACGAAAACAUACAGAUACUUGUUGAAGAAAGAGGGGAUGCCUUCCGGGGCAUCCCCAAGCUUAGACGCUUGAGUCUCCUUGAAUAUUUACUUGGGAUGCCUCGGGCAUCCCCAAUCUUGAGCUCUUUCCUCUCUUCCUUUUCCUCAUAUCGAGACAUCCUCGAUUAGACACUUCAUCCACACAAAACUUCAACAAAAAACUCGGUAAGAUCCGUUAGUAUAAUAAAGUAAAUCACUACUCUAAGUACUGUAGCAAACUAAUUCAUAUUUUUUUGCAAUGUAGUUACUGUAAUAUAACUUUUUCAUGGCUUAAUCCACUGAUAGAAAUUGAUAGUUUCAUCAAAACAAGCAAACUAUGCAUCAAAAACAGAAACUGUCAAAAACAGAACAGUCUGUAGCAAUAUGAACAUUCACCAUAAUUCUAGUACCCCAAACAUUCUACCAAAAUUAGGAAAAAUAAAAAAAAUUACAUCAAGACAGUGCAAAAGGAAUCAGAACCGUUUAACGUUCCAGUUAAAAAUGUAAAAUUGCGCAUUACAGCCAAAGUUUCUGUCCUCCACCGUACUAACCAACAAGCAUUGUAAACAUCCUAAAGGAAAACCUUGGCACAUUAUUUUUAUAAUACAAUGGAAUUGUACAAGGGGAUAAUUAUUUUUGAUGAAAAGUUUCUGUAAUUAAGAUUCACAAAGUUUCCGUGAGCAUGAACAAAGUUCAAGGCUAGCUUCCACUUCAACAAUGCUUGUCUCUCUCACUUUCACUUUCCUUUUUGAAAAGUUUUUCGGUUCCCUCUUUAUUUUUUUGUUUUAAAACUAUAUAAAAGCACUCAACAGAAAUAAAUGACUAUCUAAAACUUCCGGGUUGUCUCCCUGGCAGCACUUUCUUUAAAGCCAUUAAGCUAGGCAUAUAGUGCUCAAGUAAUGAAUCCACCCGGAUCCCAAGGUAUAUCAAAGCCAAUUUAUUUAACAAUGAUUUGUAAUUUAGUAGUGAGCACAAAGUAACAUAUAUCAAGCAAUGACGAAGUCUAACUCUCUUCCUAUGCAUCGGCAUGUCAUAAAAGAACAAUUCAUGCACACAUAGUAAAGGCCAACGCAUAGUAUAGACAGUUUCUUGCAAUUCUAUCGUGUGGGAAACAUAGAGAGGUGGAGAUGUAGUUCCUCUCUCAUAAUAAUUGCAAGUAGGAGCAGCAAGCAUAUGCAUAUUAUAUUCAUUAAAAUUAUCAUGUGCAACGGUAAAAGGAAACCCAUUAAUAUAAUCCUUAAUAAGAACAAACUUCUCCGAUAUAGUGUAGUUGGGAGAAUUCAAUAAGAUAAUAGGACUAUCAUGCGUUGGUGCAAUAGCAACAAUUUCAUGUUUAACAUAAGGAACUAUAACAAGUUCAUCUCCAUAAGCAUAAUUCAUAUUGGCAUCUUGGCCAAGAGCAUAGCAAGCAUCAUCAAAAAGGGAUAUUUCAAGAGAAUCCAAGGGAUCAUAACAAUCAUCCUUCGGUAAGCACGAAGGGGAAUUAAACAAUGUAUGAGUUGAAGAGUUACUCUCAUUAGAUAGUGGGCACGGGUGAUCAAUCCGCUCUUCCUCCUUUUGUUCUUCGCUCUCCUAAUCAUCUUUUUCAUCCAAUGAGCUCACAGUUUCAUCAAUUUCUUCUUCCAUAGCUUCCUGCGAAAUAUUAGUCUCUUCUUGGACGGCGGAGAAUUUCUCAAUAUAUAGUUUAACAUAGGCAUUAGAAGCAUAAUUAUCAUAACAAUAUUCAAGUAUGGCAAAAUUUUCAGAUUUGUAAAGAGUAGCAUCAUACUUUUCAAUCAAAGAAGCAAUUUCAUAAGCACCCUUGAAAGCAACAAAUUUUUCAAUUUGUUGAACAUCAUAGUAAUUAUAAACACCCUUAGCAUACGAAGAUAUGAUUUCAUUAUCAAUAAACUCACAUUGGUAGGGAAGGUGUUUCUUAGGGUUUUCAGAACAACAAGUAACAUCAUAUAUUUCACAUAAAUUCCGAGCAUAGCAUUGCAAACGUUGAAUUUGAUCCCAUAAUAGUUUCCCUUUUUCAGAUAUACGGUGUAGCACAUAACAAGCAUGCUCAUCUAAAGGUUUUCCCUCAACUAAGCUAGUUGGGGUUUCAACACGAGCAUAAAGGGAUCGAAGAUGUUCCAAGUAAAAAGCUUCAGUAGUGUGAUAGAUUUUGAGUGGUUCUUCAACCAUUGGUGUAGUAGGUACAACUAAUUUUUUUUGGUAUUUUUCGUUUCCUACCCAUAACUAAAGAUAGAAAACAACUAAGAAAAGCAAAUAAAAAUUACUUAGUGAUAAAGCAAAAAAGCACACACGAGAAUAUUCACCCCACGCUAUGACUCCCCGGCAACGGCGGCAUAAAAAGGUCUUGAUAACCCGCAAGUAUAUGGGAUAGUUGUAGCCUCUUUCGAUAAGCAAAAGUGUCGAACCCAACAAGGAGCUAAAGGUAGAACAAAUACUCUCUCAAGUCCUAUCGGCCACUGAUACGACUCUACGCACGCUUGACGUUCGCUUUACCUAGAACAAGUAUGAAACUAGAAGUACUUUGUAGGUGUGAUAGGAUAUGUUUGCGAGAUAAUAAAGAACACGUAAAUAAAAAGUAGGGGCUGUUUAGAUAAAGAUGCAAUAAAGCAAAUAUAGCGAGUGUGUAAAAGUGGUGGUAGGAGUUGUGGAAUUGUCCCUAAGCAAUUGACUACUUUACUAGACCGAUAGCAAGUUUUAUGUGGGAGAGGCCACUGCUAGCAUGUCAUCCCUGACUUGAAAUUCUAUGCACUUAUGAUUGGAACUAUUAGCAAGCAGUCCGCAACUACUAACGUUCAUUAAGGUAAAACCCAACCAUAGCAUUAAGAUAUAUUGGUCCCCCUUCAAUCCCGUAUGCAUCAAUUUCUAUGCUAGGUUGAAGCUUCUGUCACUCUAGCCCUCCAAUACAUGGUCCUAUCAACAUACAACUAACCCAAUGGUGUGAUCCAUGCGCGCUCUCAUAUGAUGGGCGCCAUAGGACAACAACAUAACCACAAGCAAAUUAAAUCAAUAAUAGCAAUUCAUCAACCACUAAUAGGACAACGAAAAUCUACUCAGACAUCAUAGGAUGGCAACACAUCAUUGGAAAGUAAUAUGAAGCAUAAAGCACCAUGUUCAACUAGAGGGUACAGCGGGUUGCGGGAGAGUGGACCUCUGAAUAUAGAAGGGGAAAGGUGAUGGAGAUGUUGGUGAAGAUGACGGCAGUGUUGGUGAAGAUCACGAUGAUGAUGAUGGCCCCCGGCAGCGCUCCGGCGCCACCGGAAGCAGGGGGGAGAGGCCCCCUUCUUCUUCUUCUUCCUUGACUUCCUCCCUAGAUGGGAGAAGGGUUUCCCCUCUGGUCCUUGGCUCCCAUGGCUUGGGAGGGGCGAGAGCCCCUCCAAGAUUGGAUCUAUCUCUCCGUUUCUGCGUUCUAUAAUUCUGCGCUGGCACCGUUUUCUUUAUAUAUGGAGAUCCGUAACUUCGAUUGGAUUGAAACCUUUGCCCAGAUUGUUUUCCAAAAAUUAGCUUUCUUGCGGCCAAAGAAGGGCAUCAACCGCCUUACGGGUGGCCCACGAGGGUGGGGGCGCGCCCACUUUAAGUGGGCAUGGGCCCCUAUCUCGUGGCCACCUCGGGCAUCGUCUCGCAUUGAUUCUUCCUCCCAAAAAUCACAAAUAUUCCAAAAUAAUUCUCCGUCCAUUUUUAUCCCGUCUGGACUCCGUUUGAUAUGGGGUUUCUGCGAAACAUAAAACAUGCAACAGACCGGAACUGACACUGGGCACUGGAUCAAUAUGUUAGUCCCAAAAAAAAUAGUAUAAAAAGUUGCCAAAAGUAUAUGAAAGUUGAAGUUGCUUCACCUAGCGGUGCUUCAAGGACAUAUGCUUUCUUGGCAGCUAUGAGGAUGAUCCUCAAGUUUCGGACCCAGUUUGUAUAGUUGCUACCAUCGUCUUUCAGCUUGGUUUUCUCUAGGAACGCGUAGAAGUUGAGGACAACAUUAGCGUGGGCCAUUUGAUCUAUAAGACAUAUUGUAAAGAUUUCAGACUAAGUUCAUGAUAAUUAAGUUAAUCUAAUCAAAUUAUUUAAUGAACUCCCACUCAGACAGACAUCCCUCUAGUCAUCUAAGUGAUACAUGAUCCGAGUCAACUAGGCCGUGUCCGAUCAUCACGUGAGACAAACUAGUCAUCAUGGGUGAACAUCUUCAUGUUGAUCGUAUCUUCUAUACGACUCAUGUUCGACCUUUCGGUCUCUUGCAUUCCGAGGCCAUGUCUGUACAUGCUAGGCUCGUCAAGUCAAUCUAAGUGUUUUGCUUGUGUAAAUCUGGCUUAUACCCGUUGUAUUCGAACGUUAGAAUCUAUCACACCCGAUCAUCACGUGGUGCUUCGAAACAACGAACCUUCGCAACGGUGCACAGUUAGGGGGAACACUUUCUUGAAAUUUUAUGAGGGAUCAUCUUAUUUAUGCUACCGUUGUUCUAAGCAAAUAAGAUGUAAAACAUGAUAAACAUCACAUGCAAUCAAAUAGUAACAUGAUAUGGCCAAUAUCAUUUUGCUCCUUUUGAUCUCCAUCUUCGGGGCGCCAUGAUCAUCAUCGUCACCGGCAUGACACCAUGAUCUCCAUCAUCAUGAUCUCCAUCAUCGUGUCUUCAUGAAGUUGUCUUGCCAACUAUUACUUCUACUACUAAGGCUAAUGGUUUAGCAAUAAAGUAAAGUAAUUACAUGGCGUUAUUCAAUGACACGCAGGUCAUACAAUAAAUUAAGACAACUCCUAUGGCUCCUACCGGUUGUCAUACUCAUCGACAUGCAAGUCGUGAUUCCUAUUACAAGAACAUGAUCAAUCUCAUACAUCACAUAUAUAUCAUUCAUCACAUCCUUUUGGCCAUAUCACAUCACACGGCACAUGCUGCAAAAACAAGUUAGACGUCCUCUAAUUGUUGUUGCAAGUUUUUACGUGGCUGUUAUAGGUUUCUAGCAAGAACGUUUCUUUCCUAUGCCAAAACCACAACGCGAUAUACCAAUUGAUAUUUACCCUUCAUAAGGACCCUUUUCAUCGAAUCCGAUCCGACUAAAGUGGGAGAGACAGACACCCGCUAGCCACCUUAUGCAACUAGUGCAUGUCAGUCGGUGGAACCUGUUUCACGUAAGCUUACGUGUAAGGUCGGUCCAGGACGCUUCAUCCCACGAUGCUGCCAAAACAAGAUAAGACUAGUAGUGGCAAGUAAAUUGAUAAAAUCGAUGCCCACAACAAACUUGUGUUCUACUCAUGCAUAGAAACUACGCAUAGACCUAGCUCAUGAUGCCACUGUUGGGGAUCGUUGUAGAAAUUAAAAAAAUUCUACGCAUCACCAAGAUCAAUCUAUGGAGUAACUAGCAACGAGAGAGAGGGGAGUUCAUCUUCAUACCCUUGAAGAUCGCGAGUCGGAAGUGUUGCAAGAACGCGGUUGGAGGAGUCGUAUGCGUAGCGAUUCAGAUCGCGGCCGAAUCCGAUCUAAGCACCGAACAACGGUGCCUCCGCGCUCAACACACGUGCAGCCCGGUGACGUCUCCUACACCUUGAUCCAGCAAGGAGGAGGGAGAGGUUGAGGAAGAGGGCUCCAACAACAGCACGACGGCGUGGUGGUGAUGGAAUGGCAGUUCUCCGGCAGGGCUUCGCCAAGCUCUUGCGGAGGAAGAGAGGUGUUGGGGAGGGGAGGGGCUGCGCCUUGGAUGUGGUGCUGCACCCCUCCCUCCACCCCUCUAUUUAUAGGGAGAAGGAGAAGGGGGCCGGCCCCUCUAGAUGGGAUCUAGAGGGGGGACAGCGACCAAGGGGGGCGCCCCCUUUAGGGUUCCCUCCCCAACCCUAGGCGCAUGGGCCCUAGGGGGGGUUGGCGCCCAGCCCACUUGGGGCUGGUUCCCUUCCACCUACAGCCCAUAAGGCCCUCCGGGGCAGGUGGACCCACCCGGUGGACCCCCGGAACCCCUCCGGUGGUCCCGGUACAAUACUGGUACACCCCCAGACAUUUCCAGUGACCGUAUGAUGACUUCCCAUAUAUAAAUCUUCACCUCCGGACCAUUCCGGAACUCCUCGUGACUCUGAACAACAUUCAUUAAUCACAUACAAAUCUUCCUUAUGACCCUAGCAUCAUCGAAACAUAAGUGUGUAGACCCUACGGGUUCGGGAAUCAUGCAGACAUGACUGAGACAGCUCUCCGACCAAUAACCAACAGUAGGAUCUGGAUAACCAUGUUGACUCCCACAUGUUCCAUGAUGAUCUCAUCGGAUGAACCACGAUGUCGAGGAUUCAAGUAAUCCCGUAUACAAUUCCCUUUGUCAAUCGGUACGUUACUUGUCAGAGAUUCGAUCGUCGGUAUCACAAUACCUCAUUCAAUCUCGUUACCGGCAAGUCACUUUACUCGUUCCGUAAUGCAUGAUCCCGUGACCAAAUACUUAUUCACAUUGAGCUCAUUAUGAUGAUGCAUUACCGAGUGGGCCCAGAGAUACCUCUCCGUCAUACGGAGUGACAAAUCCCAGUCUCGAUUCGUGCCAACCCAACAGACACUUUCGGAGAUACCUGUAGUGCACCUUUAUAGCCACCCAGUUACGUUGUGAUGUUUGGUACACCCAAAGCAUUCCUACGGUAUCCGGGAGUUUCAUGAUCUCAUGGUCUAAGGAAAUGAUACUUGACAUUAGAAAAGCUCUAGCAAACGAACUACACGAUCUUGUGCUAUGCUUAGGAUUGGGUCUUGUCCAUCACAUCAUUCUCCCAAUGAUGUGAUCCCAUUAUAGAUGACAUCCAAUGUCCAUAGUCAGGAAACCAUGACCAUCUGUUGAUCAACGAUCUAGUCAACUAGAGGCUUACUAGGGACUUGUUGUGGUCUAUGUAUUCACACAUGUACUAAGGUUUCCGGUCAAUACAAUUAUAGCAUGAACAAUAGACAAUUAUCAUGAACAAGGAAAUAUAAUAAUAACCAUUUUAUUAUUGCCUCUAGGGCAUAUUUCCAACAGUGAGGUUGGUGAUGUAUCCGUCGUAGUUGGAGCCCUCCAUGCCCACCACAACGUGGUUGUGGCGCCAGGGGUUGGCGGCCACCCGUACUGAUACCGAAGAGUGCGACUCUGCCUCGCUGACAUCUGCCGCGGCCUUCUCCUCCCUAUUCCUUGCACGACGGACACACCACGCCAUUGCCUCAGCAGAUGGGUGACGGGGGACCUCUGAGUCGAAGCGCCAACGAAGGGGCAUCACAUCCGCUACGACUUUGGGAUGCUAGACGACCGCACCGCAUCCAUUGAGGCAGCGGCGACACGCCUCACGGAUCGAAGUGCCAUUUGAGGGGACACUACAGAUUCCCACUAGAUCGAGUCCAACAGUUGUUGAGCAUUCUCCUUGCAGCCGUGGUGGCGCACAAUGCGAAAGACCAUCUUCUCUUUGGGCGUGACUAGGAUGAGGUCCCAGUCCCUAGAUCGGGUGACGGUGGACUCAGAUGCGCUGCCCGUGAUGCCAGAGAUCACUCGAUGGGUGUUUAGAGGCAGAGCGGAAUGGAGUGGCCAGGGUUUUGUCCGCGGAGCGAAUAUAUGUGGGUUUGUGCUGGGCCAGCAUGGGCUGGAUCCGACAUGGUUGACGCGCUCAGCACGCUCGGGCAUCCCGAUAUUCGCCUAUGAUUUGGAAUAGAUAUGAGCGGCGUCAGUCAGCCCGGGCAUUUAGGACCGGUAUGAGAUGUCCAUUCGAGUCAUUUUUUUACCGGUCAGUGACCGGGCCGCCCGCCCAGGCGUAUAAGUGUGUUUGAGGUGCCCGACUAUAGAUUCUCUAAUGCUACAAAUUAUCCAAUGUGUGACUACAAUAUCCUAACCUAACAACCUAUCAAGACCUCGCAUGCAAAUUUUAAUUCUCUGUACACAUAUAGGAUUUCGCAAAAACUAUUUGGCAAACAUUAGGAUUUUAGUCUUAGCACCGAACGACUAGCACACCCUCUAAUCUUGAUCCUAUGGUGGGGACUGAACGCGCGGUUGAGAAGCGGGGUCGAAGCAUAGGGCAAAAUAAUUAUUCUUUUCCCGACUUGCGGAGUCCAACCACUUUGCUCAUGAUAGACCGGGACCACAUAAAAUUGGUCAACUCCUUAACGCUGCUCACUGGAAACCUCCGCCUACACAAUAAAUCUCAUAUCGGAAACUGUCGUGCAUCAUUAACUCUACGCUACAUGAUUCGAUUUUGGGAUCCACACCACCCCCUCUUCCACAUUCCUCAUUGUUUCUCUCUUUUGCGCUUGGUCAUAGAUGGAGCUGUUUGCGGCGAGUCCGCGGACGAAUUUCUCGACGGUGGAGAUUCUCAGCUAGGGUUGCCAAAAGCGAAAGGUGAGCACCAUCCACUACUCAAGCGCAUUUACUCAUGAUUUCCCGAUAGUGGAGACCCUAGUCUUUUCUAUUAUGUUGCUUCGAUGAGCGAGGGGAGGAAGAGGGGACUUAACGGUGGUGUGGAUCACGCGGCGGUGUGGAUUUAUUCCAGCCAUGUCCUUGAAUUCAAUGUUAUUUUGCAAGUUCUAUUUCAUGAUGCAUGUGAUAGGAGAAGAGCGGGGCUUUACCAGGAGGGAAGGGAUCUAGUACUACAGAUUUACUCGGGCGAAACAAUUUUUAUCCGCUCUGUUCAACCCUUAUAUGUGAUUUGUGUUACAGGAGAGGAUUGGCCGCAAACUAUGAGAUUUCUGGGGUCGAUUUUUUAUUUUCCCCCAAUACCCCUGAUGUACAUUUAUUGGGAUGGAUUUUUGAAAAUAUCCCAUACCUCUCUUGCCCAUUUUAUUAAUGAUUUUUGAGUUGAAUAGGGCAGCUCUAAUCGAUUUGCGGAGGAUAGGUUCGAAUCCCUGGAGGUGACCCCUUUGUGUAUUGAGGUCAUUUAUGUUGCCACUAUUUGAAAUUCCGGCUAAAAAUAACCAUAUUGUUAUAAUUUCUACCGAAACUUUGAGGGCAGUUGCAGCAAAAAUUACAUGACACUUAUAAUUUGUCCCAAAAUUACCAAGGGAAUCCGAGCACAAUUCGAAUCCCUCGACAUGACCCCUUUGUGGAACUACUCCAUUUUGUACCAUAGUUACCAUAUGCCGUUGAUUUUCCACCUUCUAGCAAAAUUACCAAUAUUGUCACAGUUUCACACCAUUUUUGUUCAAGUCAUAGUAACCUUUUCAUAGUUCAACUCUCAUACAUGCAUGCUACUUUUUUUUUCCACACACACCAUAUAAUAAUGAAUGUGUUCCAAGCGUUUGGUCGGGGGGUAAUUAGAGCUCAGAAUGGGAAUUGAAGGGGUAUGAGACUUGAGAGUCCAACUCCCACCAUUUUAUUAACAGGUGAGAGGCUGGGUCUUGGAAGGGAUUUUCUUUAGCGAUUGAAUCUUAACCCUUCAUCAUGACUUGCAUUCAUUUACCUUGUCUAGUGCCCCGUCAACUCCCACUAACCAAACAAUAUAUAUUAUCAUCAAUUUUUCACAAAUAGUUCCUAUCAUGCACCAAACUGAGUAUUGGGAAUAAAAUGACUCCUCCCAUGUGUAAUCUCAAUACUACUCCCUACUCUAAACUCCCAUUCCUCUUCCCAAAUAUUGCCAACCUAGUCGACAAUGCUACAAGUUUUUUCUAUCUUCUUUUAAUAAAAGGGGUUCUCCCAUUUCUUUAAUAGAAACCAUUUAGAGUUUUUCACAAACAGAGCAACCAAAAUAAACCUAUUGAUAAACUAGACUACCGCACCAUCCACCACAAUAGUCUGCAACAAGAGAAUGGGAUACAUCCCAUCUCUCACCCAUUCAUCAUCCAACUUACCAAGAACACAUGCAUCAUCAGAAACUACAUAAACUGACUCCAUGUUACCACAAGUUCUAAAAAAAUUAAAGGAGGGGAAGACUAGGAUAUGAACAACAUCUACAAGGGAGAUAAGAGGUGUAGACUAAAAGCACAAACUGCUCAGCAAAGAAGUGCAGAUCUUCAAGUAGCUUUGUAGGAUGGCGGUAGUUGCAGGACCCCUAGUUAAACUUCAUUUCUUCCAUCAACCACUUAUAAUCUAAAGCACUCUAGAACAUCAUCCUUUAGUAGCAUUAAAGGCCUCAUUUUUUACUCGCUCGAACAACCUUAUACCUCACAUCAACUCCUUUUGCCUUUCCUGGAUUAUCUGUAAUAUUGAUGAAGAGAUGAUUAAAGCACAACAUCUAUGAAGAAUCAAAAAAGGAUCCAGUACCCUCCUUCCUCCAAAUAAAAUUUCAUUUCUAUAAUUGCAUAUAUACCAAAGUAUAGUAGAAAUCCAUAGAGAAAGCAACUUUUAUUUUCUUUACCAUAUUGAGCAAGCCUAGAAUUAAAUAGAGUAUUCAUAUUAGUAGGAGUAUUUUUCAUUCUAUGUGGAGUUUUAUGCGCGUUCCAUUUGUGUAGUUAUUUAAACAUUUUUAUGUAGUUAUAGACCGCAAGAUGCAAGAUAUUAAUGAAGUACACACUGCAUUUCUGUGACCUUAGUAGUGCUCUAGGUCCUUGGUUCGACCCCUGGUGGAAGCGACGUAUAAAAAUUUCUGGUAUUAAGGGUUGGCAUGCGUUUUCCUCUCAGCUUGUCUUCUUUCUCUUAUCUUCCUCCAACGCUGACCUAGGCGCUUGGUAUGGUGCACCUCACCCUUUCGCCCUCCCCAAACCGUUCUCUGGUCCCCUGCCAUCUAGGUCUCCCUCUAACCCAUUGACUUCUCUAGAUCCAAUUAGCAUCUGAUUCCACACCAUGUGCGAACCAGUCAAGAUGAGAAUCCCCUCCACCACUAACAUUGUAUCCACCCAGGCUUCAGCUCGGUCUUAUCAGCAACACAGCGCCUUGCUGCCACUCACCAUAGUUUCCCCUUCUCCGCCUUGGAUCUAUCUCUCCUUCUUCUCUCCUUAAAUUGAAUGACCCAAAUUUUGUUACAAAGUAACUUACAUAUAGUAAACAUAUUUUUCAUAUAGUUGAUUUAUUAACUAUACUUAAAGUACACAACAAACCUAAUCGUUAACAUAUCAAUGUAGCAACAUCGUGGAUAUCACAGAAUAGCAUGAAUUUUAUUACUCCAACAAGAUGUUGUAUGCAAAAUUUGUGCUCGCAUAUAUCAUCAUCAAACACCAGCUAUCGGUGAGUUUAGUUCUCCAUGAUGCAAUUUGCUAGGUUUCGAAUAUGCGAUAUUUUCAGGAAAUGAAAUCCUUAUAUAUGCUCAAUUUUUCAUGAUUUGGUGCAUGUUAUAGGUUGUGGAUACAUUUCUGUUGGUUGGUCCACCUCUUACUAGGAUGAUACAUCGAUGUUAGCAUAUAUUAGUUUUAUUUUUUAUGUGCAUGUACUUAGAAUGUACCAACACAUUUUGCAUAUUAUUUACAAUUUCCAUGUCCCCUAUGCAGUUUAUUAUUGAGUUAGUUCUAGCAAUGUCUUGCUGGCAGUCUGCACCUGCUGAUAUUAUUUGUGAUAUUGGGGAGAGUCUUUUGGAUAGUAAUGGCCACGACAGCUAUGUCGCUAUGAGAUAUGUAUGUUCUCUUUGGAGGUCAGCCAUCUCAUCUUAUCAAAGGCUUUUUGUUCGAGCACAUCGAUGGAUUGUUCUUGAGGAGAUCAAUGAAUUCAGUGAUUGCGCUGUACAUCGGGUAUUGGUUAAUCUUUCAACUGGACGGAUGGUCAAGCGUCGCAUUCCUCUUUUGAAUGACCAUGUUUAUGUUGGAUCUUCGGAUGGACUACUGAUUCUCGUAGAAAAAAGUGAACCUUACUUUGUCAAACUAUGGGAGCCAUUCACGGGCUAUCUUGUGCAAUUUGCAGCCGGCAUCAUCCAUCAGCAGCCUUCUCAUUUUGCCGUCGAGACUCACGGUGUCCCUAGAUUGUUUCAUGCCCCUGGAGGUUUACGCAACCCUCAAGUCAUGUGUUAUGAUGUUAGUAAUGGAAAUAUGGAGGUUCGAUUUGGUGAUAUGCCAGUUGAGCGUGUAGCAAGUAUGACUGCAUAUAAGAGUGAUGUGUUUGUACUUUUCCAUAAUCGUCAGUUGUUUAAGAUAACCGGGGCUGGUCAUGAGAUGCAUGGAGAAUUCAUUCUGAUCCACGAGGCUCCAACACUUGCACCUAGUGCAAUGACACACUAUUUGGUAGUAUCUGGAGGAGGCAACCUUCUUAUUGUGGUCAUUGGCAUUGCAGAGAUCCUGAUUUUUUGUGUUGAUGUUGACUUAAGGACCGCUGUCCGUAUCUAUAAUAUUGGUAGCCAGGCACUUUUCCUUAGUAACACAAGGUGUAUCGCUGUUAAUGCCGAAAAUUUCCCAACUGUCAAAGAAAACUGUGUAUAUCAAGCAUGCAUCUCUGGAUAUAGUGGGCCAUGUGGAAUUUAUGAGUUCAGUUUGACGAGGCCUCGGAAGCGUAAGAUUUAUCAUCAAUCAUUUGCCAAUGAAGUAACCUACGCUCUUGGGGGAAGGCCCUUAAGCAUGUGGCAGGUCCUUAUACACUACUGUUUAUUCAGAAACAAGUGUAGGAGGCCACUAUCCCAGGUGUAAGGAUUAAGUUGGGUAAUAAAUCAAGGUUGUGGCAGUACUGGGCAACUUUAUUUUUACUUAUCUAUGAGGAGUGAAGUGAACAUGUAUUGUUGUCAUUAUACUGAAUGUUGCUACUUAGUUAUUUGUUUUAGUUAUUGACCAUUUCUAAGUUUAAUUUAUAUGCAUGCUUUUGAUGUUCAUAGUAACUCAUACUUUUGAUACAUAGAUGGACCAUUUAGUGAUGACUGUAUGUCUACACUUCACAAGAUAAGUUGACAAUACAUACCUCAUAACAACCAUUCUAGACCUUACUAUAAACUAUAUGUGAAUGAAAUAAAUUGCAAGGCAUCAUUUCAAAUGUUACAAGAUUGUUUCUGAUAUAUAUUUAUACUUAAAUUACCAAAUAUAUGGUUUCUAUUUGGCAAAGGCAGUGGGAAAACUGUUUUUCGUACUCUUUUCAGAGGAACAGACAGUAACAUAACCAAGAAAAAUAAGAGAUAGUGUUUUCGCGAAAAAUUUGUACUAUGAAGUUCUAAUAUUAGUGAUGUAACGUGUACAAUUCUCAUUUAUUCUGAAAUGAAAGUGAAUUGUCAUUUUAAUAUGUGAAAAUUCCACAUUUCAACCCCGAACUAACCACAUGGUUUAAUUUACAACCCUGAACCCUGAAACCGGUCGAAACACAUCCCAAACAAACCUCAAGAUUCAAAACUCAACCCUAGUCUUGGUUUUGGGCUGGUUAACCGUUUUUAUCACAGUCAAUGUUGACUGGGUAGAUCCACAUUAGCAAUUAAUCUCAACAAAGCAUUGCUAAAAACUAUGCCAAAAGGUGAAAUUUAUUAUCUUUAUGCCAAUACAAAUCAAAUGAAACUCAUACCACGACCCUCGUAUUGUACAUCUACUAACUCACUAAGCUCCCUGGGGUAAAACCACGACCCACGCUAUCAAUUUGGCUUCUCACGUCAAUUUUGACCUGGUCGUCCGGCCGUGUGAGUUGGUCUGUACCGUGGGCCGUUUUUGUCAACGGUGUAGAGCCAUGGGCCCUGGCUGUCAGUCAAUGAUUCAUCUUGUUGGCGUUCGAAGGGGAUUAGGGAUCGGUGGCUCAUUGCGAGACGUCAACGUAGCACAGCAUGGCGGCGGAUCGGACAGGCGGACGGCGUUCGACGGUAGCCGCACACUAGUACGGGCGUGUAGCACAGGUGCACGGUGCUGCUCCAGCCGCAACCCACAUCCCUGCACCAUCCCGAUGUCCCUUCACCUGCAGGGCGUCGCAAGCGGAGCAGCGUGGACCCGACAGAGUUAGAUGUCGCAGUUCGUCUUGCUAGAAGAUGCACAAGUAGGGGAAAGACAGGGCCACAGAGGCAAGAAAAGCGAACCUUAUAAUUUUCUUGUUGAUUCCUAUGCUUGUUUGUUUGAGCUUGCCAAAACAUGCUGGUGAAUUAGUAAAAAUAAAGGACAAAGAAGAAGGCUCAAUCAUGUUUACUAUCUACCCCCUCCGUCCCAGAAUAUAAGAACAUUUUUCAAGCUAUGUUAGCUUAAAAAUGAUCUUAUAUUGUGGGACGGAGGGAGUACUUCAAGGAUCAUAUGCAUGUGAACUGAUUUGUUAACACAUCACAUCUAGCAAGUAGUAGUUGUUACGUGCAAAUGCAUCUGCAGCUAAAAGGAGCACGAAUGAGAAAUCACAACAUAGGAAAGUAGGGGGGUCAGUGUAGGGUUGAGGAGACUUCAGAUGUCGAGCUUUCAACAUAGUAUGAUUCAGUUAACAGGGGAAAGGAAUGUCAAGUGUUGGCCGCCACUGGAUCAAUGCAAAUCUAUGCCGGAAAAUGCCUGUCUCCUGGGUAGCUGAAGAGUGGUGUGCAACUGAGAAGAAACGGUUAAGGGGGAAUUGAUAGGGAGGAGAUGUUCAGUUUUCAAUUUUUCAUACCAUGGUGGACCUAGCAGACGGGGAAGAGACCAUUGCUGAUGCAUCGUGGAAGGGCGCAAUGAAGGCAGUGAGUGCGGAGUGCGAGGAGGACAUGUGCCUUUGAUCCAGAGUUGCUCCAUGACGAAGGUCAUAACGGCCUUGGUGGCACACGCCACCAUGAAAACCACCAGCCUUGACACGAUCGUUGUGUUCACUGCGAGCACCUUGGUCACUGUCGCCGCCGUCGUGCUCAUCAGUAACGUAUUUACCCCGCCUUGAUUAAGAGUGUGCAUGCAUAAUUAUACCUAUCAUUGCCUUUUUCCUUCAAAAAACCUGUCAUGUUGGCCUCAUGGUUCGUGUUGAUAAUGGAAGCUUUCCAAACUAUAACUGCUAGGAGCAUCAUUGUUUUUUCCCACUUUGUUUGUGUUACGGCGUAGAGGCCCACCGGGCAAUCUUAGCCCACAAGUUAUCUUAGGUUAAUUCUUAUAAAAGUUAUCUUAGGUUAAUUCUUAUGCAAGUUAUCUAGGUUAUAAAUAUAGGCUGUAAGACUCUUUUCAGAAUUAAGCAAUAAGAAGAUUAUCUCUAUUGCCCGGCUCCCAGAGGAGCCAGAACCCUAGCCGCCCCCUGCCUCUUGCGCUGCCGCCGCCAUCUUCCUCUUCCCCGACGGCGCCCAGCCACCGGCGCAGCCGCUCAUCGCUACGCCCAGCCCCCUCCUUCCCCUACUGCCUACGGCGAAGACCGGGCAGAACCCUAGCUCCUAAGACCGGGAGGGACGGCGAGGCGGUGGGUGGCGCGGCCCAGGCCGGCCACCGCGGGCCCUGGACGGCUGCUGGCGGCGCGGGUGGCGACGCGAGCGCUGGCGUCGGCCACUGGGGCCAGGGCAGAGUGGAAGCGGCCGGUGAUGGUAGCGCCGGGUAGCCCCCGGCGAUGGCCGCGGGGACGGAGUAGGCCAGCCACUGCGGGUCCUGGGCGGCUGCUGGCGGCGCAGGUGGCGCCGUGAGUGCUGGCGUCGGCCACUGUGGCCAAGUCGGCGUCGGAGCCGCCGGUGANNNNNNNNNNNNNNNNNNNNNNNNNNNNNNNNNNNNNNNNNNNNNNNNNNNNNNNNNNNNNNNNNNNNNNNNNNNNNNNNNNNNNNNNNNNNNNNNNNNNNNNNNNNNNNNNNNNNNNNNNNNNNNNNNNNNNNNNNNNNNNNNNNNNNNNNNNNNNNNNNNNNNNNNNNNNNNNNNNNNNNNNNNNNNNNNNNNNNNNNNNNNNNNNNNNNNNNNNNNNNNNNNNNNNNNNNNNNNNNNNNNNNNNNNNNNNNNNNNNNNNNNNNNNNNNNNNNNNNNNNNNNNNNNNNNNNNNNNNNNNNNNNNNNNNNNNNNNNNNNNNNNNNNNNNNNNNNNNNNNNNNNNNNNNNNNNNNNNNNNNNNNNNNNNNNNNNNNNNNNNNNNNNNNNNNNNNNNNNNNNNNNNNNNNNNNNNNNNNNNNNNNNNNNNNNNNNNNNNNNNNNNNNNNNNNNNNNNNNNNNNNNNNNNNNNNNNNNNNNNNNNNNNNNNNNNNNNNNNNNNNNNNNNNNNNNNNNNNNNNNNNNNNNNNNNNNNNNNNNNNNNNNNNNNNNNNNNNNNNNNNNNNNNNNNNNNNNNNNNNNNNNNNNNNNNNNNNNNNNNNNNNNNNNNNNNNNNNNNNNNNNNNNNNNNNNCAGCGGCGGUGGUGGCGGAAUUGGAGGCGGCGAAGACAUGGUCGAAACCCGGGUAUCAGCUACCUGGGUUUCGACCAUGUCAUCGCCACCACCAAUUCCGCCGCCACCACCGCCGCCGCUGCCCACCAGCACCCCCACUGCCGCUGCCACCAACUCCACCACUGCCGCUGCCUUAUCGCCGAGCGCCACGGCCUCGCUCACCCUCCCGUCGGCACCGAUCUCCCCCGCUCCUGGCACAAUGCAGAGCCAGGGCCAGCCACCGCCACCCGUACACAAUUCGCCACCAUCUCCUCCCCCCAUGCCGAACCAGCUUUCCCCGGAGGCCAUGGCCAGCGUGCUCAAUGACCUGGUGAUCGCGGCCCAGGGCAUCCUUCUCUAUUUGGCUAGCCCGUACAGGCCGCCACCGCUGCUACCGCCGGCCGUACCCUCGGGCCAGCCGGCACUGCCGUGGUACUCCGUCCCCGCGGCCAUCGCCGGGAGCUACCCGGCGCUACCAUCGCCAGCCGCUUCCACGCCGCCCUGGCCCCAGUGGCCGACGCCAGCGCUCGCGGCGCCACCCGCGCCGCCAGCAGCCGCCCAGGGCCCGCAGUGGCCGGCCUACUCCGUCCCCGCGGCCAUCACCGGGGGCUACCCGGCGCUACCAUCGCCGGCCGCUUCCACGCCGCCCUGGCCCCAGUGGCCGACGCUAGCGCUCGCGGCGCCACCCGCGCCGCUAGCAGCCGCCCAGGGCCCGCAGUGGCCAGCCUGGGCCAUGCCACCCACCGCCUCGCCGUCCCUCCCGGCGGCCACAGUGCAGGUUCCGCCGCCGCCACCGCCCAGCCCUAGCCUGGGCCGGUCCGCGCCAGGCGGUCUUCCGAUCCAAGAGGUCUGGUUCCCAUCGUCACCAUCUCCACUUACGGGCUGGCUCCACGGGACAUUGCCUCCGCCGGUUUACACGGAGGCCCGGGAGCCGUCGGGUUCCCAGUUGCAGGCCGGGGCAUCGGGCGCCACGGGGGCCUACGCCGGCCUUCCCACCACGGACCAAGCACCGUCAUCAGCUCUCCGCACCGCCAAGGCAGUGGGCCAUGGCGCGCCAAACCAGCAGCCGCCCCGGUUCACCAAGCUUGACUUCGCCACUUAUGACGGCUCGGAUGACCCGCUUAACUUGCUCAACCAGUGUGACCAGUUCUUCCGCGGGCAGCGCACACCCGCGUCGGAGCGCACUUGGCUGGCUUCCUACCAUCUCCGCGAGGCCACCCAGACAUGGUACUACGCCCUCGAGCAGGACGAGGGCGGCAUGCCCCCGUGGGAGCGCUUCCGCGAGCUGUGCCUUCUUCGCUUCGGACCACCAUUACACGGGAGCCGAUUGGCCGAGUUGGGCCGCCUACCUCUCACCUCCACGGUGCAGGAUUUCGCCGACCGCUUCCAGGCCCUAGCGUGUCACGCGCUAGGUGUGACGACCCUGCAGCGGGUUGAGCCCUUCGUCGGCGGCCUUCCGGAUCACAUUCGCGUCGACGUGGAGCUUCGUGGACCCCAGGAUCUCCAGUCGGCCAUGUACUACGCCCGCGCGUUCGAGCGCCGCGUGGUGGCCAUCCAGCAUGAAUCACCGUCCCGGACUACUGGGUCGCUACCAGGGCCGGAUUCCACGCAGGGUCGGCCUGUGCAGGCUUCUGCGGCACCCCUUGCCGUGACCGCGGGACGCCCGUUCCACCGGCUCAUCUCAGCCGAGCUCCUCGAGCGUCGCCGCCAAGGAUUAUGCUUCAACCGCGACGAGCCCUACAUGCCCGGCCAUGCCUGCCCGCGACUCUUCUACCUGGAGGUUGCAGACUACAUUCCGGAGGACGCCGUCGCCGCCGACCUGGCCGCCCCAGCUGUCGAGAAGGUGUUUGACGCUGGUUGAUCGCCUCGAGGAGUUCCGCCAGCGCUUCCCCAACUUACAGCUCGAGGACGAGCUGUUUGUGCAGGCGGGGAGAAGUGUUACGGCCGUAGAGGCCCACCGGGCAAUCUUAGCCCACAAGUUAUCUUAGGUUAAUUCUUAUGCAAGUUAUCUUAGGUUAAUUCUUAUGCAAGUUAUCUAGGUUAUAAAUAUAGGCCGUAAGACUCUUUUUGGAAUUAAGCAAUAAGAAGAUUAUCUCUAUUCCCCGGCUCCCAGAGGAGCUAGAACCCUAGCCGCCCCCUGCCUCUUGCGCUGCCGCCGCCAUCUUCCUCUUCCGCGACGGCGACCAGCCGCCGGCGCGGCCGCUCAUCGCUACGCCCAGCCCCCUCCUUCCCCUACUGCCUACAGCCAAGACAGGGCAGAACCCUAGCUCCUAAAAGUUUGUAAUGAGAUAUCUUAUAUAUUGCUUACACAGACUACAUAUCAUGUUGGCAAUUCUUAAUUUCCAGCUCCAAGGAAAUCAUGUUGGUGUGCAUCUCUGAGUUCAUCUUCAUCACCGGUGAGUAAGCGGCUCUUUUGCCACGGAAUGCUACCAUAAAAGCUAAAAAUGCAUGUGUCUUCAUGUGUGAAUAUUCAGUGGUGAUUCCAAGUUUGCUGCUCGACAAUUUUCAGACUACAAGUUAAUAGAUAGUCAAUCAUGCUCUUAUUUGUAAUACGAGUUAGUCUUCAACAUGUUCAACCCAAAUGAGUAAACAGACCUAGUCUAAUGAUGUUUAUUUGCAGUCUUAGAAUUGUAAUCUCGCAUAGAAGCAUAAUUAAAAUCACAAGGAAAGCUCAACAAGACUCCAAGAGCCGAUUCUGCCGUUUAAUGUCUGCUUCCUUUUUUUCUCCUUAGUAGAACACAGGUUAAUUAAUUUUCUCAUAAUUUGGGAAUCUUCAAGUGAUUAUUAUUGACUCGAGGAUCUUAGGGGCGUUAGGGAUUUAAUACUAUAUAAGUGAAAGGGAAUCAUCUCCUUUAACUAACAAUGGGAGAGAGAGCCUACAAGUCAUUGUCUUGGGUAUGAACGUAGAUGUUAAUUGCUACUAGAUAGAUUUACAAUUAAUCUCAUUGUUUUGUUUUCUCUAGCAACCAAGACGAGUGUUGUGCACUUACAACUCAUGCUGACUGAACUGGUGAAGUUUCUUUCUCCAUUUCCUCACCUUGAUUGUUGCCACCUAUUUCCUGUUGGUGACUGAGUCUUGACACCAUGUUUGUUUAGAUAAAAUCACCCUCUGGUUACUUGAUUCCAUUUGAUUUAUUGCACUAUUUUGUUGGGAGUGUUUUUUGUUUGCUCUGGACCCUAAUAGUUGUUUUUCAGAAUGACUGUUGGAGUUGGGUUCAUGUAUAUGGUAACUUGGCAAUAUUAGCUUUCAAGCAUGUUAUGAUGUCCAUCUCUUAGACAACAUCUUUUGCUCAAAUCGAUUUAUGUGAAAAACAAGUGCAGUUUCUUAAAGCAAUUUAAAAAAUGACUUAGAAGCAAUUAUUGUUGUAAGUUCUCUUUAAUAUUUGGGUAUUACAAAUUUAGUUCUGGCCCUCCUUGAUUUUUCAUACAGAGAAGGUAAUUGAAUGCAGUCCUUUAACACCAGACUCUGCAAAAUAUUGAACUCCUCCACCUUGGUCAAGCCAGAAAAUUAUAUGAUUGAUCUUUAGAAAUUAAUAUUUGUUCUAGGAAUCAUGUUAUCCACUAGCAACUAUGAUUUUUUUUGUAGUAAGAGUCUGCAGUGCAUUGGCAGCAUAGGUGCAUAUGAACCGCGGAGCAUGAGAUGAUAAUAGUGAAAUGGUCAGUCACCAAACAAGUCAAUUUUCAAUAGCUAUUAGUUACAUGUUUUAUAUACUCUUGCAAUCUUUGAUGACGUCUUCAGCUCAUGUACACAUACGUCGCUGAUGAAAUGAACUGACCAUUUGUAUAUGCAUUGAGGUGCACACAAGUUGUUUAAGUGGAGCAGAGUACUACACAAGCCCAAAUCAAGAUGUUUAAGCCUUGGCUUUGUUGUUUGUGGCCUCUCGUAUGCCCUGCUAAGAUGCAUCUCGAUGUCUCUGCAGUGAAUGGUGCCACAAUCUGAUGUCUAGAAUGUAAUGUGAACAUUUCCUUUUUCAUGGAGGAGAGCAAAAUAAGAUUAAUCUCACCAUCAUUCUUUGUGUGGCUGAGAUGCUUUUCGUAUUUCAUUUGGCUCGAGAAGUUGAUCUGCGAGAGCUGAUCGCCUGUCAAUUUGGAGCUAGAAACCUAGAUUGUGUUGCAUAAAUGUUUGGCUGUAAAAAGUUCAAUCAAGAAGCUGCUUCAUGUUUGUUUACGAAAAUUGUUAUCAAGAAAAAGAAUCAGCAAGAAAGAAAAGCGGUGCGGCAAGACGCGCCUUUGCUUCUAGUAAGAGUCAUGUGCACUGAUAGUAAAACAAUUACUACAUGAAUUCAUCUGCACUUAAAUUGUUCGCAAGCGGUAAAGGUAAAUACAUAAGUUCCUACCUUGAUGUUCCUACCUUGAUCCAUCUUACAUCUCUCUUUCGCGUUUCGAUCUUUGCCCAACCGCAAAGGCCUCUUACUGUGUGAAUGGUGUAUGAUACGUCUCCAACAUAUAUAUAAUUUUUGAUUGCUUCAUGCUAUUAUAUUAUCAAUCUUGUAUGCUUUAUAUACAAUUUUAUAUCACUAUUGGAAAAUAAGCUACUAACUCAGUGCCAAGUGCCGGUUCAUUUUUUUUUCCUAUUUUCUUGUUUCGUAGAAAAACCAUAUCAAACGAAGUCCAAACACGAUGAAACUUUACGGUGAUUUUAGACUAGUUUUAGCCUAGUCGGGUAUAGUUUUGUUAAAAUAUGUCCUAAAUGUAAAGCUUUACAUCCAGUUUGUAUGAAAAACAUUCGGUUAGCAUGUAUGCCCUAGAGGCAAUAAUAAAAAGAUUAUUAUUAUAUUUCUUUGUUCAUGAUAGUUGUCUUUUAUUCAUGCUAUAAUUGUAUUAUCCGGAAAUCGUAAUACACGUGUGAAUACUUAGACCACAACAUGUCCCUAGUGAGCCUCUAGUUGACUAGCUCGUUGAUCAACAGAUAGUCAUGGUUUCCUGACUAUGGACAUUGGAUGUCGUUGAUAACGGGAUCACAUCAUUGGGAGAAUGAUGUGGUGGACAAGACCCAAUCCUAAGCAUAGCACAAGAUCGUGUAGUUCGUUUUGCUAGAGCUUUUCCAAUGUCAAGUAUCUCUUCCUUAGACCAUGAGAUCGUCUAACUCCCGGAUACCGUAUGAGUGCUUUGGGUGUACCAAACGUCACAACGUAACUGGGUGACUAUAAAGGUGCACUACAGGUAUCUCCGAAAGUGUCUGUUGGGUUGACACGGAUCGAGACUGGGAUUUGUCACUCCGUAUAACGGAGAGGUAUCACUGGGCCCACUCGGUAGUGCAUCAUCAUAAUGAGCUCAAAGUGACCAAGUGUCUGGUCACGGGAUCAUGCAUUACGACACGAGUAAAGUGACUUGCCGGCAACGAGAUUGAACGAGGUAUUGGGAUACCGACGAUCGAAUCUCGGGCAAGUAACAUACCGUCUGACAAAGGGAAUAGUAUACGGGGUUGCUUGAAUCCUCGACAUCGUGGUUCAUCCGAUGAGAUCAUCGAGGAGUAUGUGGGAGCCAACAUGGGUAUCUAGAUCCCGCUGUUGGUUAUUGACCGGAGAGCCGUCUCGGUCAUGUCUGCAUGUCUCCCAAACCCGUAGGGUCUACACACUUAAGGUUCGGUGACGCUAGGGUUGUAUGAAUAUGAGUAUGCAGCAAACAGAAUGUUGUUCGGAGUCCCAGAUGAGAUCCUGGACGUCACGAGGAGUUCCAGAAUGGUCCGUAGGUAAAGAAUUAUAUAUAGGAAGUGCUGUUUCGGCCAUCGGGAAAGUUUCGGGGUCACCCGGUAUUGUACGGGGACCACCGGAAGGGUCCCGGGGGUCCACCGGGUGGGGCCACCUAUCCCGGAGGGCCCCGUGGGCUGAAGUGGGAGGGGAACCAGCCCCUAGUGGGCUGGUGCGCCCCCCUUGGGCCCCCCCUGUGCCUAGGGUUGGAAACCCUAGGGUGGGGGGCGCACCACUUGCCUUGGGGGGCACUCCACCCCCCUGGCCGCCGCCCCCUUGGGAGAUUCCCAUCUCCAGGGCCGGCGCCCCCCCAGGGGGCCUAUAUAAAGGAGGGGGGAGGGGCAGCCGCACCCUUAGUCUUGGCGCCUCCCUCCCCCUGCUACACCUCUUCCUCCUCCCGCAGUUGCUUGGCGAAGCCCUGCCGGAGUCCUGCCGCAUCCACCACCACACCGUCGUGCUGCUGGAUCUUCAUCAACCUCUCCUUCCCCCUUGCUAGAUCAAGAUGGACGAGACAUCACACUGACCGUAUGUGUGUUGAACGCGGAGGUGCCGUCCAUUCGGCGCUAGGAUCUCCGGUGAUAGGAUCACGACGAGAACGACUACCUCAACCCCGUUCUCUUGAACGCUUCCGCACGCGAUCUACAAGUGGUAUGUAGAUGCAUCUCUCUCUCUCGUUUCUAUAUGAACUCAUAGAUUGAUCUUGGUGAACGUAGGAAAUUUUUUAUUUUAUGCAACGUUCCUCAACAGUGGCAUCAUGAGCUAGGUUUAUGUGUAGUUCUCUAUUGCACGAGUAGAAGACAAAUCUGUUGUGGGCGUAGAUCUUGUCAACUUGCUUGCCACUACUAGUCUUUUCUUGCUUCAGCAGUAUUGUGGGAUGAAGCGGCCCGGACCGACCAUACAUGUACGCGUACGUGAGACAGGUUCCACCGACUGACAUGCACUAGUUGCAUAAGGUGGCUAGCAGGUGACUGUCUCUCCUACUUUAGUUGGAGCGGAUUUGAUGAAAAGGGUCCUUAUGAAGGGUAAAUAGAAGUUGACAAAAUCACGUUGUGGUUAUUCGUAGGUAAGAAAACGUUCUUGCUAGAACCCAAUUGCAGCCACGUAAAAGAUGCAACAACAACUAGAGGACGUCUAACUUGUUUUUGCGGCAGUUGUCAUGUGAUGUGAUAUGGCCAGAAGUUGUGAUGAAUGAUGAAUGAUAUAUUGUGAUGUAUGAGAUCAUGUUCUUGUAAUAGGAAUCACGACUUGCAUGUCGAUGAGUAUGACAACCGGCAGGAGCCAUAGGAGUUGUCUUAAUUAUUGUAUGACAUGCGUGUCAAUGAUUUAACGCCAUGUAAUUACUUUACUUUAUUGCUAAGCCGUUAGCUAUAGUAGUAGAAGUAAUAGUUGGUGAGCAACUUCAUGGAGGCACGAUGAUGGAGAUCAUGGUGUCAUGCCGGUGCCGAAGAUGAUCAUGGAGCCUCGAAGAUGGAGAUCGAAGGAGCUAUAUGAUAUUGGCCAUAUCAUGUCACUACUUUAUAUAAUUGCAUGUGAUGUUUAUUAUGUUUUAUAACGGCGGUAGUAAAUAAGAUGAUCCCUUAUAAUAAUUUCAAGAAAGUGUUCCCCCUAACUGUGCACCGUUGGUAAAGUUCGUCGUUUCGAAGCACCACGUGAUGAUCGGGUGUGAUAGAUCCUUAUGUUCACAUACAAUGGGUGUAAGACAGUUUUACACAUGCAAAACUCUUAGGGUUAACUUAACGAGCCUAGCAUGUACAGACAUGGCCUCGGAACACAAGAGACCGAAAGGUCAAACAUGAGUCGUAUGGAAGAUACGAUCAACAUGGAGAUGUUCACCGAUGAUGACUAGUCCGUCUCACGUGAUGAUCGGACACGGCCUAGUCGACUCGGAUCGUGUAACACUUAGAUGACUAGAGGGAUGUCAAUCUGAGUGGGAGUUCAUUAAAUAAUUUGAUUAGAUGAACUUAAUUAUCAUGAACUUAGUCUAAAAUCUUUGCAAAAUAUGUCUUGUAGAUCAAAUGGCCAACGCUCAUGUCAACAUGAACUUCAACGCGUUCCUAGAGAAAACCAAGCUGAAAGAUGAUGGCAGCAACUAUUUGGACUGGGUCCGGAACCUGAGGAUCAUCCUCAUAGCAGCCAAGAAAGCAUAUGUCCUAGAAGGACUGCUAGGUGAAGCACCCAUCCUAGAGAACCAAGACGUUAUGAACGCUUGGCAGUCACAUGCUGAUGAUUACUCUCUCGUUCAGUGUGGCAUGCUUUACAGCUUAGAAUCGGGGCUCCAAAAGCGUUUUCAGCAACAUGGAGCAUAUGAGAUGUUCGAGGAGCUGAAAAUGGUUUUUCAAGCUCAUGCCCGGGUCGAGAGAUAUGAAGUCUCCGACAAGUUCUAUAGUUGUAAGAUGGAGGAAAACAGUUCUGUCAGUGAGCACAUACUCAAAAUGUCUGGGUUGCACAACCGUCUGUCCCAGUUGGAGAUCAACCUCCCGGACGAGGCGGUCAUUGACAGAAUCCUUCAGUCGCUCCCACCGAGCUACAAGAGCUGUGUGAUGAACUACAAUAUGCAGGGGAUGGUGAAGACCAUUCCUGAAGUAUUUUCAAUGCUAAAGUCAGCAGAGGUUGAAAUCAAGAAAGAACAUCAAGUGUUGAUGGUCAAUAAGACCACUAAGUUCAAGAAGGGCAAGGGUAAGAAGAACUUCAAGAAGGACGACAAAGAUGUUGCCGCGCCCGAUAAGCCAGUUGCCGGGAAGAAGUCAAAGAAUGGACCCAAGCCUGAGACUGAGUGCUUUUAGUGCAAAGGGAAGGGUCACUGGAAGCGGAACUGCCCCAAAUACUUAGCGGAUAAGAAGGCCGGCAACACUAAAGGUAUAUGUGAUAUACAUGUAAUUGAUGUGUACCUUACCAGUACUCGUAGUAACUCCUGGGUAUUUGAUACCGGUGCCGUUGCUCACAUUUGUAACUCACAUCAGGAGCUGCGGAAUAAGCGGAGACUAGCGAAGGACGAGGUGACGAUGCGCGUCGGGAAUGGUUCCAAGGUUGAUGUGAUCGCCGUCGGCACGCUACCUCUACAUUUACCCACGUGAUUAGUUAUGAACCUCAAUAAUUGUUAUUUAGUGCCAAGUUUGAGCAUGAACAUUGUAUCUGGAUCUCGUUUAAUACGAGAUGGCUACUCAUUUAAAUCCGAGAAUAAUGGUUGUUCUAUUUAUAUGAGAGACAUGUUUUAUGGUCAUGCCCCGAUGGUCAAUGGUUUAUUCUUAAUGAAUCUCGAACUUAAUAUUACACAUAUUCAUAGUGUGAAUACUAAAAGAUGUAAAGUUGAUAACGAUAGUUUCACAUACUUGUGGCACUGCCGCCUUGGUCACAUUGGUGUCAAGCGCAUGAAGAAGCUCCAUGCUGAUGGACUUUUAGAGUCUCUCGAUUAUGAAUCAUUUGACACAUGCGAACCAUGCCUCAUGAGCAAAAUGACCAAGACUCCGUUCUCCAGAACAAUGCAGCGAGCAACCAACUUAUUGGAAAUCAUACAUACUGAUGUAUGUGGUCCAAUGAGCGUUGAGGCUCACGGAGGAUAUCGUUAUAUUCUCACUCUAACUGAUGACUUAAGUAGAUAUGGGUAUGUCUACUUGAUGAAACACAAGUCUGAGACCUUUGAAAAGUUCAAGGAAUUUCAGAAUGAAGUAGAGAAUCAACGUGACCGAAAGAUAAAAUUCUUACGAUCGGAUCGUGGAGGAGAAUAUUUAAGUCACGAAUUUGGUACGCACUCAAGGAAAUGUGGAAUUGUUUCACAACUCACGCCGCCUGGAACACCUCGGCGUAACGGUGUGUCCGAACGUCGUAAUCGCACUCUAUUAGAUAUGGUGCGAUCUAUGAUGUCUCUUACCGAUUUACCGCUAUCAUUUUGGGGAUACGCUCUAGAGACAGCUACAUUCACUUUAAAUAGGGCACCAUCUAAAUCCGUUGAGAUGACACAGUAUGAAUUAUGGUUUGGGAAGAAACCUGAGCUGUCGUUUCUAAAAGUUUGGGGAUGCGAUGCUUAUGUCAAGAAACUUCAACCUGAAAAGCUCGAACCCAAGUCAGAAAAAUGUGUCUUCAUAGGAUACCCUAAGGAAACCAUUGGGUAUACCUUCUACCUUAGAUCCGAAGGCAAGAUAUUUGUUGCAAAGAACGGAUCCUUUCUGGAAAAAGAGUUUUUCUCGAAAGGAGUAAGUGGGAGGAAAGCAGAACUCGAUGAAGUACUACCUCUUGAACCGGAAACUAGUGCAGCUCAGGAAAAUGUUCCUGUGGUACCUACGCCGACUGGAGAGGAAAUUAAUGAUGAUUAUCAAGGUACUUCGGAUCAAGUUUCUACUGAACUUCGUAGGUCCACGAGGACACGUUCGACACCAAAAUGGUAUGGCAACCCUGUCCUGGAAAUCAUGUUGUUAGACAACGGUGAACCUUCGAACUAUGAAGAAGCGAUGGCGGGCCCAGAUUCCAACAAAUGGCUAGAAGCCAUGCGGUCCGAGAUAGAAUCCAUGUAUGAAAACAAAGUAUGGACUUUGACUGACUUGCCCGAUGAUCGGCGAGCGAUAGAAAACAAAUGGAUCUUUAAGAAGAAGACGGACGCGGAUGGUAAUGUCAUCAUCUAUAAAGCUCGACUUGUUCCUAAGGGUUAUCGACAAGUUCAAGGGGUUGACUACGAUGAGACCUUCUCUCCCGUAGUGAAGCUUAAGUCCAUCCGAAUCAUGUUAGCAAUUGUCGCAUACUAUGAUUAUGAGAUAUGGCAGAUGGACGUCAAAACGGCAUUCCUUAACGGUUAUCUUAAGGAAGAGCUGUAUAUGAUGCAGCCGGAAGGUUUUGUCGAUCCUAAGAAUGCUAACAAAGUAUGCAAGCUCCAGCGAUCCAUUUAUGGGCUGGUGCAAGCAUCUCGGAGUUGGAACAUUCGCUUUGAUGAGAUGAUCAAAGAGUUGGGUUUAUGCAGACUUAUGGAGAAGCCUGCGUUUACAAGAAAGUGAGUGGGAGCUCUGUAACAUUUCUCAUAUUAUAUGUAGAUGACAUACUUUUGAUGGGAAAUGAUAUAGAAUUCUUGGACAGCAUUAAGGCCUACUUGAAUAAGUGUUUUUCAAUGAAGGACCUUGGAGAAGCUGCUUACAUAUUAGGCAUCAAGAUCUAUAGGGAUAGACGAGACGCCUCAUAGGUCUUUCACAAAGCACAUACCUUGAUAAGAUUUUGAAGAAGUUCAAAAUGGAUCAGUGCAAGAAAGGGUUCUUGCCUGUAUUGCAAGGUGUGAAAUUGAACUCGGCUCAAUGCUCGACCACGGCAGAAGAUAAAGAAGAGAUGAGUGUCAUCCCCUAUGCCUCAGCCAUAGGAUCUAUUAUGUAUGCCAUGCUGUGUACCAGACCAGAUGUAAACCUUGCCGUAAGUUUGGUAAGUAGGUACCAAAGUAAUCCCGGCAAGGAACAUUGGACAACGGUCAAGAAUAUCCUAAAGUACCUAAAAAGGACAAAGGACAUGUUUCUCGUUUAUGGAGGUGACGAAGAGCUCAUCGUAAUGGGUUACAUCGACGUUAGCUUCGACACAGAUCUGGAUGACUCUAAGUCACAAACCGGAUACGUGUAUAUGUUGAAUCGUGGAGCAGUAAGCUGGUGCAGUUGCAAGCAGAGCGUCGUGGCGGGAUCUACAUGUGAAGCGGAGUACAUGGCAGCCUCGGAGGCAGCGCAUGAAGUAAUAUGGAUGAAGGAGUUCAUCACCGACCUAGGAGUCAUACCCAAUGCGUCGGGGCCGAUCACUCUCUUCUGUGACAACACUGGAGCUAUUGCCCUUGCCAAGGAGCCUAGAUUUCACAAGAAGACCAGGCACAUCAAGCGUCGCUUCAACUCCAUCCGUGAAAACGUUCAAGAUGGAGACAUAGAUAUUUGCAAAGUACAUACGGAUCUGAAUGUCGCAGAUCCGUUGACUAAACCUCUUCCACGAGCAAAACAUGAUCAACACCAGAACUCUAUGGGUGUUUGAUUCAUCACAAUGUAACUAGAUUAUUGACUCUAGUGCAAGUGGGAGACUGUUGGAAAUAUGCCCUAGAGGCAAUAAUAAAAGGAUUAUUAUUUUAUUUCUUUGUUCAUGAUAGUUGUCUUUUAUUCAUGCUAUAAUUGUAUUAUCCGGAAGUCGUAAUACACAUGUGAAUACUUAGACCACAACAUGUCCCUAGUGAGCCUCUAGUUGACUAGCUCGUCGAUCAACAGAUAGUCAUGGUUUCCUGAAUAUGGACAUUGAAUAUCGUUGAUAACGGGAUCACAUCAUUGGGAGAAUGAUAUGAUGGACAAGACCCAAUCCUAAGCAUAGCACAAGAUCGUGUAGUUCGUUUUGCUAGAGCUUUUCCAAUGUCAAGUAUUUCUUCCUUAGACCAUGAGAUUGUGUAACUCCCGGAUACCGUAUGAGUGCUUUGGGUGUAUCAAACGUCACAACGUAACUGGGUGACUAUUAAGGUGCACUACAGGUAUCUCCGAAAGUGUCUGUUGGGUUGACACGGAUCGAGACUGGAAUUUGUCACUCCGUAUAACGGAGAGGUAUCACUGGACCCACUCAGUAGUGCAUCAUCAUAAAUUUAAGUUGUCGGUAAUAGUUCUUAAAUCAAAGACACACUAAAAUAACUCCACACACCAAUCUAGCAAGAGAGCAUUGGAAAAAAUAAGUGAACGAUGAUUUCAUCUUGUCCAUAAAACACCCAACAUUUGCUACCUUUCCAAGGAGGGGAACUUUUGGUCUAUGGGUGUAUAUACACCCUAUAUGGAAAAAUAUAUUUAGUAAUUAGACAAAAAAUUCAAGAAAAUCUGAAAAUAUUUUUGAAAUAAAGUUGACCUUCCCUUGUACUUGUAAGAAAAAUUCCACAAAAAGAAAACACGUAUUGACUUCUUUUAAAAAAAGGCCAAAAUAGUGUGAAUAGUGACCUAUAAUGGCACAUAUUUUUUGUCUUUUUUCCUAAUGACAACAUUGGGUUUUUAUUCGCGAAAAUUUAUAUAGUAGUGCAAAACAAAGUCAAGUUUAUUCCAAAAAAACUUCUAAACUUUUUGACUUUUUUGUAAUUAUUAAUACUUUUUUUCUCAUAUAGGUUGUAUAUACACUUAGGAACUAUAUGGUAUUCCCCCCCUUUCCAACCCCUUCUCAGUAAAUUAUCUCUGGUUAAAGUGAUUUUUGUGACAAUUAAUCAUAGAAAUACUUUGAUUUUACAUAAGAACUUCUGUGAAAAUCCACAAUCAUAGUUGUCUGCACAGUGACUUGAUAGUGAAGAUACCAUCAUAAUAUUUGUGUCCACAUGUGACAUGACAAAAGAGUAAGAGAUAUUUAGGAAGGAAAGCUGAAGGGCACAUUUUUUUUCCUAACCGGACCAAACCACACUAAUAGAAAUACAUCAUCCACAAAGAUACGAAGAAGGCAUGGGUAAAGUAGGGAGGAAAAUUUGAGCAUUAGCAACAAACCCGCUGGAGGUGUCCUCAGUCGAAACACCUUCUAUGGGACGAAAACCUACUAAUAUUGGUUAAAAAAUCAACUGAAGUGCUACAAAUCCACCAACAAAACGACAGACAACGACCGCCAUUGUUUAAGGGCACACUAAUUGUCCAUAUCAGUCUGAAAAAUAAACAUAGCCCAUCACAUUUUCACCCAGUAAUUUGGAAAUCUAACAAAAUCGAGGAUCGUUGGACGUAAAUCUAGUAAAAUGCACCUCCAAAGUUAAAUCCACCAGAUAAAAUGGCGAUUAAAAAUGUACCAAAAGUAUACAUUUUUUUCUGCUGGUAAAAGAGCACUUUCUCUGUUGCAUAAUGUAGUGCAUAUAGAUAUAUUUUUUAGAAGUCAGACCUCACAAAAUUUGACCAAGUUUAUGGAGAUAAAUAUUUACCUCUAGAAUGCUAAACAUAUAUAAUUAGAUUCAUCAUAAGAUGUUGGUUCAUAUUUUCUAUAUUUGAUAUUCUAGAUAUAAAUAGUUUUCUCUAUAACUUUGGUCAGAGUUUGCAAAGUCGACUUUUAGAAAAAUCUAUGCGCACUAUAUUAUGAAACCGAGGGAGCAUACAAUUGGAUUUUAGGAGAUUUACAAAAAAGAUGGAUAUAUGUACUAAUAGUAUACAAUUUGGGCGAACCAACCUGUGGUUGGACGGUAGAGGGACUGUGGUAUUCCUAGCCCACCAGGAUCUGGUUCUCGAAUUUAUUCUUGGAUUUAUUUCAGUAUUUGCUGCGAUGCGCAUUCAGUGGGAGGAGACGUUCCCGUCGACGACGAGGUGCCUACGGUGACUUCGUAAAUUUCAAAAUGAUAUGCCGGCUCAAUCAUUCGGAGGUGCUCAGUCUUUCGUAGAUGCUCAUGGGGGUAAGGUGUGCGUGUGUGUUCAUAGAGGUGAGCGUACGCGCGUGUAUAUGAGCGUUUGUGUCUGUACUGUGUUCAGAAAGAUAUACAAUUUGACUUCAUAAGAUUCGGCAAAAGUCCGAUAGUACCAGUAGUAUAUAUACAAUUUGAUACUACGUAGGUAAAAUCUAUCUAUUUUAAAACAUGAUUGUGUGAACAGCUCAAAUAUCGUCGCAACCAGCCGUCAGCAGUGCCUAAUCAACCCAUGCAAGGCAUUUCCUCGCUCACUCGCCCGUUCCCACGAUAAGAACGUGAUCGCCGUUUCAAAUGCGCGUGGACUCCUAUAAAAGGUACCGCACCAAACAACGUCCAACUUCGGAGCACGAGAACUCAACCCACACACAGCGCCCGCAUCCGUCGUUCUCCGAGGAGACGCAAAACUUUCUCACAAAACCCGUCAUGGCACCGAGGCUGGAGCGCGGCGGCAGCGGCUUCCAGCUCCCGAACUCCGAGCUGGAGGACUCCCUCUUCCUCCGCGCCCUAAUCUCCGUCGUAAACGGAGACGCCGUCGUUCCCACGCUGCACCUCGAGCCGUCGUCCACGCCGCACAUUGCCGCUGCAGUUCCGGCCUGCGCCAGCUGCGGCGUGGACGGGUGCAUCGGCUGCAUGUUCGUUGCUGCGGCGGCGCCGGCCGGCUCGAGCAGCGAGGGCGAAGGAUGCUCCGCCGCGAGCUUUGUGAAGGGCGGCGGCGUGGGGAAGAUCACGCGGAGGAGGAGCUGGAGCAAGUUCAGGGGCGUGAGGCAGCGCUCGUGGGGGAAGUGGGCGGCGGAGAUCCGCGACCCGCACCGCGCCGUGCGCAAGUGGCUCGGCACCUUCGACACCGCCGUGGAUGCCGCCCGCGCCUACGAUCUCGCGGCGCUCGAGUUCCGUGGCCACCGCGCCAGACUCAACUUCCCAGACGUGGCCGCGUCGGCGUCGGCGUCGUCGUCUGUUUCCGAUUCUUCUUCGGCGGCUGCGCAGUCGUACAACUUGCCGGGCAGUCCUCGCGAGAACUGGGCGUCAAAAUGUUUCGUCGCGCCGACCGGAGUAGGUAGGACAGGUGGCGAGGGAGCAGAAGAUCAUGAUGCUGGAUGAUGACAACUUCGUGAUCCACGUUUGGAUAAUUUAUUCAUUCGCAUUUCUGAAAGGAUGUUGUUUAAUCAGAAUCGAUGAUCAGUAAGCAUGGCGACCUGUAGUCUGUGUAGCCGCCGCCAAAGCCAGGGCACGUGCUUCAAAAUUUGCCCCUCUCCUUUCAUGCCCGUGACGCAACUCCCUCUUCUUCACGUUAUUAAUUUUCCCGGGUUAACUUUUUUUCUGACAAUUUUCAUGAGUAGUCCCUGUGUAAAGAAAUAUAAGAUCGUUUAGAUCACUACAUAUCGAUGCAACACUUCCAUUUUAGACAAAGCUUGCUUUGGGACUGUGGAUACACGACCUUUUCGAGGACAAUGUCCCCUUGAAGAAUACUCGCUCUUUAACUCGGAGUCGUAGAAGCUAGUGUUGUCUUGCUUGCUCGAAACGUGCUUGAGGAGUGAUGUGUCUCGUAUUCAAGCGACGUUGCUUCAGAGAGCGACCACCAUGGAGCAUCUUAAAGUGGAGUACGACGACUUCUGCUCCAAGAGAGACAUAUAGAGGGAGUAACUUAUAUGAGCGGACUCGUUUGGUCAUUCAACUCACAGUCAGAUGAUAUCGUAACCUUGGUGGUACACAAUUCUAUACUCGACUCUAGAAUCUUUUGCCUUAGCAUCUCUCGUUUCAAAGUUUAGACACGGCCAUCAAAUAUUUCGAAGCACAGGCAAACCACAACUCAGAGCGUUUAGAAUUAUUUUUUUCUCAAACCCCACAGGAACCCCAACCACCCAUUCUCCAAGGGUUUGAAUGAAAAAAUGACCCGCCACCUAUUCCAGCCAUCCCACGCCACCACCGCCAUCCUGCCGGCCGCCAUGAGCCACCCCAGUUUCCGCCUCCCCUUNNNNNNNNNNNNNNNNNNNNNNNNNNNNNNNNNNNNNNNNNNNNNNNNNNNNNNNNNNNNNNNNNNNNNNNNNNNNNNNNNNNNNNNNNNNNNNNNNNNNNNNNNNNNNNNNNNNNNNNNNNNNNNNNNNNNNNNNNNNNNNNNNNNNNNNNNNNNNNNNNNNNNNNNNNNNNNNNNNNNNNNNNNNNNNNNNNNNNNNNNNNNNNNNNNNNNNNNNNNNNNNNNNNNNNNNNNNNNNNNNNNNNNNNNNNNNNNNNNNNNNNNNNNNNNUCACCGCCCAACUCUAGCCGCCCGUUCUCGCCUCCUAUGGCGUGGUUUUGCGCAGCUGCUUCGACCUUUUGGAUUCCGGUAACAAACUUCUUAUCGAGAGAGUUCCUUUGUGUGAGGCUACUGAGUUGUUGUUUAAAUUAUUGGCUUUUAUGCAAUAGUGGCGGCCGCUAACUAAGGCCGCGCUUGACACUAGAGUAUUUACACAUUUUAAAGAGUUUUUUACCGGCUGGUACAGAAAUCCCUGAAAUCCCCCCUAGGCCCGUUCAGUACCCCGGUAUUGGACUGGCACAUCCCCAAAAUUACACGCCGAACCCCUCAACUCCCGUGUGAGAGGAGACGCGAGCUACCCCUCACAAAAUGUUUCCCCCGAUCGUGACGGCGCCUCCUCCUCCGUCCUCCGCCGCCCUCCGUCCUGUGUCCAACAGCUCGCCGCUAGUUCACCUUCUUCGUCGACUCCGUCCAAGCCAAGCCAAACCAAUCCUGCCUCGGAUCCGGAGGCCUCUUGACUCUUGCCGCUGUCGUUGUCCACUCUAUUGCCGCCAGCGUCCACGCCGCCUCAGCCCCUGCUGUCUUCGACGUCCAGAUCCAUCCGACAACCUGGAAUUUUUGCUGGUAUGUACUGUUGGAAAUAUGCCCUAGAGGCAAUAAUAAAAUGAUUAUUAUUAUAUUUCCUUGUUCAUGAUAAUUGUCUAUUUUUCAUGCUAUAAUAGUAUUGACCGGAAACCGUAAUACAUGUGUGAAUACAUAGACCACAACAUGUCCCUAGUGAGCCUCUAGUUGACUAGCUCGUUGAUCAACAGAUGGUUAUGGUUUCCUGGCCAUGGGCAUUGGAUGUCAUUGAUAACGGGAUCACAUCAUUAGGAGAAUGAUGUGAUGGAAAAGACCCAAUCAUAAGCAUAGCACAAGAUCGUGUAGUUCGUUUGCUAAAGCUUUUCUAAUGUCAAGUAUCAUUUCCUUAGACCAUGAGAUGUGUAACUCCCGGAUACCGUAGGAAUGCUUUGGGUAUACCAAACGUCACAACGUAACUGGGUGGCUAUAAAGGUGCACUACAGGUAUCUCCGAAAGUGUCUGUUGGGUUGGCACGAAUCGAGACUAGGAUUUUUCACACCGUAUGACGGAGAGGUAUCUCUAGGCCCACUCGGUAGUGCAUCAUCAUAAUGAGCUCAAUGUGACUAAGUAGUUAAUCCCGGGAUCAUGCAUUACGGAACGAGUAAAGUGACUUGCCGGUAACGAGAUUGAACGGGGUAUUAGGCUACCGAUGAUCGAAUCUCGGGCAACUAACGUACCGAUUGACAAAGGGAAUUGUAUACGGGAUUACUUGAAUCCCCGACAUCGUGGUUCAUCCGAUGAGAUCAUCGUGGAACAUGUGGGAGCCAACAUGGGUAUCCAGAUCCCGUUGUUGGUUAUUGGCUGGAGAGUUGUCUCGGUCAUGUCUACAUGCCUCCCGAACCCGUAGGGUCUACACACUUAAGGUUCAAUGACGCUAGGGUUAUAGGGAAAGUUUGUAUGUGUUACCGAAUGUUGUUCGAAGCCCCGGAUGAGAUCCCGGACGUCACGAGGAGUUCCGGAAUGGUCCGGAGGUAAAGAAUAAUAUAUAGGAAGUGAGGUUUUGGCCACCGGAAGUAUUUCGGGCGUCACCGAUAAUGUACCGGGACCAUCGGAAGGGUUCCGGGGGUGCACCGGGAGGGGCCACCAGCCCCGGAGGCUUCCAUGGGCCAAGAGUGGGAAGGGACCAGCCCCUGAGUGGGCUGGUGCGCCUCCCACCAAGGCCCAAGGCGCAACUAGGAGGAGAGAGAGGAAACCCUAGGCGUAGAUGGGCCUAAAGGCCCACCCUAGGGCGCGCCCCCUCUCUCCCCCUCCUGGCCGCCCCCUCCAGUCCCAUCUAGGGCUGCCGCACCCCCUAGGGUGGGAACCCUAGAGGGGCGCAGCCACCUCCCCUCCUCCUAUAUGUAGGGGGGGUUUUGGGGCUGCCAGAGACACGAAUCUCUCUAUCUCUGGGUUCAGCCCUACCUCUCCACAUCCUCGUCCUUCGUAGUGCUUGGCGAAGCCCUGCUGGAAACCAUGCUGCUCCACCACCACCACAUCGUCGUGCUGCUGCUGGAGUUGUCUUCCCCAACCUCGCCCUCCUCCUUGCUGGAUCAAGGCGCGGGAGACAUCACCGGGCUAAACGUGUGUUGAACGCGGAGGCGGCGUUGUUCGGCGCUUAGAUCAGAAUCGACCGUGAUCUGAAUCACUGCGUGUACGACUCCUCCAACCGUGUUCUUGUAACGCUUCCAUAUCGCGAUCUUCAAGGGUAUGAAGAUACACUCCCUCUCUCUCGUUGCUAGUCUCUCCAUAGAUUGAUCUUGGUGAUGCAUAGAAAUUUUUUAAUUUCUGCAACGAUCCCCAACAUGUACUGGUUCUAGCUCACCUCUCCCCUCCCCUCUGUCUAGGGUUUCACUUGUUGGUCUAACCAUUGGUGUGUUCCUUUAUGAUUUGGAGUUCCAUAUGAUUCUUUGAUGGCCUUGUAUAAUUUUAGUUCUUCUAAUAUGCUUGCUUGGGGCGAGAUUUGGUCUGCAGUUUGUAGUCUAAGAUGCACUUACAACUUUGAUUAGAGAGGUGAUGCAUUCCUUUAUAUGCAGAAGGAUUUUUUAGUACAAAGGGGAUAAUGUCUUUACAUGCAAGAGGAUUGUUCAUUUGUUUGCUUGCACUGAUACAACCUAUUCAAUUGUUCAAAAUCUGAAGAAUCUAUUGGUCAUGUUCAGAACAAAGGGGAUAAUGUCUUCCCUUCACUUUUAUCAAUGAACAUGGACACUACUUAAUGGACUAUUGGCAAUCUUUGUAUUGUAAAUGGAGAACAAUGCCUUUAUUGUAGAUAAUUGUCCUAAUACAUAACGAGAUGGGACACACACACACCCUUCAGUUUAUAGUGCAGGCAAUUUGGAGUAAUACUUUUGUUGCUUCCCUUUCCUAGAAGGCUAAAAGUAUUUGGAGCUAAAGUUUGGACUUUGAACAAGGUUUCUGCUUAGUGAUAUAGCAUGAUCAUUAGCUUGCCCUUGUCUUUUUUCAAGUACAAACAUCAGAAAGUUGUGGCAAAAAGUUUAUUCAUUUUGUGCCAACAAACCAGGAUGGAUUGCUCAUCCUUUUAUUGAUAUUUUUUUAUGGGAGUUGAUGUCUGAGAUUCUUGAGUCUCACACUUUGGACUGAAAUUGUAGUAUAUGUGAAUAGCAGCACGUGAGAGACAUAUGUUAGAGUCGAUGGCACUAAACUACCUUUAAGCCUUGUAUAAAUAUACCUUGAUUAAUGGUGCUAUACAAACUACUUUUUUUCCCUGAUGUGGAUAUGUUUUUACUUGCUAAGUAGCCUUAGUAAUGUAACAUGCUGAAUGGCAGGUGCACUACCGAGUUUACUGUUGAAUGGCAUAUUUUUUUGUUUUAUACCAUCUUUAUGUUCGUGUUGUAUAUAGUUCUUCUUAUACCAUGGUCUGUAUGUUGAUGGGUCUUUCCAAUUUAACCCUUGGACCAACUGAUUAUAGGGACUCCAGCCUUGGUUUAUAGUCAGAGUGGACAAGCAGCCACCUUUGUGGGAUCCCGUUAAAACGCCAAAGUUUGGUAUGCCUUAUAUUUACUAUGGCUUGUUAGCUCUCUCAUUCUUAUUAGCUCUCUAAUUCUUUUCAUUGUUCCUUGAUUGCUUGGGAUAAUUUUGAAAUAUGGAGAGAACAGUAUCAGUCAUGAUGGUCAUGUUCCCUCGUCACUAUGCAUUUUCUAAACAUUUGCUUUGCUAGUUGCAAUCAUAGAAUGUCCAAGGAACCAGAAAAAAAAUCUUCACAUAUACAUUGAAAUUCCUAUGGUCCAUAACACUUGUAGUAGUAUUUUUGGAAAAAAAGUUCAUGUGUGCUCAAGAUCGCUGCUUUCUCGCAGAGUUAUUUUGUGUCUUGUUUGCCACCUAAGAAACCAAAUAGUAGCAAACGAAAGAGCCGCCACCCCCCAAAAGCUAGUUGUGAUGGAAUUGUUUGAGGACCUACUAUUCUGUUCAUGAAGUGUGUGCCAUUCCUGAUAUGUUUGCACUCUUCUAUAAUAUUCAUAUUCUGCAGUAUUGCAAUUUGAUAGCAAGAUGCUUGGGUUGUGUGUGAGCUUUAGCAAGUUUUUCUUGCUAUGAUUUUGUUUAAGUUGUAAAGAUUGGAUUUUUGUUUUGCACCAUCUUAUUAAUGUUUGGAAUUUUUUGUUGUGCUGCUGCUGAUUCUGUGGUUCUAUACCAAAUGUUGUUGUUGUAAUUAGUGUUACACUGCUGUUGUACCAAACACGGGGAAUUGUGGGGGUGGGGGUUUCAGGAGAAUUGAAGGGAUCCGAUGGAGGGGAGGAGAUCACCAAAUCCCGUCCAAUCUCCAAGCCCCUUGGGGGUGGGAAAACAACAAUACGAAAUGAGGCCUAAGGGUUAGAUUGGAGAGCUAUUGGCGCCAUGAUCGAUUGUCUUUGGAAGGUUGUGGGUCAUAUCUCCAUCACCAUGUAACUUCUCUACAUCGCUGGACGGUGUCCUUUGUGCUUCUGUUUUAUUACCUUGGGAAUUGUUGCUUUAUCUAUUAUAAGUGGGGAGAAAGCCUAUUUCCAAAAUGUAUUGCUCGUAGACUAAAUUGCACAAAACACUGUUAUCUCACCCCACUUAGUGUAUCUUAGUCAAAGUAAUCUUUAGUUUGAACAUCUACAAUCCUCAUUUUUAGCAUACCUUUUUUUUGCAAAAGUUGACAGGAAGCCAAAUGAUUACAUCACUGGAAUAUCAGCGAAGUAGGGUCACUAAGGACGUAUUACUGUUUAAUAGACAAUAGUACACAUGCCAUUUUUUGUUUUACAGGCACUACUUAAUUCCUUCGUUUCUUUAUAUUAGGGCAUUUGUUUUUUGAUAAAAUUCCACACUGUAAGAUGCAUUUGUUCUAAUUCCUCGUAAUUCUGUUCUUGGCCCUUCAGAAAAAGGAAAGUACCUCCCAGCUGAUUGCAUGUGUCUCUCCUUGUAGAGAAGAAAAGAAAAUUCACUACAAGAAAUAUGUCAACUUGUGACCACCACUAUUGGUCACUGAAAGGUCACAAAUUUCCAUUUGCGACCUUUUUGUGACCAAAAACACAAGGUCAAAAGCUGGCCGUCAUAAACUGACUAUAGCGACCUUUCUUCUGGAAUGGUCGAAGACGUUUACGACCAAAAUAUGUCCACUAUGGCGUUUUGGUCACUAGCAACCUCCCCAGGCCACGUAGGCAUCCAGCGUGGCAAGCUGAUGUGGCACAAGAUUCAGCCCGGUCCAAUUCAGUUUUCUACAUGGGCCUAGCCCAUUAAUUCAGCCUUUCUAUAUUUUUUUCUGUCAUUUUUUGGUCGACUUCAUGGGCCUGGCCCAACAUUGCAGCCUUUUUUAUUAUUGGGCCUUGGCCUUUUCGUCUAAAUAAUUAUAAUUUCCUUUUUUUAAUUAAAUGGGUCCACCAGUCAGAUGGGUCCCGGUUGUCAGGUUCUGGUAACUGGGUCCGAUUUGUCAUGUUCUGGUAAGUGGGUCCCAUCUAUCAGGCUCAUCUUCUUCAUAUUCGAACCAGUAUUUAAAUGGGCGGACAAAAAGCACACAUAAUACUUUAAAUAAGAGCAACCAGAUCCUUACAAGUGUAAUACAGUGGCAAUCACAGUAAUGACUACAAGUGUAAUACAAUACUUUACAAGCUUUACAAGCAAUCACAAACUCACAACAUGCCAAACUCGUUGGACUACAAUAGUGAUAUGAACAACAUGCCGAACUAGCCGGACAACUAUAGUUAGGGCUGGGAACAAACAAAACGACCUUCAAGAAAAUAGACAACAUGCCUUCCUCGGUCGCCAUGUUACAUGAAUCAGCAGGGAAGAAUCAGAAAAGGUGAAGAAUCAGAACAAACCAUUCAAGAAAAGGAAACUUAUUUAGAAUGAUAACAAAAAUUGAGCUAGUACCAUGCUUUUUGUUCUCCAGCUAGUUAAAAUGACAUAACUCGUUCAUACAAGAAAACAGAGACGCAAUAUGAACACACAGCAGGAUUGACAAGUACACAGCAGGAUUCAAUAAUGUUUUAGGAUCGCAAGACACCAAUAUAAGCUAGAAUUGACAAGUACACAUCAAGAUUCAAUUCAUCUUGCCCAUAUACAGCAACCAACAGACAUCUAACAUUUCAGCAUGCACAUACAAUUUAUUUACUUAUUUUUGAGCAAAACCUCCCACUGCCAAACAAAAUGUCCUUUCAUUUGAUAAACAUAAUGCAUACAAAAUAAUUAGCAGUACUAUAUAUGAUGUGGCAUACGGACAGAAUUUCUACCUUGUUAUCAUUAGGGAGCAACAUGGGGUGGGGGAAGAUUUCGAUCGGCUUCGUGUCAGCUGCCAUCACCACAAACUCAGAGUCUUGGUAGCUGGGGAAAAUAGAAAACGGAGAUUAAAAAUCAUAGGAACUGAAAUUAGUAGGACCGACCAAAGCACGCAGCUAGAGACUGGUCACCUUCAAGGUAGAACAAUGAAUUAACUAGUUUUAGUCAAAGUCAUAAGCAUGCACAUACAGACAUACAUACGAAUUGAACCAGAAUCCAUGUAUGUCUAUGCACUUAAUUGCAGGUUCUAUCCAACUUGCAAUUGGAAGGAGUACAACCUAGUUUACUAGCAGCCUAACAAAAGAUUCAGGUUCUUGGUUUGGUGCAUGAAUCCUGCUGUCAUAGACAGACAGAGAGGAAAGAGCACUGACGGCACAACUACGACAGCAGAGCGAUGCGAGCCAGUCAGGCAGUGCUUGAUAAGCUAUUGAUAAGCAGUUUGCACACAAUUAGCAGGCAACCAAAAAAGUAAUGUUGUAUACUGUUCUGCAGUAAAGAGUAGAAUUUCUUUCUGUUGGCUCUGAAAUUUCUGUCCAUGGUGCACACAUGACAUACCAUCGAUUUGAAUGUGAAACUUAAUUCUGCACAAUUUAGUUGCUUAUAAAUUUCAGCACCAGAUUAGCAUGUCUCGUUACUAAUGAAGUACUUCCUUUAUCAAUCAUAGAAUGGAAGGAAUCACACAACAUCAGGUAGUACUUUAAUUGGAUUUAGUAGUAAAUCUGUAGAUACAUGUGGUUGGUAUCUACUAGUAUCUGGUGUUCUAAUUAGAGAGUUGCUAGUGUGUUUUACUUACCCUUCUCUGCUCUUCUUUUCUACUCCCUCCGUCUGGAAAUACUUGUCGAAGAAAUGCAUAAAAAUGAAUGUAUCUAGAACUAAUAUACAUCUAGAUACAUCCAUUCCUCCGACGAGUAUUUUGGGACGGAGGGAGUACAAGCGAAAGCAGAGCAGGGAGAGCAAGCACACUACCAUAACAUACAAAGCCAUCUACAACCAGCCCAAAAACAUACAUACCUACAGGACUCACUCACGCACUGCCAUUGUGUUAUGGAUGAGCAAGUCUAGUGUGCGAGAGAAAAUGCAGACAAGUUGAGGUAAAGUGCUGACCUCACGCUGUGAGGAACAGAUCGAGGAGCUAAUAACUGGGCAAUGCAGCACCAAGUCCGACUCUACUACUACUACCUGUGAUGCAUCAUUGUUGAUCCAUGGCAGAUAAUAGUAAAGAUUAGAAUCCAUGAUUUUGAUACAGAAGUUACCUAGCCUGGUAGCCUAGCAUAGAACAGCACUACAUAGUACUUGGCCAGCAAUUUUGAGCAAUUCAGUGACCGCAUCGCAUGACAACAAAUAUAAAAACUAUGAACAACAUUGCAUACGAUGUGUGACAACAGAGAACACAUUUGACAAUGCAGAACGCAUGCGCAACCACACAUCCCAUAACAGGGUUACAAUCUAGAGGCAGUUAGCUAGCUGCUACCAGAUCGCUCACUCAUCAAUAUAGAACUGCAAAAGAGCGCAAAAGAAAUAAAUCAACGAGAGCAUAAGGCAUACUGUAGCCAGCUAGCUACAUUUCAUCUUGAGACUUAUCCUUGUGCUUUUGUAGCAUCUCGAUAACUUGGUCCAGGGGUGGGUCUCCGGGCCUCCGAAAAACCCGGUCGCCGAUCUUGAACUUGUACGUCUCCGGCUGCACAGAAUGAACUCCUUCAACUACAAAACACAUACGGAAUUAAAAGGACGUCGGUAAGAGCAGGGAAGAACAACGUUCGAUAAUGCUUCACAGUAACUAAGUAAUCGAUCCUUGAUAAAGUUGCGCAACUUUAUUAUUUCACAGUGUAUUGGCCAGUCAUAACAUGCACAUUUUCAGUAUUUGUAGUGUCCUAAAUCUGAGGAUAAUAAAGGGGGCAAAGAUAGUAGUAUGAAGGAAUGACACGUAUGAUUGAAGAUUUGUAGUGUCCUUUGUGCUACAGCAGUGGUAUAGUGGGACAAAUGCACCAUAAAAAAGUGGUGAUGGUAACUGCAACUGAUUCCCGGAUAUUUGAUGAGCAAACAAGCAUGUAUUGUAAGCAGCAUUUUUGUCCCUUGGAAAUCAGCAUGUACAUACAAGUCGAUUUGAAAUAUUUCUCCCCCAAUGCAGCACCCAGUACAUUGGUACAGGCAAUAGUGAAUCAGAAAACAAAAUGAUGACUACACCAAUGGUAAGCAACUGCAAGCAAUCUUCUGUCCCCAAACAGUCGAUGAGUCAACAAGCAUGUAACGAUGUAAACAACAAUGCAGCAAGUGCAGGAAGAUGAAGCUGCUCCCUCCAACAGGAGGGAAGCCACAACAGCAAUUAGAUCUACAGAAAUCAUCUACAAAUCUAUACUAGGGAGGGCGUUCUCAGGAAACAGCAAGGGGCAAGGUACAAUAUGCAUCCAUGGGGCAAGCAAAGCAGAGCGGAUUAUUAGGCGAGAACCAUGCCAAUAAACCUACUAAUAUGUUAGGCGUAGCUAUUGACCACAACUAGCAGCUGCUUCAAAAUGAUACACAAAUCGCAAGGCGAAUGAGAGCAGGAGACCUCGUAAGAGGCCAAUUUGAGAACUUGCAUGCCGAGGAUGAGGAGGUCGGGGUCUCCUGGAGCGCGAGGGCGCGGAGGAUCUUGGCGACGGCGAGCGGGAAGACGCGGGCGAAGGCGUCGGUGAUCCCGCGGUAGGGCCGCGUGAGGGCGCCCCAGCGCAGUAUCUCGGCCUGGUUCUGCAGCAGCAGCUUGACGCGCUCCACCGGCGCCGCCCCCGUCUUGGCCAACACCGCCGCCGCGCCGCCCGCGCCGCAUGCGCACGACCGUCGCAGUAGGAGGCGGCGCACGACCUCGGCGUCCGCGGAUCAGACGGCCGCGAAGAGCGCCUGGUGGGAGAGCGGCGGGAGAUCCAUCGUCGGGCGGGCGGCCAACCGGAGAGCCGGCGCGGAGCUGACCAAAUGGAACCCUAGCGCGUCGGCCGACCUGCUCGACUCGAUCUGGGGCAUAGGGUAGGAGAGAUAGCGAGGGAAGGGAGUGACGAGGUCGGCAGCGGUGGUGAGGAGGGCUGCGAGGUCGGCGGUGGGUGGGAGCGGCGGGGAGAAGACUGGAUCGAGGGAGGAGGUGGCGGCGGCUGCGAGGAGAGGAGGGAGUCGAUGGGAUCUGACCUAGGGUUUGGGCUGCGGGUGGGGGGUAUCUCUUUUUCAUUUUAUUUUCUUUUUUUUCAGUAAAUAGAUGGAUGGAUGGAUGUGGGAUGGAGAGAUGGAUGGAUGGAUGGAUGGGCGCCAUGUCAUCGAUCCGUGGGAAGAGUCCUGAUUGGUUCAAAAACCAGUGAUUUAAAAAACUAUCUAAGUACUAAAAUAGAGGGAUUUUGUGAAGUAGCUAUCAAAAAUAUUUUGCAAAAUGCCACCACACAAAUUUUCACUAGAGUUAGACCACAUUUUAUGGAUAAGGACUAAUUUCUAUGCAUUUCUGAUCUUUCUAGCUAUUUUUAAUCAUUUUUCGAGUGCCCGAAAGGAGGUUUUUUUGUGAAGGAACUACCAAAUAAUUGUUGCAAAAUUGGACCAAAUCAUUUUUCUAAAAUACUAGGACAUAUUUAAUGCACAAUUGACCAAAUGGUUGGGUGUAAAAAGUUUUGAUCCACCUCUCAUGAAAAAGACAAAUUUCCGCCGAUUUAGUUGGAAGUGGGUCAAAUUUGAACUGCAGCUACCUCAUAGUUUGCUAUUUAUUUUUUCCAAAAAUCAUUUCUAGGUACAUAAGUAUCUAUUUAAUCAGAGAAACACCAAAUAAAUUCCAAGAUUAAACAACUAGCUAGGAACGGUCAUUCCCGCCGUUUUGGCCGCAUUUUGAAACGGGCAUAAAAAAUUCAAAAAAAAUCAAAAAAUUGGGAAACCUUCGUAUUGUGUCAUUAUAUGUGGCCAAGUUCCCAGGAAAAAUAACAAACUGGUAAUACGGCAAUUAUUUUAAAAAAGUGUUCUCAGAAAUGAGCUAUCAUCUCUCAAGAUUCAUGACUUUCAAGGCAAAUGAUCAAACUUAUGGCCACAUUCGUGCCAUAGUUUGUUCAAAUGAUCUCAUAUUGUGCACAAGGGUGCAUAUUGGAAUGGCAAACAAUGUUGCCUAAGGAAGUUUUCAUUUUCUUUGGACGAAAAAAACAUUUUUCAUUUUUCGAGUGCCCGAAAGGAGGUUUUUUUGUGAAGGAACUACCAAAUAAUUGUUGCAAAAUUGGACCAAAUCAUUUUUCUAAAAUACUAGGACAUAUUUAAUGCACAAUUUACCAAAUGGUUGGGUGUAAAAAGUUUUGAUCCACCUCUCGUGAAAAAGACAAAUUUCCACCGAUUCAGUUGGAAGCGGGUCAAAUUUGAACUGCAGCUGCCUCAUAGUUUGCUAUUUAUUUUUUCCAAAAAUCAUUUCUAGUUAUAUAAGUACCUAUUUAAUCAGAAAUACAUGGUUUGAUGGAGAGACAUCGAGGUUUCGACGGUGGCCGAGGGCCCCAACUCUAGAGCGCGUAAGCUCGCAUGCCCGUCGCGUGGUGACCGCGUGACCGUGGCGUUGCCAUGUGUUCUGGGCGGCCUAGGCAUGUCUAGUGGUUUGGGAACUCCCCAGGUAGGUGCUAGGAAGAAAAUCACAACAUAAGAUUCUCACGAGGAGACCGAUCGAUGCUUAAACAUGAAUAAGCAGCGAAGUGUUUGAUUAGCGGUACGGGAAAUGUACAUGGCUAAUGGCCGUGAGUUUUGGCUGAGGAUGAUCAGUUACUAAGAAGACCGUCUUCACAAAUUUUCAACUCAAAAGGAGGAGCCUAGGUGGUACUUGCUUUGGAAACCACCACACUGGACAUAAAUAUGAAUGUUGAAGUUCGGCUCAAAAUAAUGAAUGGAUUGAGCUGGCAUUUGGUGGAGGAUGGUUAUUUGGGCAUAGAAAAGCACUGUAGAAAAUAGAUACUAUUUGGACAUGCGAAAGUGGUACUACCUUCACAAACUGUUGUUCUGAACAGAAUAGGAAAAUGAAUAUUUUUCAAUUAUUUUUGAACUAGGAAAGGAAGGCUUUUACAUAUUUGACGAAGAUAUGACCCAAAGAAUUUAUGAUCUUUUUUUGGUAAUUUUGGAAAUGACAGAAAUAUAGGUUGCUUCACAACCUAGGGCAAAAACUGCCACAUGGACAUGACACUUAGGCAAAACUGAUGAGAUGGCGCCUAGUCAUCGCAACCCAUCAUAAUUUACAAGGCUAUGACCAUCUAUAUUGGUCGUUAACAACUAGAAAUAAGGCAAAGGACUAGCGCUGUUUGCUUUAUGACCAUUUCGUGUAAGGAAAUUACGACCUUUCUGACCAAAAUGGUCGCAAUGGUUUAGCGUUUGGAGCCCCCGAACAGCUUUUGACCAAUUGGUCUGAAAUGGUCAUAGAUCUAUGACCAAUUCUUCCAGGGUCACUGACAGAAGGUCACAAGUUGACAUAUUUCUUGUAGUGAUUAUCUCUCUCCCGAUUGUGUGUAUCUCUUUCUUUGCUAGCCUAAAUGAUCUACUUGCCGCUAAUCGACGAAUUUGACAAGGGUACCUAAUUUGUCCAUAAAUAUGUGACUUGGUUGCCUUACAAAAUAAUACACCUUACAUAAAGAAUGAAGGGAGCAAACAAUAAUACACACGACAUUUCCGAUUUUAGAGACAACUCGAGCGGGAGUAGGUCUUUCGAUUUUCAAACUUUCAUAUCUUUUGAAUAAAAUAUUCAAAUUAAAAUAUGUUUUCAUAUUCGUGUUUUUUGUGACGAGGGCUUUCAAAUAAGUUACAUUUUUAAUAUGCUUUGAUUAAUUUUGAAAAUAAAUGUUAAGUUUCAACUCUUGAAAUUUAGCAGAGAAGCCGAUAAAAUCAUGAUUUUUGUGCCUACGACCGACAAAAAAAGGUCUUAAAAUCUUAUUUGUGAAAAUUGAAAAGAGCCAAGUGAGAAAAUCGUAGUUUCAAAUGAAAAAUUGUAAAUUUCAAUGACUGAAACUUAAAACUUGUUAUGCUCUUGUGUGGGAUUCAACUACUUUACGAAUCGCGAAACAAUCGAGCGGCCAUACAAGACUUGGCUGGCAGGUGUGUGCUUCCACACCUGCAUACCCGUGCGAAUUUCCGCAACUCGAGCUUCUCUUGCCAGGUCGACGCUGGCUCGGCCCAGUUACCGCAUAUGCGAGAUGGAUCAAGAGCGUACCAAGUGGUUUUUUUGGACCGGAACGACCGUUGCUUUUCAGGUUGGCUCGUGUUCAGCCAUUUCUUUCAGGCCUUGAUCUUUUACGACCAAGUGGUAGCGUUUGUCUACAUCUGAGAACCAGGCAUUUGGCGGAUUAGACUAUAGGCAUGUGGAUCGUUCAAAAGGGGAAUGGGGCAUGGGAGCGCUCUCGCGACCGACCGCGGCGGCCGCCACUCUGGCCCCGCCGCCCACCGCUGCCGCUGCUUCCCUGCUGGCUGGAACCGCCUCGGGCGCGUUGCCUCUGUCGCCGGCCGCGUUGCAGCCCCCGGAUCGGUUCUCUCAGUCCAGAUCGGGAGGAUCUGGAGCCUGCGUCCCUUGCCCUUUCAGUCUGGAUCGGGAGGAUCUGGAUCGGGUCUCCACGCUCCUGCCGCCGCCGGCGGCUGGCCACGGCUCUGCUACUGCCGUUGGGGCUGGUGUGCUCUUGGUGACGCCCCUGGUGACACUCUCUCCCAACCUCGCGGCUGCAUCUUCACGCAGCGACGCGCGCACCAAGUCUGAAGCUUCCGCCGCCGCACUUGCUCUCCGCAGGUCCGACCCAUCUGUGGGUGGCCGAUGGACACUUCAGCUCGCCGAGCCCGCCACAGCGACAUCUACGACCCUGCCACUCUCCGCUCCUCUAGUCGACGCCUCCACUGUCCGCCUGGCGCCGCGUCCACCCCUGCCAAGUCCUGAUAUGGCGGCCGAGCCAGCCACUAGUCCCCUGCAUCUGGUCCAAGGGGAGCCGGAUCCUGCUGCCACCGCCCCGGCGACCUCUUCUCUCAGCAAGCUGUUGGCCCCUCUGGCGCCGACCAUUCAUUCUCGGAUGUCGUUGCUGCUGCCAGGUGACUCCGUCCAAGGGGACGGCACGCCUCCCACAUGUUCAAGUUGGGGUGAUUGGCAUGGCUGCUUCCAUCGGGAUGCAACACAUGGUGUUCCAGUGUGUGGCGUGCCCGCGCGUUCUAGGGAUCUUCUGGAUGGAUGGCACCUUGUAUCGGGGCGUCGCUCGUCGCCUCGCGUGCCCUGCUGUGACUCUGCGUCCAUAGCUCGGCCAGCUCUCCCGGCAUGGCUGAGAGACCGUUGCUUCUGGUGCCUCUCCAAGGGUCAUCGUGCUCGUGAGUGCAGGGACUCAUUCUGGUGCAUGGGAUGCCUCCGAUUUGGCCACAAAGUGUGUUUCUGUUGUGCACAGCACCGCACCGACCGGACUACGACACUGCGACAUGCUGCUCCACCAUCCACCCCAGCGCCUGCAUCAGAUGUCGAUGCAACACCGGUCGAUGUGGCAUUGCAGCCCGUCCUUGUGGAGCAGACUGAGCUACUCCGCGCUGAGCUUCGCGACUACAUUGCGCGAGUUGGGAGUGUUUUGGCAAGUGCAGAGGCUGCUCUUGCCAAGCUCCAGGUUGUGCCCGUUGUGUCCGUGUUGCCCGAGAUCCACGAUGGUUCUGCCGAUGUGGAAGCAGGCAUGUAUGGAGAUCUCUCCCCUCGUGCUACAUCCUGCCUGUCAUCGCUGCCUGUCAUGCCGAUUGCUUCUGAGAGUGAAACCGUUGUUGAGGUCGUUGCUCCGGUGCUGCAGGUUAUGCCUGAGCUGCGGAAGCUUUGUGAGGAGCCCACUUCGCCUAUUUCGAUGGUGCUUCCUAAGGAGAUGGAGUCGCUUGGAGGGGCCUUGGCGAUGCCGACUGCAACCUCACCUCCGUCGUUGGAGCCCAAUCAGCUGAUCACCUUUGUGGACUGUGGGGGUUUGGAUGCUGCUAUUCUUGUCCCACCUGUGGCUGUUGGCUAGGUGGCAUCUGGGGGUGCCGAGGUUGAUGAGGUAGGUGCUUUGGCACCUAAUUCUGAGGCGUUGAAGACCAUCAGAUCGCCCAUCUUUGACCGUGAAAGUAUGAUGGCAUGUAUUGAUGAGGUGGUCUUCGCAAAAAAGCUUUGCCGCUUGCUCGCUGGUUUGGAGGCAACUAGCCCGGGGUCUGGCAAGGCGAUUGCCGGCCUCCUAGCAAAGGAGGUUUCUACGGGAAAAAUCAAGAAGGUGAAGAAGGCUCUCAGGAGCAUAGGCAAGAAGAGCGGCGCCAUUGGUAAGGCGUCCGCGGCUGCUUAAUGGAUGAUACUCAGUCUCUUCGAUCACCAUCUCCGAUUGGCUCGUCUUCGUGGAUUGGGUGGUGUCUGUUGUAUUCAACCUUAGUUUCGUUGGGAGUUUCAUUGCGACGUAGAAGUGCGAGGGAUCAUGGUUGUUGCCUGUUAUGUAUGUUUGUCGGGUUGAUCGGGGGUCAUUGAGUUUUUUUAUUAGCGAGUAGUCCGCAUGUGGUUUAUAUGUAUGGGUUUUUGCCCAGUUUUCCGUUAAUUAACCAGGCAAUUCUCUUUUUCUUAAUUAAUCAAUGAGGCAAAACUUUUGCUUCCGUUUCAAAAAAAGAAACUAUAGACAUGUGUGAAAGCUUUGCCUUAGAUGCAUAUACAAAAUGAACAAGCAGUUUCGCUUUCACACCCCAUGCCGCUGGGAGCUCUGAAUAUUCCAUUCAUCCUAAACAAGUUGGGGGUCAAAGUCUACGAGUCCUCUGUCAGCGUUCGGUUCAACACACAGCGCGCCAGGUCGCAGGGUUCACUCCAAUUCCAGUUAGCGCCUGCCCCAUUUGUUCGUUUAGCACCAUCACGUAUUAGCUUGUUCCUGAAAUAAAAUGCAAGACGGUGUUUCUCUUUACUGGCACUGUACAGUGUUUAGUGUGCACCAUCUCAGAUGUAAGAGGGAUUUCAAAUCGUGGACACGGAUUUUUGAUGGGCGAUGCUGAGCGCAUCCUGUCCGUCAGAUCCGCCCAUCCUGAGCCAAUGGAUCUUUAUCCAACCAGAUCGUGCUAGCCCAGAUCGUCUUCUUCCUCUCGCUAGCGCGUACGAGGAAAAGGAACUCCGUCUCACCGGCCGCGCACGUUCUCCCUCGCCGCCGCCUCCUCGCCUACCCUCCUCGUCGCCACCCUCGUCGCCCUCGCCGUCCGUCUUCUCCGGCCGCCAUGGUCGCCAGUCCCAGCCCUCGGCGGCCGUCCUCGUGGCCGGCUUCGCCCAUGCAACAGCCCACCCCUGUGGUUGUAGCUUCCAUGGAAACCGUUGUAGCUCCGGUGGCGACGACCGGAGCACACCGGCGUGCUCACCGGUGUGCUCGUUGGCGCUCAUCCCCUGUUUGCAACAAAAAAAUCAAGCGCCGGGGGAUAUGCUCAGUGCUGCAACCGACGACGGAAAAAGCUACAACCGCUGAUGCAAAAAGCUUCAACCGGCUAUGAAAACAGUUUCAACUCGUACGACGAAAAAUUAUGAACAACCAAAGAAAAGUUACAACCGAUGACAAAAAAGCUUCAUCUGGCGACGAAAAAAGCUUCAUCCGACAAUGAAAAAAGCUUCAACUGUGAAGUCGUAAGCCAUGGAUGACAAAAUGAAAAGCUGCAACCGGCUGUUACAAAACGCCAUGGCCGGAUGUAGCUUCCAGCGAUGCCGAUUGUAGCUUUCACAACCGCCGGUUGCAGCAAAAAAACACAUCGUCGUCGCCGUCGGCGCAUCAUCGUCGUGAACGGUUGUAGCAUUGGUCAGCGACACUUUCCCCGGUUGCAGCUCCGAUGUGCAUGGUUGUAGCAUCUCCGCGGAUCGGUUGUAGCUCCUGCGACACAUGAUUGUAGCGUUUCCGCUGAUGACGGCGUCGCCUGGCUACAGCUCCGGCGAACUCGGGUAGCAACUCUAGAGAAUGUGCGUAGCUUUUUAGGUGAACGGUUGUAGCUUUGUCGACACACCUCGCCGGUUGUAGCUCCGGUGUUCACGCGUUGUAGCAUCAUUGCAGGGUGGUUGUAGCUUUUUGAUACGUGGUUGUAGCAUUGAUGUCGUUGUCUGCCAGGUCGUGCGGCAACCUCCGAGCACCGGCAGCUCGAAGCAACCUCCGGCGAGCGGCAGCAGGCCGCGUCCUCAGCAGGUCCUUCAUGCUGCCGGUUCCCAAAGCAGCUGGUCCCUGCAGUGGCUUGUCCAAGGUUGGGCUUGUCCCUCCCAAGCAGUAGGGAGAAGGAAGAUGGCAGCGGGAUUUGCUGCCUUCUCUGGGCGAGAUUGCUGCCGGGUCACCAAUGUGCGGUGGUGGCAGUUUGUCUCCGGUGAGAUUGCUGCCGUGUUUGGGAGAGGAGGUUGCAGCGAAGAAGAAGCUGGGCUGGGUGUGAGAACGAAGAUAAGGGAGGAGGAUGACGUUGAGGUGGGCCCUCACACCUAACGUGUCGCAAUUUGUAUCGCUAGGAGCUGCGCGCGUGGGCUGAACCGGCCGAAGCGUUCGGCCGGCGCGCCGAACGCAAGCGUUUCCCAGUUUUGAAACAUGGUUCCACGCACACCCAUUAUAAAUAGAAAAAGUAAAUAAGUAAACGUUACUCUUUUGGAUCCAUAUUAAUUGGGGAGUAGUAAAAAAUAAACAAUUCUGAUAUUUUGUAUGAUGAAUAAUCGAGUGUUAUACUCACGUGUGAAGUUUCAUGAGCAAAUAACAUCUGUGGUAUUUUAGGCAAGAAGACAAAAUUGAUGCUUAUAAAAAAGACCAUUUUUUCAAGUAAUUUGGAGGUCCGAAUUUGUUUUCAUCGCUAAGAUACUAUAGUGGUCAUUUCUUCGUGAAACUUCACAUGUGGGUAGAACAGUCGACUAGAGUUUUGUAACCUAAAAUUUUAGAAUUGUUGGAUUUUUUUGAUAUUUUUUUGGUUUUUUAUUUACUAAUUAUAUUGGGUGUUUGUGGAAACUAUGUUCAUCAUUGUAUUUUGGUCAAAACCGCCAGCUAUUGUCAAACGGUCAUUCGCUAAAUAAGGAAAACUUAACAGCAUAAUAUGUGUGAACAGUUGUAAACAGCCGUUAGCAGUGAGGAUCUGCUUAAUCAUCCAUCCAGGCAUAUCCACACUCGCUCUCCUGUUUUCCGCACCUCCGUUCCCACGACAAGAACGUGUCCAGAAGCUCGUCCUUCAAAAUUUGCGCGCGGUGAUGAACUUUCUAUACCACAGGAGUACUAUAAAAGGCACGGCAUCAGACCACCUUAAACACAUCACUGAGAAUAGGUCAACCAGACAGCACAUGAAGCAAAACUUUCUCGCGACGCUGACCUGACCACGUAGGUACGGUACAUCACAGCUGAGCUGCACGAGUGCACGUCAUGGUGCCGAGGCUGGAGCGCGGCGGCAGCGGCGGGUUCCAGCUCCCGAACUCCGAGCAGUAGAACUUCCUCUUCCUCAGCUGUAAACGUCGGGUUACAUGUUUCACGUUGCAUGUAAUUGUAUGAGUUGUGGGGAUUCAACGCCGGCGUUUGCUGCCACUCCGGCCGCGGGGACGUCUGCUGCAGCUGCUGGGUGCGUUCGGUGUGGCGUCGGCGUGGACAGCUGCCUCGGCUGCGACUUCGACGCCGAGGAGAUGGCUGGCUCCAGCAGCGAGGGGGAAGGGUACUCCGCCGCGGGCUUCGGGAGGGAUUUUAGAUACUGAUGGAAUUCAAAAAUGAAAUUAUUGGUAGACAAAGCAUAUAUUUGGAAGCAUAUACUCUCUUCGUUUCAAAAGAGAAAAAUUCACUACAGGUCCAUUUACAUGCACUGGCGUUAACUUUAGUCCCUGCGGUUACAAAUACCUGCAAUACGGUCACCAAACUUGCUCUAGGGGUCAUCUACGGUUCAUUAUACGAUUUUCUAUACGUACGCGCUGAGCUCGCCUUGGUCAACGGCUGCCAACUGUGUGUUGACUGCCACAUGC